This 90883-nucleotide long non-coding RNA is filed under the name Citrus maxima (pomelo). Its description in RNAcentral is "long non-coding RNA (CMAX_LNC001330)". The stretch from base 42038 to 42141 matches the Rfam family "Plant small nucleolar RNA R71". Lineage: Eukaryota; Viridiplantae; Streptophyta; Magnoliopsida; Sapindales; Rutaceae. The record is from RNAcentral.
UCAUAUAUUUGAUGAAACUCUCGCUCCGCUAAAACGGCGUCGUACAUCGAAUAACGAUAAUAAUAAAAUCUGAAUCCGAUUUGGUGAAAACAUGAACGCUAAGCAACUGAAAUCAUGGAAAAUGAUUUCUUGUGUUUCAAGGAAAUGAUUAGAUUACCAUUAUGUGUUUUUUUUUUUUCAUGUUUUCUCUCUUUUUCUAUUUUUCACUUUUGGUUGGUUUCCUGGAAGAUGUGAUCUGCUCUGCUUCUUUAUGCCUUUUUUUUGACUUAGUGGGAAGGUGAAUAAAGAAAUGGGGGACCAUGUUAUUAGGAUCUAGGACGGCUGUGUUUGUUAGAAUUUGGGCCCCCUCUAUCAUGUGAUAAAUAAUAUGACAUGUCGGUAGUUGCUUCCUUGCUAAUACAAUGAGAGAUAUUUUCAGUUAAGCAAACUGGAUUCAAUUCUAAGCAUUACUAAAACCUUCAGCUUUCUUUCUUAUUAUAGCCUUUGCUUUAGCUUUUACUUUUGAUGGAUAAUUUGCCUACUUAUAGUUCAGAUCUGUCUUAAAAACCCAUCUUUUGUUUUAUUAUUGCGCUCAUUCGUCUGGAAAAUUCGUGUUCUUUAACUCCCAUUUGAUUGUUUUUUUUUGGUUAGUCAAAUUGAUAUUUACUCAUUCAUUUAAGUUCACACAUUAAUGUUCAACCGUCUUAGUUGGUUAACUGGAUCCUAUUAAUAGUCUCAGGAUAAUUAUAAGUGACUGGGUUGUGACAUUGAAUUUUGACUCAAACAUUGUACUGUUCUCUUCAUUCUGCUUUAUGAUGCUUAGUUUAAUAUCUUAGACAAUGCAGGAAUCGAAACUGGAGCAUGGAAUGUAUUUAUUUCCGUAGUUGGGAUCUUGGAGAUGUUUCUUUACGUGUUUGUUCAUUGAGCUAAAAAUUUAAUCUCACUUAGCUGUGACUAAAUUUUUUUUUACUAUUAUCAAUGCAGGUAAUUAAUUGUUUCUGACAAAAUGAAGCAUAAAGAUGGGAAACCGAUUUCUCCAAAUGGUGAUAAAAGUCCCAGGAUUGUUCCUUUGACAGUAUUGUUUGUUGCACUAUGUGGGUUUUCGUUUUACCUUGGUGGAAUCUUUUGUUCUGAGAAAAACAGAGUUGAGAUUAGGGAUGUCCAGAAAGCAGUCCCGUCUCCCAAGGAUCCAGCGGUUGCUCCGCUUCAGAUCAAAUCUGUUAACUUCCCUGAAUGCAGCAGCAACUAUCAAGACUACACUCCAUGCACAGAUCCAAAGGUAUACCUUAAAUGCUUAUUUGAUAAUAGUAACAGCUUCUAGGCAAUGUUACAAAGGUAUAUGAUAUCAAGUGGCCAUAUUGAUGAUAAACAUUCAUUGCUACAGAGGUGGAAAAAGUACGGUGCUCAUCGGCUGACUUUCAUGGAACGCCACUGCCCUCCAGUUUUUGAGAGGAAGGAAUGCUUAAUACCCCCUCCUGAUGGGUAUAAGCCACCUAUCAAGUGGCCAAAAAGCAGGGAUGAAUGUUGGUACAGGUAUUAUGAUCUAUUAAUGAACUGGUUUUAUUGUCCACUGAUGUUGGCCGUAAGUCAAUUUUGUUCUAUUAUUUGGAUCUGGUUUCAGGAAUGUGCCUUAUGAUUGGAUUAACAAGCAGAAGUCAAAUCAGAAUUGGCUGAGAAAACAAGGAGAGAAGUUCCUCUUUCCUGGUGGAGGUACAAUGUUUCCCAAAGGAGUUGGUGCAUAUGUUGAUUUGAUGCGAGAUCUGAUUCCAGAAAUGCAAGAUGGGACAGUUCGAACUGCUAUUGACACUGGAUGUGGGGUGAGUUUUGUUUUUCAUUUGCCCUCUUUUUCAUCUAAUCAUAUACUGGGCUAAUCUAUGUUGCAUCGAUGGUUUAUUCUUAUGGUGCCUCUUGGUCAUCUUAGGAUAAAUUUAACUCACUUACAUUUUAUUUAUAGGUUGCUAGCUGGGGAGGUGAUUUAUUAGAUCGUGGAAUUUUAACGGUUUCUCUUGCACCAAGAGAUAAUCAUGAAGCUCAAGUUCAAUUUGCAUUGGAACGUGGAAUUCCCGCAAUUCUUGGCAUCAUUUCCACACAGCGCCUACCUUUCCCCUCAAAUUCAUUUGAUAUGGCUCAUUGCUCAAGAUGCCUUAUCCCGUGGACAGAAUUCGGUAAUUAAUCAUAUACUAUGAAGUUUGAUCAAUAUGUAACCAGUGAGAUAUGGUUAUAAAUGCUUUAUCAUAUCAGACAAAAUAACAUAAAUAACAUACAUCACCGAUCAUGUGAUUCAAUUACAUUUCGCUACUCUGAAAGUCAGCAUUGUGAAAGUCUUUUGUUAGGGAGCAUUACAUUUAUUAUAGAAGAUAUUAAUUUUAUUGAAUAACUGAUGUUUAUCAUUUUAGAGGAAAUGUACAAUAGCAUUGCAAAUAAAGGCAGCUACAAAUCAUGAUAUCAGAAAUGUCUUUUCAAUAUUUUGUUUAAUAAAAUUCUUGAUCAAUUGGAGAGGUACUUGGAUGGUGAUGGGCAGUUUAGUUUAGUAUCUUCCUCUUAAGAUGUGAUACUGCUUUGUUUUCUGCAUAUUGGUUAUCUCAAGGUUUCUCUCAAUGAUGAAUAUCUUCGUUUCAGGUGGAAUUUAUCUCCUAGAAGUUCAUCGAAUACUCCGUCCUGGUGGAUUCUGGGUCCUAUCUGGCCCACCAGUUAACUAUGAGCACCGAUGGAGAGGAUGGAAUACUACAAUUGAAGAGCAGAGAUCUGAUUAUAAGAAGUUACAAGAUUUGCUUACUUCGAUGUGCUUCAAAUUAUAUGCCAAAAAGGAUGAUAUUGCAGUGUGGCAAAAACUCUCUGAUAGCAGUUGCUACAAUAAGCUUUCUAACCCAGAUGUCUACCCACCCAAGUGUGAUGACAGCCUUGAACCAGAUUCAGCAUGGUACACACCUCUUCGUCCUUGUGUUGUUGUGCCGAGACCAAAUCUGAAGAAAUCAGUUUUGGAAUCCAUGCCUAAAUGGCCAGAGCGGUUGCAUGUUGCACCCGAACGCAUAUCAGAUGUCCAUGGUGGGAGUGCUAGUGCUUUCAAGCAUGAUGACAGUAAGUGGAAUGUGAGAGUGAAGCACUACAAGAAGUUACUCCCUGCACUUGGGACCGAUAAGAUAAGAAAUGUAAUGGACAUGAAUACGCUCUAUGGAGGAUUUGCUGCUGCUGUAAUUGAUGAUCCCUUGUGGGUUAUGAAUGUUGUAUCAUCUUAUGCUGCUAACACACUUGCCGUGGUUUAUGAUCGGGGCCUCAUAGGAACCUAUCAUGAUUGGUACAUUUUAUUGCUUUUUCUAUAUUAAAAUGCUAUGUGGGCAGUAUAAAUUGCUAUGGGCCUUCCAUGUAUCCUCUCCUUUAUAUUUACGUUGGUAAGUGUAUGUGCUGAUUGAUUGUUUUGCUGUCUGUUAGGUGUGAGGCUUUCUCGACAUAUCCUCGAACAUAUGAUCUCCUUCAUCUUGAUGGCCUCUUUACUGCAGAAAGCCACAGGUAUUACAUCACAUGGAACUGAUAUUUUAUAAAUUGUUAAUUGAAAUGCGUAAGUGAGAAAGUUUUUGAUAAUGAGUCGUUACGUGGAGUUAGGUUUGAUCUGGACUAUGGACUUAUUUCUUGCAAUAGCAACUGAAUGUUAGCAAAAUAUGAUAUGAUGGAAAUGUCUUGAUUUAUAGAAACUAGAAAGUUCAAGAUGGUUACCUGUUUAGUUAACCAACCUCAAAAUAAUAAUAUAAAAAAUUGCACUAAAUAUUGAAAUCAGAAUUUUUGAAUCCAAGGGGCAGUUAUAGGAUUUGGUGGACAUGGCCUACACACUAAAACCAUUCUUCUGAUAGCAAGUCAACUUACUUAUGGACAUUACCAGAUUUUUUGAUUCCUUGGGGCUCUUAUAGGAUUUGUUGAAGUGAGUAGAUAGGACCUACAUGCAAAAAUCUCUCUAUUGAUAGUAAGCCAACUUAUUUCUGAUUUGAAUUCUGCCACCUUUUGUUAAAAUAAACUCUUCUUUCUCAGUCUUCCGUAAGUGGCUGGUUAACCAAAUACUAUGUGCAUGAAGCCUCUGUACUUAGCUUUAGGUUUUGAGGUUUCUCAAAUAGCAGAAAACCAACCAGGUAUUGAGUAGAUAUCCUAGGAUCCAGAAAUGCAAUUGAUCUGAAAAGUACAUUCCACCGGUGAUGCAUCUGUUCAUUCUGCUAGAUGUUGAACUAGAAUGGUGCUUGCCUAGAUUUAGGUAUAUUAAAUCUUGGGAUGAAUAAUGUUUAGAAAAAUAGGGUGCUCACUGCUCAGUGUUAGUAAAUAUAUGUGCUUCUUACAAUUGAUCAUACUUUGGGCAGAUGUGAUAUGAAGUUUGUGCUCUUGGAGAUGGAUAGAAUAUUGCGUCCCAAUGGGUAUGUGAUAGUACGGGAAUCCAGCUAUUUUAUUGAUGCUGUUGCUACCAUUGCUAAGGGGAUGAAGUGGAGCUGUCAUAAGGAGGACACUGAAUACGGUGUUGAGAAGGAGAAGUUGUUGCUUUGCCAGAAAAAACUUUGGUACUCUUCUAACCAAACCUCUAGUUGAUGAAUAUAGAAAUCCUGGUCAUGAUACGGGACCUGGAGAACCGAAGCCAAUUAUAUAUGAUAAAUUCAUUUGGUAGAAGCAGAGAAAAUCAAAGAUCAAUACAACGCACAAAGAUUAAUUUGUGCCAUAGAAGUCAAGAAUCUUAAAAUUCAAAAUUUGUCAAUUGUAGCUAUUCAAUAAUAUGAUUUUGUUAAAUUAUACAGCAUUUUGAUAUAAAUAUAUUCUUUGUAAGGUAACGACACCGGGCUGUAUUUGUAUACCUUUUCUUUGGUCACCCACCUUUUAUCCCAAUUCCCAAUCUCUUAUUUCCCCUUUUUUUCUUGUUUCUUUUAUAUGGUGUAAAACUCAUGAUCAAAUCAGUGGAUGUAAGAGUAUGUGGUGAACUUUCAAGUCACAUCCUUGAUAAUUGUAAUAUUGUGUUAAAUGAAAUUUUCUGCUACUUACUGAAAUUUAGCUGUAUGAUGCCAUUGUAUUUAUUUAGUGAUUUUAGCUAUUCUUUAAUUAGUAUUGUAUUUAAAUAUCUGUUAUGAACAUAAGCUACUGCUUUUGCUUGUAAUCAUAUCAUAACUGAUACGGAAUUAGCAUAAAGCUAAUUUUUGUUCCUUCAGCUGGAAUCUCUACAAUUUGAACACAAUGAAUGGUGGUUGUUGAGACUUUGAAUGUUUACGAAUGGGUUUAAGGCUUGGUUUGCUAUUAAGGUAUUGUAACUUUUUAAGUUUUUUUUUUUUUUUUUGUUAAAAAUGCUGUAAUUAUAAAACAAGAGUUUAAUAUUAAGGCAUGAUAACUUUUUAAGUUACUAUUGAAAAAAAUUGUAAUUAUAAAAUAAAUGUUUAUAGUGUGUAAUAAAUAUAACUAUUAACUAAUAAUUUUAAAAAAAAGAUAUUAUAAGUUUUUUGUUAUAUAAGUGUAUAAUUAAAUUAACUUAGCAUUUAAAUCAUAUCAGUUAAAGUUUGCUAAAAGCAUUAACCUUUCCUCAAUACCAAAUGAAACCCAUAGUUAAAGAAGAUCGUUUGCUACAAUUAUAGAUGUAGAUACAGCCAAAUAAUUUAUGGGAAUGAUUAUAUUGGAGCUAUUCUAAGGUAGCGUACGCUUUCAUAACCACACAAUUAAAGUUAUAAUGUAUUUUUAUUAUUUAUCACUUUACAUGUGUGGCUGUGAUUUGUGCUCUACCUUAGAGCAGCUCCAAGGUAGUCAUUGCCUUUAUAUAAUCAAUAUAAGUAAGACAAAGUAUAACACUAAUAAUACCAUGAGAAUUUGGCCUUCGAAUUUCUAUUAUCUAUAAAUCCAUGAUGCAAAUUCUUGUUCAUUCCAGCGUUUUUUCAUUUGAGUGGAGACUUUUUUAGAGUCCACUUCUUGAAUUUUUUUUUUCACAUGUAUAAAUAUCAUUUCUCAAAAACCCCACGUUAAUUUCAAAAUUACCCUCAUCUCUUUAUUUAUUUUUAUAUGUUGAAUUCUCUUUCUAUUAACGUAUUAAAGUCGGUUUUGUAUUUAAGGAAAUUAAAUUUGUAUAUUAUUGUGAAUUUGUAAUUUUAGACAACUUAGGAUUCUAUCCAUAUUAAGGUUUUAGGAUUGUAUCUCUAUAUAUAUGCAGCCUGUUAAUGCAAAACGUGUGAAGAAAUUCUAUUCAUCAACUCGGUUCUUUAUUUUACAUCGUAUCAAAGCAUACCAGAUCAUAAUCUUUAUUAUUUUCUUUGAUUUCGUUUAACUCUCAUGGCAGACGGUCAAUCAUCAAAGAAAAUUGCCAAUCUUAACAAAUAGGAGGAUGAUGUCGUCCUCAUCCAUCCAUCAGAUAGCCCAACUGCCGUAUUGAUUUCUCCUUUACUCACUGUUGAUAACUAUGGUACAUGGGUAAGGGUAAUGACGAUUGCUUUUUGAACGAAGAACAAGCUCGUUUUUGUUGAUGGGACUAUAUCAAAGCCAUAUGAUGAUGAAGAGGACGGUGUAAGUGGCAACGUUGUAAUGAUCUUGUUGGAUCUUGGGUGCUAAACUCCAUAUCGAGUGAACUUGCGAGAAGUGUCUUGUAUGCACAAUUUGCUAGAGAAGUAUGGCAUGAUUUGCAAGAGCGUUUUCAACAGACCAAUGUGCCAAAAAUCUAUGAACUCAAACAGGCCAUCUCUAAUUUACGACAAGGAGAUGCAUCUGCUUCACUUUAUUAUACUCUAAUGAAGGCACUUUGGGAUGAGUUGAAUUCUCUACAAGUAGAACCACGCACUUGUGGGAAUGCAAAAACAGUCAAUCAAUUGUAGCAACUAGAUCGAGCUAUGGAGUUUCUUCAAGGUUUACAUGAUAGAUAUGCAGCAAUGAGGAGUCAAAUUUUGUUGAUGGAUCAUUUCCCUUAUGCAAAUAAAAUUUAUUCCCUUGUAAGGCGAGAAGAAAAACAACAAGAUCUUCAUGCUAUAGGGGGAUCUCUACUGUUUAAAUCUCUUUUUUAUUUACUUUUUUUGUGUUUAUAUAUUAAUUGUACGUCAGGUAAAUUCUCUUAUUUUCUUUGUAUAAUCUUUUGAUUUUCAUUUUUAAAAGAUUUGCCAUGUAAUGUAAUGAUUUAUAUAACGGAAACUUAUGAUUUGUUUUUCUUUUUGGUAUCAGAUCGCUAGUAAAUUGAGUUGGAGCAUAAGGCGUGCGGACAAAACACUAAAUUUAGUCAAUGUAUGGGUGCAAAUUUCUUAGUUUUAUAAACAAUUUGUAAAUAUUCAUUUUAAGAAUUUAAAAUGUACAUGGGUUUGCAAGCAGUAAGUGUAUAUAUGUAUGUGUGUAUAUAUAUAUAUGUGUGUGUGUGUGUCUGUAUUCAUGUCACUUGAGAAAAGCAUGUAGUUAAUGUAUUUGUAAAUGCAUGAGUCUAUUAAAGUAUAAAUUAGGAAUAAUAAGGUCGUACAUAUAAGAACUGUUAAUUUUUGGAAAAAUAAAAUUUAAUCUAAGUUAAUUAUAAUUCUACCUAGUUGGAAAGAAAAUCUUUUGUUUAAGAAAAUGAGAACUAAAUAGGCAAGCAAAUUAAGAAUUCAAGAGAUUAAGGCUACCAGUAUCUAAGAACAGUUCAACGUAACAAUGAUUUAAUUAUUAAUUACCUAAUUUUAGAACGACAACUCAAAAUCAAUCUAUAUCUACUGAUAAAUAUAACAAUUAAGUCAAGUAAUUUAAUUUCAUUUAGCCAUGAGCCCAUUAAUAAUAAAUCAAAAUAAUAUUUUACUUUUCUCCAAUUUGAUUUCUUUAAGCACAAUUUAUUCCAUAAUCUUCAAUAAAAUAAAUUAACCAUCUAAAACUAUUUAAGAGACUAACUAAUAUAAAAAUAUAGAGGAAAUAUGUUAAUAUAUUAUGCCCAUCACCAAUCAAACUUGGCACUAAUUGUUACAUCGAAUUAUUGAAUUAAUUUGCAAGAAAAGGAAACCUAGCCUAAUUGAUUGGUAGAAAUAAGCCACAAAUCAAUGUUGCUUUUCGAGAGAAAAAAGAGGCUCAAAAUUUUGAAAUAGUUGGAAACUAAGUCUUUUAUAGUUUUAAGGGACUUCAGAACUUUCAACAAAGAAGGGAAAAAUAAAAAGAAUUCUCAAGAAAAGAAGCUAGCCCAAAGUAGCCUGUCACUUUUUUCUCUCAUUGAUUCCAUUACAAUAUUGCAGGUUUUUUUUUUUUUGGAGCAUUGUUUCUUUGUUUGGGUAAACAAACAUAAUAAUGUGGUAUGCCAUUGCCUAUUUCUUCCCCACAUAUUCAGCUACAGUUCUGGGUGCUGGGCCUCACCCUGAGCCAGUGCUGGUUCGAUUGUCGAUUCUAUCAUUUAUUUUAUCUUUUAUCUUUUGUUUUUUCCCCACAAAUAUAGAGCAAUAACAACAAGCACACAUAUAUCCGUUCUUGCAAUAUGCUGUAAUUAAUAACUUGGCAAUUGUAAAAAAUUAUAAAAAUUGUAAUAUCAAAUGUUAUUUUUUAUUUUUUAAUAAAAAAGAGAUUUUGAGGAUUGCUACCACUACACCUUCUAAUGGGCUAAAUAGUGCUGCAUGUAUAACUCCUCCCUUUUAUACACAGAACACACCGUAUCACUACAGGCGAGAGCUUUUCAAAAACAAUAUAAAUUUCACUCUUAUUAAUUCAUGAGCACAAAAAGUUAAUUUAUAUAGGUAUUUAAAAUAUGAAAAAGAAAAUCAUACAAUUGAUAUAAUUUAGGAAUAAUGAUAGAUUAGUAAAUACUGAGUCAAUCAAUUUUUAUGUUAAUUAACAAUCAAAUUUUCUUAAUAACUAAUUAAGAUGGAAACAAUCAAUUAUUGACCGAUUGUUAAUAUUGCUUCAUUCUUAUCAAUAACAAAUAAAAUUGCCAUGUAAUAAGUAAGUAUUGAACUUGAGGAGCUUUAUUUAUAUUAUUGAUAAGUUAGGAUUCAUUCAUCCUAUCACUUUCUCUUUUUAAGUUCAUUGGAGGAUAAUAAUAUAGGAUUCAAUUGAAUUUAUUGUGAUUUUGUUUACUCAUUAGCCUAGCUAGCAUGCUAGUAAAGCAAUAAAUUGCAGCUGUUCGAUGGCGUUUUGACUUUGUUAAUUUGGAUGUCCCAUGACCUUGAAAUUUUAGUUUUCGAGACUAUUUUGUGUUUCUUUCAUUAAUUUCUCAUUCUGAGUAUAUUGGCAAGUGCAGCUGACCUUUGCAUGUGGCUUCAAAUGGAUGCUCUGUCAAGGUUUUUUUUUUUUUUUUUUUCAAUUAAUUUCUCAUUCUGAAUAAAGUUUACCAUCUAAAACCUAGAUAGCUGGUUGAUCUUGUGAUUUACUUACAUCAUUCCGCUGUAAGUACUUUUUAUUUAUCAAUUUUCUCCUGUUUUUUUAAGUAAUCAUGGUUAACUAUUAACUAUUUUUUUUAAGUAAUCAUGGUUAACUAUUAACUAUUAAAAAUUAUUAACUGUUUUUUUUUCUCUAUCUUCUUCAACUCUCUCUUAAUUAAAAAAGACCACUCUACCAUAUGCAUAUAGAGAGAGAGAGACAAAGACAGAGAGAAAGAAUUUUAUAUGCAGUUUUCUUUGCUUUUCUAAUAAUUUUGUAGUUAUUACUGGAAAGAGAAGACAACCACCGAAGGGCAAUAAUUUUAAUAUUAUUAUUAAACUAUGCUUAGAGGAGAUUUGCUCCCAUGAAAAAGACAAAAAAGGAGGAAAAAGGAAAGCAUGUUUUCUAUUUUGGGAAAAAGAAUUUUGUACAAACACAAAAGUUGGUGGUUUUUUAUUUUAUUUAAAAAGGGGUAGAAAAAUACUAAAAUUUGUGGUUAGAAUUUAAAUGGAGUGAUAAUCUGUGAUCAGUAAUUGAAGCCAAUAAAGAAUAAGCAACAAGAAGUGGGCUUGGUUUGGGGUUAAGUAAUAAUUCUUUUUCGAAAUAAAUUCAAAGAAAUGUAAUAACCCAAUUUAUCAUGUAGGGAAAGACAUGAAAGGGAUAAUUACAAAGUGAGCUUUUCUCAUAAAAAUGGGGCUACAAUAAUGUCAAGUCAAUAACUCUCUAAAAUUUUCAUCAUAAUAUAGUGUCAAUUAGCCAAAUGUAGAGCACAACAUGCAUGGGUCUCUCAUCAGAGUUUUUUUUUUUUUUUCUUCUAGUCCCAUAAUUAAUUGAGAGAUUCCGUGGUCCUGCUUCAAUUUAUUUUUGCUUAGGAAAAUAUAUUAAUUUUAUGUAAUUAUUUGAGAGGCAUGCUAUUACGACUGUUUCUAAAUAUAUUGGAGCAUUGUUUUCUCCAUUUUUUUUUUUUAACUUUGCAAUCUAAGGAAAAUAAGGGGACCGCGUUUUAUUAUUAUAUACGAGAAGAAUCGCCUUGAGAGCCAGAAACAAAAGAGAAUGUCUUUUGCCAUUUUGAAAUUAAACAAAAAAUAAAACAAAAAAAUUUGAAGAAUGAGAAAUAAAGAAUUAGAUUUAAAGCAGAUCAGCCACAAUUAAUAAAAUGAGUUUUAAGUGCCAAAUUUUGGGUCUAAAAACUAAAUAAUUACACUACUUCAAGCCAAUCAAAUAAGCAUCUUUUGCUAGUAAAUAAUAACAAUCCUGAAGAGUAAUAGUUAAUAGUUAACCAUGAUUACUAAAAAAAAAGAGCAAAUUGAUAAAUAAAAAAGUAUUUUCUAAACAUUCAGCCCACUACAUUCAUAAAAAAGAUGACAAAAUUUUUUUAUCACAUGCAUGAUCCGAAAUAUUAAUUACCACACAAAUGUAGAAUACAGCAAAGGAAUAACCAAUAAGCGAAAAGAAAAAGCAUAAAAAUCAUAAUAGAAAAUUAAAAAUUCUUGUCCUCCUGCCAAUGCAUGUGAUACGUUCUGGCAAUAUCCCAAAGUGAAAAAAUGUGAUCAUUUUGAUAUUUGUUUAAUUCAAGUAUAUGAAUUGACCUUUAAACUCUCUACUCCAGGCAAAGCCACGGCAACCUUCUCUCAUCACUCGCGUAAUUAAUUAAUUUAUUGGGCAUUGAUAUACUAAUAAUAAUAUUUUGAAUCUUAUCAAAGUGAUUUUGUUUGGAAAAAAUCCUGAAAUUUGUUCAGCAGCCUGAACCCAAAUUGCUCACUCCCACUCGCAACAUUGUUUCAUUGAUUGAUGAUCUCUAUAAUUUUAAUUUUGCUCUUUGUUUCUCACCUGUCACUGCGAUACCCUUCAAUCUGUCCAGCUAAAUCAUAAUAAGUAUGAAAAGCUUGAAAAUGAAUCCUAUCAACAAAAUAACAAUAAUUCAACAAUAAGAUCUAUUAUUGAACAUCUGCAGCACUGAAUCCAUUUGAGCAAAAGAUGAGUCCGAUUAGCCAACCAAACAAAAACCGCUUGAAGACUACUCUGUUGGAUCCUUGGGCAGUAAUUAGUUGUUAUUUGAAAACUAAAAAAUGCAGCAAAUUAAUUAAAUUGGCUUUUUGCAAGCUAGCUACCACCAACUAACAGUCAAUGGCUUGAAAGUUGAAGCCCCUACUCUUUUGCAUCAUCAAUUACUGAUAGAUUAAAUUUGAGCCGUGGGCUGGCAAUUUCCCAAUGUAUGUUUGAUCAUUUUCUCUCAAGAAAAAGAAAAAAGGUAUGUUUGAUCAUUUUCGUAUAAAAUUUUCUCUCAACUUUCAGGAAACUUCGUGGGCGUGAAGGAGAAGGACCCACGCCCCAGGUUUCAAUCAAUUUAACCCUUCUCUCUCUAUCCGCAUCAAAAGUCAGGGGUCGAUAAUAGUUAUACCAAAGUGCACCACCAAUGGCAGCCUUAAGUUCUGGUCACAACUUAAUCGUUGGUCUCGUUAUUUCUAAGAUGAAAUUCGAAUGACAUGAUAACCUAUAAAGAGCAGCGAUCACAUGGGCAUCUGUGAUGCUGCGCUGCUUGCAGGUUUCUCUUGAUGCCCUCAAUAAUGUGGCAAAUCAUUUACUCUUUUUAGUUGAGAAUUCUCUUUAUUUAAUAUCUUAAAAUUUAAUAUCUUACCCCUCAAAGAAAAGGAAGCCAAUGACCGGAGCAUGAGAUUAUCACUGAAGCUCUUUGAUGGCGCCUUUGCAUACCUGCAGUCAUAUCAGAAUUAGGUUGGUCCACGUAAAAUUUGAGGAAAAAAAAUCAAUUAUAAUGAUAAAUCUUUGUAGUUACUAUGCCAAGUUUGGUAUCCAUAAAUUAAUUAUGCAGUAAUGGUUGUUGCAUAAGAUAAGUCUCACUCAUUUUUGCCUGCCAACUGAAAAUAAAUUUAGAAUCGCGAUAAUUCGUAAUGGCCAAUGUCGUUGACGGUGGUGAUUCUGUAUUAGGGAUGCAGAAUUAAUGGUUAAAUUGAGCACGCUGAAAACUGAAGAUAAAUUUGCUAACUCUUCGAACCGAAUCAAAGCAAAUUCCAGAAAAUCCAAAGGAAAAAGACUCAAUAACAAGGAAGUAUAUUUCAGGAAAGCAAAUAAAAUAGCCGAAACAAAGGAAAAAUCACAAACAAACAUCAAGGGCAGAUCCACUCAAUUUUUGCAUCCAAACAAAUCACAAAUAAAUAGUUGAUUGGCUAUUAUCACGACAGUAUCUCAAAAGAGCCCCCAAAUCAAAGCCCACUAGUAAGAUCCAAUCAGAUGACCCCAUUCAAUUUCUAUAUUGGCUAAUUUGUGCAUGUGAAAACAGAGUACAAAAUUCUUCAUUGAGAAUAUCCAAGCAACUGAGAAAAGAUUCAGAACAUUUACCUUGUCAGGACUUCGUUGAACGGACGAAGAGAUUUUAACGGUGUAUCAGUGCAAGGAGACGAUGAAAGGAAACACUUGUAACCCUUUUUAGAUAAGCUAAAAAACACAUGAAUGGAAACACUGGCAACACUUGUAUAAGAGGACACCAGAAACCUUGCUGAAGAAGACUCCUGCUGGCGGGGUAUGUGGAGUUGGAAGGGCCAUAUUAGCACCAUAUCAGCGCAGAUGUAGCCUGUCCUCGCCUUCAUGUGAUGAUUGAGGAUACGCUACACGCUCUUCGUGACUGUUCCGUUGUCAAAAGGAUUUGGAAUGAGCUGCUGCCGAGUGUUGAUUAUGAUACAUUUUUUCUCUUUGCCCUUACGUGAACGGGUGUUCCAUAGUCUGAAAACUAAUAGUCAAAAGGGUAGCAAUGGGAAGUGGGCUUGCAUUUUUGGGGUAGCUCUUUGGAGAAUUUGGCACUGGCGUAACAAGUAUGUUUUUGAAGCUAUAAAUCCAAGUUUGUACAUCCAAAACUUUUGACGAUGAGUGUCGACGGAGCAUGGAAAGUCUCUUUUAAUUAAAAAAAAAAAAAAGAUCAGAAACAAAAAGAAAAAUAAACCACCACAAACUUUACACAAAAUCUUCUGGGCUCCCCAUCUCCAAAUCAACACAAACCCAUAUCUCCGAAUUUUCAAAAACAACAAUGUGAAUUUUUACUCAAGAGACCAUUCUAAAGAGACCAUUCUACUAUAUAUAUAUAUAUAUAUAUAUAUAUAUAUAUAUAUAUAUAUAUUGUAUAGAGAGAGAGAGAAUGCUAUAUUUAGUUUUCUUUGCUUUCGUAAUAAUUUUGUAGUUAUUACUGCAAAAGACGAGAAAUUCUAAAAUACAUCUUUUGUACUAUGUCAGCCAAAUAACAACAAAUAAUGUCAUAACAUGUGCGUAUUUAUUUUGUAAACUAUCAUGCAAGUGGUGGUUGUAUUAAACUCAAUUACACAUGUCAUACAUGUAUUAAUUGAUUGUUAUACAACAGAUAUAUUCUAGAAUUUCUCCUUCAAAGACAAGACAACUACCUCACACGUGGUGUGCCCAACUCAUCAUCUCAAUCAAGUUGAGAAUUUAUAUUUACCUCGUUGGUUUUUUUUUUUUAAACUCGACAUUGAUCACAUUUUGUUUGGUUAGUACCUGAAAUUUUGAACCCAGAAAGUGACUAAAUAGUAAAUAGGUGCCUUCAUUAACUCUAUACAUUCGUAUCACUUGUGGAACCAAACAAAUUGUUCAUGCUUAACAAAUAAAAAAAAUUAAGGAGCCAAAAAACAAAGUCAUCACACAACUAAUCCAACUAAACAACACCAUUUCUCAAUCCAUAUAAACCAACACAUUUACAAAAGAGCACAAUCCAAAUGAAUAUUGAACAAAUCAAUCCAUUGUUUAAUGAAAGUCGCAAAUCCACAAAUAAAGCUAAAAUGAGAAAGCCUAUCAUUCCAAUAGUGUUGAAAUAUACAAAAACAAAAUAUACCUUAUAACAUUGUAAGUAGCACUAAUGGCAAAGAAAAUCAACAAUAAAAUUCUCUAACCAUUUCAAGCCAUUUUUAUGUUUAACCCAAAAAAACAUAGUUGAACAAAUGGAAACAUUGAUUGAGUUCAUAAUUGACAAAAUUGAAAGCUCAUUUAAUCUCCAAUUCUCUCAUAAUUAUAAUUCACAAACAAUGUCCUAGUCUGUAUUUAAGCUUCAUUGGAUCUACAGAGUCCUAAAAGCUCAACUAAUGAAAUUGUUUAUCUAUAAUAUUUUCAUGGUGAAAAUAAAAGAAGAUUAUCAAUAAACAGAAUAACAGAACAUCAAUCCCAAAAGAAUCAAAUGAAAGAAUCCAUAUCUUGCUCUUGUUAAUGAAGCAAAAUUGCCAAAACUGUGAAAGACAUUUGCUACAACGCCGUAACAUUUCCGGAAAGAAGGGUUAGAGCCAUAAAAUCCUUGCAUAUUUACAAAAACACAUUAAAAUUAAAUCUCAGCUUUGCAAUAUCAUAAAUUAGUAACCAGUCUCAUCUGAAUUCUAUAGUAUUCAUACUUUUAGAUCAAUUUCUAGUAAGUUGUACGUUUAUGCUUGGCCUUAAUGAUUACCAUGGUCAGUAUAGAAUAAGUGAAAUAAAAUAAUUGAACUUAAAAGCACCUUGUUGGAAAUAAAUUGAUGCUAAAUUACUAAUGUUGGCCAACUGAGCCACUUACAAGACAAUUAGGCCCAAGAUCCAUGGUCAUGCUUAUUCCAUAUAUUUAAAAAAAAACUUGAUAAAACAAACCUGAACAGCCAAGCCUUCAUAAACAAGAAUUUAUAAAGCUAUAGAUAAUACGGAAUUAUAGUUAAGUUCAAUAUAUAAAAAUCUCCCAAAUGAAUCUCGCUGAGAGAUCUAUUAGAAAUCUCCCAAAUGAAUAUGCCACCCCUCUUGGUAGAGUCACUUUAAUAAUUGAAACUAAUAGUAUAUAGUACUAAAGCUAUUGGGAGCUUUCACAACAAAGAAUUACUAUGAUAAAAGCACAAUCCUUCCCAAUCAUGUCUAAAAAAAAAAAUACAUAAUUAUUGGUUAAGUGAUAGUCUAAUUAACUCUAAUAAAGCCAAUUUUAUUUUCAUAAAUUAAAACUCAAAACUAACUAAAAAAAUCUUCUUUUGAAGAAGAAUUUACAAAGUGCUUCUCAGAACCAAGUAUCUUUUAUUCCCUAAAGGGGGAAAAAAUACAAAUAUGAACGCAAAGUAACUGGAUACCCAAGAAAUUGGAUUAGUUCACCAAGAAACUCAAUUAUGCAAUAUAACCAAUGCCUUCAAUUAAAAGAAAAAUGAACUCAAAAGUACCUGAAUCCAGAAGAAGAUAUAAAAUAUUGCCCUUAACAGCUUAGCUGACCGAUUCAAUUAAUGAUUAAUUAGUAAUUAAGAAAAAUAAUCACACAUAUAAUAUAAACAUUUAUCUUGAACAACUGAAAAAAAAAAUUCAAAUUAUCAUAUAAGAUUGUUUAACAUAUUACAUCUAUCUCAUACAAGCCUAUCUUAUUUUCCCAAAUUCCAUUGCCCCACUAAUUCAUUUUAACCAGUAACAUGUAAUGUAAAAUCAAAUAAUAUGGCAUUUAGAUUAUCAUAUCAAAUGUGAAAUUGACAUUUAAGCAAAUAGACAAUAGGGAUAUAAACCAAAAAAAAAAAAAAUCAAAUAACAAGUAAAUGUUUCUUUAUUUUUGUCUAUAAUUUAGGGAUUCUUAGCUAUUUUCUUGUUAUUUGAAUAAAAUAGGAAAAUACCAUAAAUCAGGAAAGUAGAUACACUUUGAUUUUAUGGUCCUAAAAAUUAGCCCUAGAAUUGCUCUCUAGUUUUCCUCUUUAUUUCUACCGAUCACUGUGUUUUGAAUAAUAAGGAAAAGUUCUAUAGCUUUGUCUCUUUGUUUUUUCCUUUUUUGCUACAUGGUAUCAGAACUUUAGGGUUCGCCCAUGAAUUACAAAGUAGCCAUGGUUGGCUCUAAUUCGGCUUUCUCCGACGCUAACAGCACUGCGACAUCCUCUAAAGGGAUUUCUCAGCCAUCCCCAAUGGUGCCUGUUAGUGAAAACACUUUACAAAUAACCAUUCACAAGUUAAAUGGUAAAAAUUAUUUAGAGUGGUCGCAGUCUGUGCGUUUGGUGAUUAAUGGCAAAGGCAAACUUGGAUAUUUAAAUGGAGAAAUUCAACCUCCAGCUGCUGAUGACCCAAAAUUCCUACAGUGGCGAUCAUAAAAUUCAAUGGUUACCGUCUGGCUUAUUAAUUCCAUGGAACCUACUUUGGGAAAGCCGUUCAUGUUUCUGCCAACUGCUCGUGAUGUCUAGGAGGCUGUUAGAGAGACAUACUCUGACCUAGAGAAUCAUUCUCAAUUAUAUGAAAUAAACACUCGGAUGUGGCGGACGCAAUAAAGUGAUAGAGAUAUAACUGCAUAUUAUAAUGACAUGAUGAUUUUGUGGCAGGAAUUGGAUAUGUUUGAAGUUGAGGUGUGGGAGAGUCCAAAUGACAGCGCUCGAUACAAGAAAAAAGUUGAGCAAAGUCGAGUGUUUGUAUUUUUUGCAGGACUAAAUACAGACCUUGAUGAGGUUUGAGGACGAGUUUAAUUUGGGGCGAAAACCUCUGCCCUCUAUUAGAGAAGUUUUUUCAAAGGUUUGUCGCGAGGAAGCUCGGAGACAUGUGAUGUUAAAGCGAGUAGAGGAACCAAAGACUGAUCUUGAUGGUUUAGCCCUUGUAGCUCGUGGUAAUGAGCAACAAGGAGAUAGACGAGGAGGCAAACAAAGGCCAUGGUGUGAUCAUUGUCGGAAACCGUGGCAUACACGAGAAAGUUGUUGGAAACUCCAUGGAAAACUUGCAAAUUGGAAGGAGAAAUCAGGUGACGAUGCUCGGCCAGCAGGAGAUACUCGUGCUUUACAAGUUAGCACCACUAAUCUAGAGCAGCAGUCAUCCUCAGAAUCUCUUCCUUUUACUAAGGAACAAAUGGAGCACUUAUACAAGAUGUUUCAAUCCCAAUCCACAGGAAAUUCUAGUUCAUCUUGUUCUUUAUCCCAAUCAGGUAAUUUUUUCACCACAGCCUUUACCUGUAUCAAUCCAAACACCUCCUGGAUAUUAGAUUCUAGAGCAACUGAUCAUAUGACUAGGUCCUCGUAGUUGUUUUCUUCUUAUUCACCUUGUGCAAGAAAUCAAAAGGUCAAAAUAGCAGAUGGUUCCUUUGUAACUAUUGCAGGGAAAGGAAAAAUUAUUAUUUCUCCUCUUUUUACUUUGAAAGUUCUUCAUGUUCCUCAUUUGUCGUAUAAUCUCUUGUCAGUCAGUAAAUUAACUCGUGAUCAUAACUGUCAAAUUAAUUUUUGGUCCUCUCAUUGUAAAUUUCAGGAUUUAACCUCGUGGAAGACGACUGGGGAUGCUAGGCAAGACGGUGGCCUCUACCUCUUUAAUAAUGGUUCGAACUUUGGAAGGCAAAACUAGCAGACUUGUUUCAAUUCUAUUUCUAUUUUCAGUAACAAUGAGAUUAUGUUAUGGCAUUUUCGGUUGGGACAUCCAAGUUUUCAAAAUUUAAAAUAGCUAUUACCCAAAUUAUUCAUGAAUAAAAAUGCUUUCAAUUUUCGAUGCGAAGUUUGUGAAUUAGCUAAACAUCAUCGUGCUGUUUUUCUGCCACAACCAUACCAAAAAUCAAAACCAUUUACUAUGAUUCACAGUGAUGUAUGAGGCACUUCUAGAGUGGCAACCUUUUCUAGAAAACGCUGGUUUAUUACAUUUAUUGAUAAUUAUACUAGAGUUACUUGGGUAUUUUUGCUAAAAGAUAAAUCUAAUGCUGAAAGUGUGUUUAAAAAAAUUUAUACUAUAGUACAAACACAAUUUCAGACUCAGAUUAAGAUUUUUUGUAGUGAUAAUGGCAAAGAGUUUUUUAAUCAUGUGUUAGGGAAUUUUUUUGAUGAGAAAGGAAUUAUACAUCAAAGUUCUUGUAGCAAUACUCCACAACAAAAUAGAGUGGCGAAAAAGAAGAAUAAGCAUCUCCUUGAAGUUGCUAGGGCCUUGAGCUUCACAAAUAAAGUUCCAAAGUAUCUUUGGGGAAAAGCUGUUUUGACGACCAUAUUUUUGAUAACUAGAAUGCCUACAAGAACUUUGGGGUUUAAGACACCAAUAAAUCUUUUCAAUGAAUGUUUUCCAGCUUCAAGGUUAAUAAUAAGUAUUCCAUUAAAAUUUUUUGGUAGUAUUGCUUUUGUUCAUAACCAUGACUCUAGAAGAACAAAAUUCGAUCCAAAGGCACAUAAAUGCAUUUUUGUAGGCUAUCCUACAAAUAAAAAAAGUUAUAAAUGCUUUGAUCCAGUUUUGAAAAAAAAAUAUUUGUUUCUAUGGAUGUCACUUUCUUCGAAGGAUAAUCAUAAUUUUCAUUUUCAAGGGGAGAAAAACAAUAGUGAAAAUGAUAUGUGCUUAAAUGAUUCUGACUUAAACAUUGAAUUUGAUUGUAUUAAUAAUGAUGUUUUGCCUAAAGAAAAUGAGAAAGGGAAUCCAAAUGAAUUAACUGUUGAAAAUUCUAGACAACCUCCGUUAAUGCCAUCACAUAACCAAAAUUCUAGAAUGUUAGAGAUGUGCACGAAACGGUAUAAAGGUCUUGUGUAUUCAAAGGAGUACCUAGAACAAAAAAAAAAAGAAGAGGAACAUUGUCCUACAACAUCACCAAGAAUCUGACCAGAGGUUGGAUGAUGAAAAUUCUGACAAGAAUCCUCCAGGUAAUUUUGAGUUAAAUUCCUCAAAUCAAGAAGAUCUUCCUAUUGCUCUUAGGAAAGGUGUUAGGUCUUGUACUAAACAUUAUUUAUCCAACUUUAUUUCUUAUAACAAUGUAACCCCUUUCUUUCGUGCCUUUAUUUCACAAGUCUCUAGUGUGGUUAUUCCAAAUAAUGUACAUGAAGCUCUAAAGGUUCCUGAAUGGAGGGAGGCUAUUUUUGAGGAGAUGAGAGCUCUGGAGAAGAAUGCUACUUGGGAAAAAGUUAAUCUACCACAAUGAAAAGUUUUUGUUGGUUGUCAAUGGGUAUUCACUGUGAAGUAUAACUCUGAUGGGUCCUUAGAACGAUACAAGGCUCGACUGGUAGCGAAAGACUAUACACAAACUUAUGAAAUAGAUUUUUCUGAGACUUUCUCUCCAGUGACUAAACUAAACAUUGUUCGUGUUCUUUUGUCAAUUGCUGCAAUUCUUGACUGGUCUCUAAAUCAGUUAGAUGUAACAAAUGUUUUCCUCAAUGGUGAUCUUGAAGAGGAAGUCUGGAUGGAGCCUCCACCUGGUUUUACCAAGAAGUUUGUAUCCAAAGUAUGUAGACUUAAAAGAUAAUUAUAUGAUCUUAAGCAGUCACCUAGAGCCUGGUUUGAAAGGUUUACAAAGUUUGUGAAGAGCCAGGGCUAUAGCCAUGGACAUGCAAAUCAUACUCUCUUUACAAAAGUCUCCACCAAAGACAAGCUCUCGGUUUUAAUCGUUUAUGUAGAAGAUAUAAUUUUGACAAGAGAUGAUACAGAAGAAAUGAGCUGAUUAAAGCUGUGUUUAGCUAAGGAGUUUGAGAUAAAGGAUUUGGGGCAAUUAAGAUAUUUCUUGGGAAUGAAAAUUGCGAGAUCAAAAAAAGGUAUAGUGGUGUCACAAAGAAAGUAUACCUUGGAUCUCUUGAAAGAAACUGGUAUGAAUGGGUGUAAGCUAGUUGAUACUCCAAUUGAAGCAAAUAUGAAGCUUGGAGAAGUGAAAUGAGGAGUUCAUGUGGAUGCUGGCAGAUAUCAAAGGUUAGUUAGAAAGUUAAUUUAUUUGUCUCAUACUUGACCUGAUAUAGCUUUUGCUAUAAGUAUGGUAAGUUAAUUUAUGCAUUCUCCUUGUGAGGAACAUUUUAAAUCUGUGUUUCGAAUUCUUCGUUAUUUGAAAGCAACUCUGGGGAAAAGUUUGUUUUUUGGUAAAAACCAACAAAGAGGAAUUGAAGUUUAUACCGAUGCAGAUUGGGCAGGUUCAAUCACUGAUAGAAGAUCAACAUCCGGAUACUGCACUUUUAUAUGGGGUAAUCUAGUUACUUGGAGGAGCAAAAAGCAAAGUGUUAUUGCUAGAAGUAGUGCAGAAGCUGAAUUUCGUUCAAUGGCUCAAGGAGUGUGUGAAGUACUUUGGUUAAAACAGGUUCUAGAAGAACUUAAACAACCAUUUAGUCUCCCUAUAAGGCUGUACUGUGAUAAUAAACAGCUAUUAGUAUACCUCAUAAUUCGGUGUUACAUGACAGGACAAAGUAUGUUGAGAUUGAUAGACAUUUUAUAAAAGAGAAGCAUGCUGAGAUUGAUAGACAUUUUCUAUUCUUUCAUGUUAUUCAGAAGCUGCUAAAUAUGAUUGUUGGCGUAAGGCUAUGAAAGAAGAACUUCAAGCUCUUGAGGACAAUCACACAUGGGAUAUUGUUCAUUAUCCGACUAAUGUUAAACAUGUUGGUUUGAUGUCUGUAAGUUGAAGCGAUCACUUUAUGGGUUGAAGUAAGCUCCCUGGGCUUGGUUUGAUAAAUUUCGAUCCACCUUACUUCAAUUCUCGUUUAAGCAAAGCCAAUAUGACUCAUCUUUGUUUCUUUGCAAGACAUCUACUAGUAUUGUUCUUCUCCUAGUUUAUGUUGAUGAUAUUGUUAUUACUAGGACAGAUUUUGUCUUAAUUGCUCGGUUGCAACAACAUCUUCAAGCCUCAUUUCAUAUGAAGGAUCUUGGUCCUCUUACUUAUUUCUUGGGUUUGGAAGUUCAUUACGAUUCUUCAGGUAUUUCUUUGAAUCAACAUAAAUACACAUAAGAUUUGCUUAAAUUAACUGGUCUUCAUGAUGUCUCUCCUGUGGAUAUUCCACAAGAAGUCAACACAAAGAAUCGUAGUGAGGAAGGUAAACUCAUUUAUGAUCCUACUAUCUAUCAACAAUGGGUGGGAAGCUUGAAUUAUUUGACUAUUACGAGGCUGAAUAUUUCCUUUGUUGUCCAGCAAGUAAGUCAAUUGUUGUGCAAAUUUUAAUGUACUCGCAAGCGCACGAAUCUAUUGUAGUAUAGACUAAUGGUGACGAGUGUCGAUCCCACGAGGAGGUGGAUUUUAAUUAUAUGUAGAAUUAAUUUUGUAAAUGGGUGGUUGGAAUUGUGGUGGAAGUGAUUUAAAUUAUCCUAAAAUUGGAAUUGAAAUGGCGAUAAUAAAUUCUAAAAUUGGAAUUGCAAUGACGAGAGUAAAUUGAAGUGAAAUCUAUUGAAAUAACGUACUUGGGUAUCCGGAUCCGUAUCAACAUGCAUCAUGGGCUAAAUAAUCCGUAUUAAUGCCAAUUAAAUCAUGAGGGGGAAUCCACACCUCAUGAACCACGCUCUAAUCAAUAUGGUGCUAAGGGCUUAUCGUGCCAAAUAAUAAUAACCUUAUACUAGAGAGCCGGUGUAACCAAGGCGGUAUCUAGACAAGAUCAGUAUUAUUUGUCGACGAUAAGUCAAAUCAUCCACAAAAACUAGAGGGGAAAAGAAAAUAAAUUUACCAAAUAAAGCCCAUGACACAUGUUGAGACUUCACCUUCAACCCAAGCUUGAAAGGAAAUUAGCUACUCAUAAUUGAACUAGGGGCAAAAUGGGAAUUUAUUAAAAUACAAAGAAAAUACAAGAUGGAGAAGGAAUUACAGAAAAUGGAUCCCAAAAAUGGAUUCAGAGAUAUCAAAUUAGGGGGGGGAGGCCCCCUUUUUAUAGAUACAUGGAGUAAAUCAUGGCCAUCGGAUUAAAAACAGUUUGGACGCUCAGGAUUGCGCCACGUCAUCAGUCAACAGUCCACGGUUUGACCACGCGGAUGAACAGUAACACGGUUUGACCCGGAUGAACAGUAACGCGGUUUGGUUGAAAAUAAUCCUGUGUGAUGCAUGCACCGUACGUGAGAUUUUUCGUCCACUGAUAUGCUGCCACGUCACCAUCAACAGUACAUAAGAAUUUUAGCCCAACAGGAUCGUGACACCUCAUCAGUCAAUGCCACAUCAUCGGUCAAUGCCACGUCAUCGAUCCGUCUAUGUGAACAGUGUCGUGAACAGUAACGUAGACAGUACCGUAUACGUGAAUAGUACCGUACAUGUGAACAGUGCCAUUUUUCCUUUUAUGCUCCUCCUAAGGUUUUCGACCGUCCUGAGUUCAAAAGUGAUGUCCGUUUUGCCGUCUGAUCUCUCCUUUAUUGUGAAAUGACUAUAAUGCCCCUAAAAUACAUAAAAUACUUAAUUAAAAUAACACACACGUAAUUACAUCACAAGAAGGUUAAAUACAUAAAAGUAAGGGUUGUUAGUAAGACUUGAAAUGUAAAAUGACGGUUUUCUCCUUUAUAAAUAUGUAUUUUCUAACACUCAACACACCCCCCAACCAGCUUAUUGCUAGUCCCUAGCAAAUAAAGCGAAAACAAAAUUCAAAUUCAAAAUGAUUUUUUUUUUUUUUUUUUUUAGAAACACUCGUGUUUAUUCAAUCAGAUUAAUGAUAGCAAUCAAAUAAAAGUAUAAGCAUUAUCUCCAGUCUAAAGCAACAUCACACCCACAUCAACCAUCCACAUGAAUUAGCCCAGUAGACUUUGUUAUAGCUACUUUCAAGAAUGACAUGUCAAACCCCAAAAUCUCACUGGAAGUAGUGACACUCUCACAAAGAAAUUAAAACCCAAUAAACAUAGUCACUCCAAUGAAUGGUAAUUGAGAGAGAAAAUAAUAAAGAAAUGAUAUCACAUGCUCUCACCAAGAUGAAAUAAAUAUGCCCUCAGCUUAGAAAUAAUACGAUCUCAAGUCAAAUAAAAUGUUAGUCAACCCACUUUAUUUAUCUUUUUUUUUUUUUUUAUUAUGCAUCACUACAUCUUUUUAGCCCAUAUAACUAGCUUCUACUUCAAACUAUAGUUCCCUAAAAUCAAGAAGGACUUUUAUUAGGACGUAACGUAGGCUAGGGAUAUGGCUAACAAAGAAAGGAAAUAAGGAAAACAAAGUGUAUGUUUGAGAAAAAUGCAGAAAUUUUUUUUUUUUUUUUUUUUUUUUUGGAAGUUGCAAGGUGGAUUUCACCUAUUAUUGUUAUUUUUAUUCUUUUGAAACAACAACUUUGGUUUUUGUUUUUUUUUUCUUUUUGCUUUUAUUUGGCAUAACUUCACUGAACAACAUAAUUAUUUACAUUUUCUCAAACAUAAAUAGGUGAUGGAACUUAAAAGACAUUGGGUAAUACUCCAAAUCGGAGUGGGUCAAGAUGAUAAGUUGACAAAGAAAAGGUUUUUGUUCUUUUUUUUUUUUUUUUUUUUUUUAAAGGCUCAAAAGGGGUAACUAUGGAUAUUUAAUAAAAGGGAUGGCUAGAAAGGCUCAAACGGAUCAAAGAUGGCCUUUCCAUCGUCUUUUAGGGCUCUAAAUAAUUAUCCAUAUCUACUAGUUAGAUGAGCCUCCCAAUGUAGCAACACGCAUUUUUUUUUUCUUUUUUUUUUAAUUUUACCAUAUUUUUUUUUUUAAAGGGUUAACUUAAAAGAAAUCUAGAGAUCGUGUAUAAAAUAAUAAACUGCUAAGCUGUAUAGAGAAUGGGCAAAAGGGUUACUCUCCAAGAAAAUGAUAGGCUCAACAACUCACUUGGCACUUAUUUAUGACAUGUUCAUUCCUUCAAGCAACUCAUAUUUGUCUCCGACAUCAACAUGUAAAGUAGCAAACAUAGCGUAACAUCACUUAAGACCAAAGAUAAUACAAAUACUAAAAUUUGAAAUUAAUCAUGUCAUUCAAUGUUAAAACAAAUCACACAAAUAUAUAUAUAUAUAUAUUUUAAACAACAUUCUACCCCCCAACCUAUUCUAAACAUGAAAGGAAAAUAUGUAUGCAGAAAUGUGAAAAUGAUGUAGAAAAAUUAAUUAGAAAAAGAAUUUUUUUUUUUUUUUUUAAACUAAGAAGAUGCGUUUCUAGAGGCACUACACUCCAUAUUCAGCCAUCUUCGACUCAAAAAUUUGAAACUACAUAUUUAUAAAGGAGAAAGAGGAAGAAAACAUGUUUUUUUUUUUUUUUUUUUUAAACGAUGAAGAUGCGUUUCUAGAGUAACUACACUCCAUAUUCAGCCAUCUUCAACAUAAAAUGUUAGCAACAAUUAGUUUCUACAACAAAAAAUUAGUAAAAACUUAACCAAGAUUCCACAAUCGUCGACUAUUCCCUCCCCCCAACCAGAACGAAACAUUGUCCUCAAUGUUUUAAAGGAAAGAAGUAGAGUUUAGAAGACAUCACCUGGGUGGUGCAACACAAAAGAAAAUAUUUACAGGCGGAGAGUUAAAUCUAAUUUGUACUUCUUACUGCGGCUACUGUUACCAUCAUUAUUUAGUCGCUCCAACACAAAGGUCCAGGGGUCUGGCUCCGGUUUAUAAGCUUGUAACAUAUCAAGUAGCUCAUUAGCAGUGUGAGCACAAAUAAAGAGUUUUUUCACAUUAGAAGGAAUGAAAUAGUUUUUUAUUGCAUGGUUAAGAAAUGCGAUAAAGCCAUCAUAAAAGUUAUUGACAUUUAACAAACCGAUGGGUUUCUGGUGGAUGUGCAGAUGGGCCCAAGAUGCUAGUGUCAUAAGUGCCUCUAGUGUUGCAAGAUCUCCUGGAAGGAAAAUAAAAGCAUCAGCAUGAUUAAGCAUUUCAGUUAUUCUUUCUUGCAUACCUGAGACGACUAAGUCUUCUCCAGUUGAUGAGUCAGACGAACUGCCCAAUGGUUUUAGGACUCUUGGGAUGAUGCCUAACACUUGACUUCCUCUGAUAAAAGCUGCUUCUGAGACCAUUUUUGAUAACCCUCGGUUACCUCCUCCAUACACCAAGUGUAAUUUUCUCUCUGCUAUGCUUCGACCAAGAUCUAUGGCUGCCUCAACGAACUCUUUAUGUUUGCCAUAGGUAAAUCCAGAAAGCACACAAAUGUUCUUGAAUUGUCUAUUUGGAGUAGCUGUCAUUGUGAUACUUCUCAAAAAAAAUAAUUUGUGAGUGCUUGACAAAAGAUAUCACAUUUAAGAGGCUUGGUGAUAGUGGGUCAUGGUUGUGUAUGAGGUAAUGUGUCAGUGUCAAAUAACGCGUAAAGCACGUGGCUCGCAAGUCAAAAAGAAAACAGUAAAAAAAAGAAAAAGCAAACAGUAAUAAAAUUAUUAAAGACAAUAAUGCAAAAAUAAGACAAUAGGGAAAUAAAAUAACAAUAAAGUAAAAGGAUAUUUACAGGUAGUUGCGACUGUGGCUCACAUCUUCCUCUGGUUUUACGUCCAGAAACGGCUUGAACGCCCUCUAUGGGUCGAGGAUCGGCUUCCCAUCCAGUUUUCUUAUAAACUGACAAACAGGGUCGUUUAUAGUCAGAUUCCCGAGACUAUAUCGUGCAUGCUCUUUCUGGAAUAAUGGCCAUAACCGGAGAAUCGCUCCUUGCACAUAUCCACUGGGAUGCGUUUCAAGAGACAGAAGGAUAUCAUCCAAUGACUCCUUAUUCAAGCCAUCCCUAAUGAAUUGAAUCUUAUCUUCCCUGUUAUCAGACACCAUUCCUAAAGAACAUGGGUUUUUAUCGCAACUCAUUCUGGCACACUUAUGACAAGCAACAGAAAUUCUUCGAGCUCGUCGUUUUCUUGCGUAAUUGCCUUUACCACAACCAGGCAUGUAUGCAAUAAAUUUAGGAGGUAACUCACCUGCUAAUCGUACUUUAGCCUCGAUUAACCAACGGAUGUCUGCAGGUAUGUUAUUCCUCAUGAGCAAUCGCAUGCGUUCAGACCGGGCUUUAUAGAUUGUAAGGAGGGCAUUCUGAGGAAGUGAAGGGAAUCGCUUGUGAAGCUUUGCUAAAAUCUCGUUUCUAUCCAUACCUUCGCCUCAGAAUAUCAGUUAUUAUGGGAAACUGAAGUUAACCGACUUGAUUGUCACGGAGUACCGUUAUCCGCCACUUCACCGGGGUAACAAACUAAAGCACACAAACAGAAAAACAAAUUAAAACACACAAAGAAAAUUAAAAUCGUCCUCUUAUUGAAUUUACCUCAAGCUCCAACUGGAUGUCGUAAACACUUCUCUCAAUGUCUCUGAGUUGGCGUUCUAAACCCUCAACAUAGGCUACUAACUCUGGUGGUUGUAGAGCCCAAAUGCGUUGUGUUUUACAAAAUAGAAUCUGCCUUUUGAGAUGAGUUUUGACACGUUGAAGUGAUUUAAGAAUGUUCAGGAGGAACGGUCUAAGUAUGAGACUCAUGAUUAAAAAUGAUAAGAGAAAACUUAAUUGUUAAACAAACACACUUAUGCAAAAAUAAUUUCAAUUAGCAAAAGAAUAAUAAAAAGAAAGAAAGAAAAAUCAAAUCAAUAAAAAGAGAAAAAAAAAAAUUAAUUCAAAUCUGGUGGGUCACUCAAAUUUAUUUCGGUGUCUUCUUCAUGUGGUUGGUACUCUAGAUAUGGCUUUAAUCUUUGACCAUUAACUUUAAACGUGACACCGUUCUUUGGGUCUUUAAUUUCAAUUGCCCCAUGUGGAAAAACAGUAUGAACAAUAAAGGGACCAGACCAUCGAGAGCGUAACUUACCUGGGAAUAGGUGCAAGCGAGAAUUGAAUAAAAGUACUUUCUGACCUGGAGUGAAAGAUUUUCUCAUAACGUGCUUGUCGUGGAAGACUUUCAUCCGCUGCUUGUAAAUUUUGGCAUUUUCAUAUGCAUCAUUGCGAAUUUCUUCAAGUUCUGCCAGUUGUAAUCUUCUCUCUGAGCUGGCUUGCUGCAUGUCAAAGUUGAAUUUCUUGAUGGCCCAAUAUGCACGAUGCUCGAGUUCCACAGGUAGGUGGCAAGCUUUUCCAUACACUAGCCUGUAGGGUGACAUCCCAAUCGGGGUCUUGAAAGCCGUUCUAUAUGCCCAUAAUGCAUCAUCAAGUCGUAAUGACCAAUCUUUCCUGUCUGGCCUCACCGUUUUUUCUAAUAUGUGCUUGAUUUCUCGAUUGGAGAUCUCAACUUGGCCACUGGUUUGCGGAUGAUACGGGGUCGCCACUUUGUGUGUGAUUGAAUACUUUGUCAAAAGAGCUUUGAAUGCUUUGUUACAAAAGUGGGCACCACCAUCACUGAUUAUCGCUCGAGGGAAUCCAAAGCGUGAAACAAUGUUGCUUUUCAAAAAUCCUAUCACCACUUUGUGAUCAUUGGUCCUACAUGGAAUUGCUUCUACCCAUUUCGAGACGUAGUCAACACCAACCAAUAUGUAUUGAUGGCCAAUAGAAGGGGGAAAGGGUCCCAUGAAGUCGAUACCCCAUACGUCAAAAUCUCAACCACUAAAAUUGGAUUUAGUGGCAUCAUGUUUCUUCGUGUAAUGCUCCCCAUUCGUUGACACCUAUCACAUGAAGAACAGAAAGUGUAAGCAUCUCGAAAUAUAGUUGGCCAAUAGAAACCACAUUGUAAAACUUUAGUCGCUGUUUUCUUAGCACUGAAAUGGCCUCCACAAGCUUGUUCAUGGCAGAAUGAAAGGAUAUUCUGAAUUUCACUUUCUGGGACACAUCGUCUAACAAUUUGAUCCGCACAAUACUUGAACAAAUACGGGUCAUCCCAAAAGAAAUUCUUUAUUUCUGCAAAGAAUUUAGCCUUAUCUUGCUUGGUCCAAUGCUCUGGGAAUUUACCUGUAACAAGAUAAUUAACUAUAUCAGCAUACCAAGGUAAUACUUCCACAUUCAUCAAUUGUUCAUCUGGGAAUGACUCAUUUAAUGGUAAUGGCUCUGUAAUUGUGUCAAAAUGGAGACGAGAGAGAUGGUCCGCCACGACAUUUUCUGUGCCUUUCUUAUCUUUGAAUUCCAAGUCAAAUUCCUGCAAAAGUAAUACCCAACGAAUUAGUCUAGCUUUUGCAUCUUUCUUUGUGAGAAGAUAUUUAAGAGCAGCAUGAUCUGUGAAUAUAAUUAUUUUAUAACCAAUGAGAUAAGAUCGAAAUUUUUCCAAUGCAAACACUACUGCUAGCAUUUCUUUUUCAGUAGUUGAAUAAUUCAACUGUGCAUCAUUCAAUGUCAUACUAGCAUAGUAAAUAACAUGAGGAAUUCGGUCAUCUCUUUGUCCUAAAACUGCUCCUACUGCAUAAUCAGAUGCAUCACACAUAAGCUCAAAUGGUAAGCUCCAGUUUGGGGCCUGAAUGAUGGGUGAUGAUGUCAACAAUUGCUUUAAUUUUUCAAAAGCCAUAAGACAUGAAUCAUUAAAGAUAAAAGGUACAUCCUUAGCAAGUAAAUUGCAUAAGGGUCUAGAAACUUUGCUAAAAUCUUUAAUGAAACGUCUAUAGAAACCAGCAUGCCCAAGGAAAGAUCUUACUUCUCUGACUGUUUUAGGUGGAGGAAGAUUAGAAAUGAGAUCCACCUUGGCUUUGUCAACCUCAAUACCUUUGCUCGAAAUGAUGUGACCGAGAACAAUACCUUGUUUUACCAUAAAAUGGCACUUCUCCCAAUUCAAGACUAAGUUCUUCUCGGUACAUCUCUGCAGAACUAGCGUUAGAUGAUGUAAACAUUGAUCAAACGAGUCACCAAAGACAGAAAAGUCAUCCAUAAAGACUUCAAGGAAUCGUUCAACCAUAUCAGAAAAAAUGCUUAACAUGCAUCGUUGAAAUGUAGCAGGUGCAUUACAUAAUCCAAAUGGCAUUCUCCUAUAUGCAAAUGUGCCAAAAGGGCAAGUGAAAGUAGUUUUCUCUUGAUCUUUUGGUGCUAUGGGAAUCUGAUUAUAUCCUGAAUAGCCAUCUAGAAAGCAAUAAAAUUCAUGGCCUGCUAAUCUAUCAAGCAUUUGAUCAAUAAAUGGUAAAGGAAAAUGGUCUUUACGUGUGUCAGAAUUCAACUUUCUAUAAUCAAUGCAUACACGCCAUCCUGUAGUUACUCUAGUUGGUAUCAAUUCAUUAUCAGCAUUGGUAACUACUGUGACUCCUGACUUUUUGGGGACAACUUGUACAGGACUGACCCAUGAACUAUCAGAAAUUGGGUAAAUGAUACCUGCGUCUAAUAGCUUAAGGACUUCUGUUCUAACAACUUCUUUCAUAUUAGGAUUUAACCGACGUUGCAUUUCCCUAGUAGAUUUAGCAUUUUCAUCAAGGUGAAUGUAAUGCAUGCAGUCUACUGGAUUUAUACCUUUUAUGUCCGCUAUGGUCCAUCCUAAUGCCCCUUUGUGCUCUUUCAAAACAUCCAACAACUUACCUUUUUGUUCGUUAUUUAGGGAUGAUGAGAUGAUUACCGGUAGAGUGCUUUCUUCUCCUAAAAACGCAUAUUCCAAUGUGUUGGGUAAUGGUUUGAGCUCGAGUUUCGGUGGUGAUUCUGAUGAUGGGAUGAGUUUCUUCUCUGAUGGUGCUAGUUGUUCAACUCUUGACUUCCAUUUAUUAGUGUCCAUGGAUGGUGCUGAGUCAAGUAGGGCGUUGACCUCUUCGACCGAUCUGUCAAUAUCAAAAUUCAAACCAAAGUGAGUUAAACAUGUUUGUAAAGGAUCAUCACUAAGGUUUGAAAGAAAAGUAUUAUCAACUAUUGUUUCUAUUAAAUCCACAUCAACAAUUCCAUCAUCUGCAUUAUGAGGUUGUUUGGCAAUGUUGAAGAUGUUCAGCUCCAUAGUCAUGUUGCCGAAAGACAACUGCAUAUUUCCAGUCCUGCAUUGAAUGUGAGCAUCCGCAGUUGCCAAGAAAGGUCGGCCUAGAAUAAUGGGGAUGUGAUUCCUUGAAUCCUGUAUUGGUUGAGUGUCAAUUACAAUGAAAUCAACAGGAAAAUAAAACUUGUCUACCUGGAUAAGCACGUCCUCCACAAUACCACGAGGUAUUUUCGUGGACCGAUCUGCAAGCUGUAACACCACUGGAGUUGGGUGUAAUUCUCCCAGUCCAAGUUUCAAAAAUACUGAGUAAGGCAACAGAUUUACACUAGCUCCUAAAUCCAACAAAGCAUUCUCAAUUGUGUGGUUCCCUAUGCUACAUGAAAUAGUGGGGGAGCCUGGGUCUUUGCAUUUUAAAGGAAUUUUAUGUUGGAGUAUAGAACUAACGUUUUCUGUUAAAAAUGCCUUCUUUUGAACAUGCAUAUUUCUCUUUUUAGUACAAAGAUCUUUAAGAAACUUGGCAUAAGAUGGAACUUGUUUAAUAGCAUCAAGUAAAGGGAUGUUAACACUUACCUGUUUGAAGAUUUCAAGAAUCUCACUUGUGGAUUUUCCCUUUUUUCCUUUCGCUAACCUCUGAGGAAAUGGAGCUUUUGGAACAUAUUCUCGUGGGUUGGUUUCUUCUCUCUCCUCCGGUGAUGAGUCUUCAACAUUCACAGGUACAAUUUGAUUUUCUUUUGUCACCGGCAUCUCCACUUUGUUGUCGACUUCUUUUCCUUUUCGCAAGGUCAUGACUGCUUUGACCUCUCCAUGCUGCUGUGGUGAACUAGUACUUGCUUCAUGUACUCCUUUAGGAUUAGGCACUGGUUGACUUGGAAACUUGCCUUUCUCAACAGUCAUUGCCAAUGUCUGAACUGAAGAAGCAAGUUGUCCCACCAUCUUCUCGAGGCUUGAAACUGAUUGGGCUUGUGAGUUGAAGCCUGCUCUCAACUCAUUUCGUAGUCCAUCAAUGGUGCGAUUCUGUUGCUCAAUGGUAGAAUGAGUAACAUUCUUGAAAUUCUGGAAUGCAUCCUCCCAUGGUCUAGGUUGAGAGUAGUUCUGGUUCUGAUUGUAUGGUCUGAAUGGUUGCUGAGAGGCUUGAGGAUUUUGAGGAAUUUGUUGCAUUGGUGGAGCUGGAGCUGCUGGUCCAUUCUGUUGGAAUCCUUGAGACCAUGAAAAAUUGGGGUGGUCUCUCCAUCCAGGAUUAUAUGUGUUGGAGUAUGGGUUGUAAUUCGAUGGUUUUCUCAUUACACCUAUGGCAUUGGCUUGAUCUGGAUAUGAGUCAGGGUCAUGUGGCUCUGUUGAUUUAGCAGUCGAUAACGAUGCUAUUUGUCGAGAGAGACCUUCAAUUAUUGCUUUGACUUCUUUAAUUUCUGAAGUUGACUCGCUAAUUUGAACCUCAUUUACUCCCUUAAUUCUUCUAGUAUUCCUGAGUGAUCGACUCCGUUGUUGGGAAUUAUCCGCUUGUCGCUGGAAGAAUUCUCAAAUCUCUGAUGCACUUUUUGACAUUAGCUCUCCUCCACUUGUUGCCAUUAGCCAUUCUUGCACAUUCGGCAAUAAUCCCUCCAAAAAGUAUUGGCAUUGAUGCCAUUUUUCGUACCCAUGAUGUGGACACUUCAAGAGUAGCCCAUUGAAUCGCUCCCAAGUUUCGAAAAAACUGCUCGUCCUCUCUUUGUGUAAACUCUGAAAUUUCCCUGCGAAUAGAAUUGGUUUUAUGCACUGGGAAAUAUUUAUUUAGAAAUUUUGUAACCAUUUGUUCCCAUGAUGCAAUGCUAUUAGCAGGCAAAGUAUUUAACCAUGAACGAGCUCUAUCCUUUAAAGAAAAUGGGAAUAAUCUAAGUUUAACAUCAUCGUCUGAAAAAUUUUCAUAUUUAAAAGUUUGACAAAUGGCAUGAAAAUCAUUCAGAUGAUUAUAUGGGUCCUCAUUUUCUAGGCCAUAGAAUGUGGGGAGACAAUUUAGCACACUAGGUUUUAAUUCAAAACUCCUAGCAGCUACAUUUGGAUAUCUAAUACAUGAUGUGCUCAAAUUAGCUAAGGGACUAAAAUAGUCCUUAAAUGGCCUCUCCUGUGGUUGCAAAUCCAUUUUAUUUUUAAUGUGUUUGUGUGUGCGAAGUGUUUUUUCUAAUUCAAGGUCUAUAGGUUCAAGAUUAGGUAAUAAUGACCUACGACCAUGCAUGCAAAAUAAAAAAAAUAAAAAUAAAGAUGCAAACAAAACAAAAAAUAAAGAUGAGAACAAAACAAAUAAAAAUAAAGAAGAGGGAGAAAUUACGAUACUAACCUUAUUACGCUGUUACAACCUUUCUAUAAAAAUACACAAAAACAAAUACGUGAAAUAAAUUAACUAAAAUUAAAUUAAUAAAAUAAACAAAAAAAUUACAAAGAAAGAAAAAAAAUAAAUUGAAAAUUAAAUUACAAAAUUUUAAAGAAGAGAAAAAGAAAAGAAAUACUAACCUUUAAUUUUAGAUUCACUUUUUUUUUAAUAAAAAAAAAUUACAAAAAACAAUUAAAAGAAAUUAAUCACAAAAAUUAAUUCUACGAAUUAAAAUAACUUACCUCCCCGGCAACGGCGCCAAAAACUUGUUGUGCAAAUUUUAAUGUACUCGCAAGCGCACGAAUCUAUUGUAGUAUAGACUAAUGGUGACGAGUGUCGAUCCCACGAGGAGGUGGAUUUUAAUUAUAUGUAGAAUUAAUUUUGUAAAUGGGUGGUUGGAAUUGUGGUGGAAGUGAUUUAAAUUAUCCUAAAAUUGGAAUUGAAAUGGCGAUAAUAAAUUCUAAAAUUGGAAUUGCAAUGAGGAGAGUAAAUUGAAGUGAAAUCUAUUGAAAUAACGUACUUGGGUAUCCGGAUCCGUAUCAACAUGCAUCAUGGGCUAAAUAAUCCGUAUUAAUGCCAAUUAAAUCAUGAGGGGGGAAUCCACACCUCAUGAACCACGCUCUAAUCAAUAUGGUGCUAAGGGCUUAUCGUGCCAAAUAAUAAUAACCUUAUACUAGAGAGCCGGUGUAACCAAGGCGGUAUCUAGACAAGAUCAGUAUUAUUUGUCGACGAUAAGUCAAAUCAUCCACAAAAACUAGAGGGGAAAAGAAAAUAAAUUUACCAAAUAAAGCCCAUGACACAUGUUGAGACUUCACCUUCAACCCAAGCUUGAAAGGAAAUUAGCUACUCAUAAUUGAACUAGGGGCAAAAUGGGAAUUUAUUAAAAUAUAAAGAAAAUACAAGAUGGAGAAGGAAUUACAGAAAAUGGAUCCCAAAAAUGGAUUUAGAGAUAUCAAAUUAGGGGGGGGAGGCCCCCUUUUUAUAGAUACAUGGAGUAAAUCAUGGCCAUCGGAUUAAAAACAGUUUGGACGCUCAGGAUUGCGCCACGUCAUCAGUCAACAGUCCACGGUUUGACCACGCGGAUGAACAGUAACACGGUUUGACCCGGAUGAACAGUAACGCGGUUUGGUUGAAAAUAAUCCUGUGUGAUGCAUGCACCGUACGUGAGAUUUUUCGUCCACUGAUAUGCUGCCACGUCACCAUCAACAGUACAUAAGAAUUUUAGCCCAACAGGAUCGUGACACCUCAUCAGUCAAUGCCACAUCAUCGGUCAAUGCCACGUCAUCGAUCCGUCUAUGUGAACAGUGUCGUGAACAGUAACGUAGACAGUACCGUAUACGUGAAUAGUACCGUACAUGUGAACAGUGCCAUUUUUCCUUUUAUGCUCCUCCUAAGGUUUUCGACCGUCCUGAGUUCAAAAGUGAUGUCCGUUUUGCCGUCUGAUCUCUCCUUUAUUGUGAAAUGACUAUAAUGCCCCUAAAAUACAUAAAAUACUUAAUUAAAAUAACACACACGUAAUUACAUCACAAGAAGGUUAAAUACAUAAAAGUAAGGGUUGUUAGUAAGACUUGAAAUGUAAAAUGACGGUUUUCUCCUUUAUAAAUAUGUAUUUUCUAACACUCAACAUCAAUUCAUGCAACAUCCCCGUCAUUUACAUUUAGCUGUUGUUCGUCGUAUCCUCUAAUACCUUCGCGGGACUCCUAGCCGUGGAUUGUUCUUUCCCGCUCGUUCUUCUCCUUAUCUUGUUGCCCAUUGUGACGUUGAUUAGACUGGCUGUCCGGACACUCGAUGAUCUGUCACGGGCUGGUGCACGUUUCUUGGGAAUUCCUUGAUUUCUUGGAAGAGUAAGAAGCAAGAUCGUGUUUCUAAAUCUUCAACUGAAUCUGAAUACCGUGCUAUGUCCGCUGCUUGUUCAGAGAUUAUUUGGCUUCGUGGACUUCUAGCCGAGCUUGGUUUCUCUCAAUCCAAUCCUACUUCACUCCAUGUUGAUAACACUAGUGCUAUUCAGCUUUGCUACAAGCCCAGUUUUCCAUGAGCGCACUAAGCAUAUUGAGGUAGAUUGUCAUUAUAUUCGCGAAGCUUUGGACACUCGUAUUAUUUAUCGUCCUCAUAUUUCCACUACUCUCUAGAGAGCUCUCUAGAGAGCUGAUGUAUUUACCAAGGCUAUGACACGAAAGCAUCAUCAAUUUCUUGUGAGCAAAUUGAUGCUUCUUGAUUGACCAACAUCAAUUUGAGGGGGGAUGACAACAUAUAUCAAGGCAUAAAUUAUGUAUCAUAGCUAUAUAUAUAUUGUAAUUAGGAGUAUUUGUAAUUUCCUUGUUUACAUAGAUCUAAUUGCUAGAAAUUAGCCUAGAUUUGGUUGAUGUACUAGCUGAAAAUCAGCCUUGUAAAUCUCUAUAGUUUCUAUAUAAUGAGAGGAACUCUCACAAUGAGAGACAUUCAAUCCAAUUGAUAAGAAGAACACUUGCCAAAAAUUUCUUGCAUUGCACAAAUGCCUUCAGCAGCUUCAAACCAUAACCAGUAACCACUGUAAAAUUUUAAAAAAAAAAAUCAGAUUAUUAAACACAUGGUCCCAAACAAUUAAAUCACUAAGAAAAUAACUUAACAAACCUCAUCAAGGCCAAAAUCACAUCUUUUUCCUGAAGGUCACCGAAAUCCCCAUCAAACUUUUUAUGCAAAGUGACACAAGAGGUUACAUUUUUUUUUAAAAAAAAAACCCACUAGAUCGUGGAUAUUGAAAUAGAAAUUGAAGAGCGAAGACAUGAAAAAUCAGUGUAGAGUGGAGAUUAGAGAUCGAUAAGCACUGAUUUGUUUUUUAAAGAUAUACGGUAGCGAGAGUUGAGAGAAAGGAAAGAAAGAGAGGGAAUUGAAGAUUUUUGGUUCUCAUGAAGUAAAAUAUGAAGUAUUUAUACUUUUAAUAAAAAAAAAUUAAAAUCUUCAAUUUUACAGAUUAAAAAAAUAAAUUUUGUUCAAUAUUUCAUUUAGGAGCAGUUUGCCCACGAAAAAUUUUUUCAUGUCAUUUUAAUUUACUUAUCUUAGUAAAUUAAUUUAAUAGAAUAAUAUUUAUUUGUAUAAUUUGUAUUAUAAAUGCUACUUAUUUUUAAUUGCUAUAUUUCAGUGACUCUUGAUUUUAUUAUCUAAAGAGUUGUAAUUAUGUAAUGUUUAAAAUUUAUAACGGUAAAUAUAAUAAAUACAAGAUUAUUUAGUUGUAUUAAAAUUGUAAUUAUGCUUGUGGAUGGCACAUGGUUAAGGGUUUGAAUCCCAUGUGAGGAGGAAAUUAAGUUGUUACUAUAUUAACUAAUAAAAUAUAAUAAUAUAUAUGUCACAUUGGUAAUUACAUUGUGAAUUUAUGUCACUAUAGUCAUGGGGCAUAAUUGUCCAAAAAGAUGUAUAUGUAGAUUAUAGACUAUAUACACAUUCUAAUAAUAAAAAUCUAAUAUUGAUAAUAAGUAUCAUAGUUGAGUUCUUUUUAAUCAAUGGUUACUAACAACAUAAAUAAUAAGUUUAAUACUAUAAAUCAUUAAUUACAAUACUACUAAAAGCAAUAGAUUAAAAAUUAAUAUUACAUUUAAUGUAUAGAAGUGUCCGUUAUAAGUAUUUAGGAAAAAUGUGGUAACUUGAUAGUAGUGAAUAAAUGUAACCAUCAAAAUAAUGCAGUGUAAAAGAAUAAAUUAAUUUUACAUAAGUUUGUAUGAAUUAGUCUGCGUAAGAGAUUGAGAUACCAUAUAUUUGUCUAUACAUAUCAUAUAAUAAUAUUAGCCACUAAUAUUAAAUCAAUAGUAAUAAAAAAUAAUAUUUUAUCGUUAAUUAUAAUGUUUGGUCCAAUUAACAAGAUAAUUGUUUGAUAAUUAUCUAAUAGUUGAACCAAAACUAUUCUCAUAUUAGUAGGCAGAGGCUUGAAUACUCUAUAUGCAUUAUGGAUUGAUUUCUUCUAAAUAUGUGAAAAUAAAAAUGAUUACUAUGGGUCUAGAUAUUCAUAUUACAUUUUUCCAACAAAAUUAAUAAAAUAAUAUGAUAACUUUUUAUGCAAAAUAUCAUUAAAUUUAUAAUGUACGUAAUAAAAAUAUUUAAUAAUUUAUAAUUAUAAUUAUUUACUUAUAUUAUAUAAUAUUCUCAUUAGCAAGAAGUCACAUAUUUUGAGAAAAAAAAUCUAAUUUAUUUUCAUAUAAAGUUGAGGGGGUAAUUGAUAUUUUUAUAUUAAAUUGAUUAUUUUUGUUAUUUUCUUAAAACUAGGGUAUCUGAAUGAUAUUUACCUUUAAUAUUUUUCACUAUCACCGAGUUAUAUAAGGGGCAACCAGUGGCGGUUAUAGAACCCAUUAAAAAAAUAAUAAAAAGCGGCUGUAUCUGUAUUANNNNNUUAAUUAAUUAANNNNNCCAUAACUGGAGAAAUCGCUCCUUGCACAUAUCCACUGGGAUGCGUUUCAAGAGACAAAGGAUAUCAUCCAAUGACUCCUUAUUCAAGCCAUCCCUAAUGAAUUGAAUCUUAUCUUCCCUGUUACAGACACCAUUCCUAAAGAACAUGGGUUUCUAUCGCAACUCAUUCUGGCACACUUGUGACAAGCAACAGAAAUUCUUCGAGCUCGUCGUUUUCUUGCGUAAUUUCCUUUACCACAACCAGGCAUGUAUGCAAUAAAUUUAGGAGGUAACUCACCUGCCAAUCGUACUUUAGCCUCGAUUAACCAACGGAUGUCUGCAGGUAUGUUAUUCCUCAUGAGCAAUCGCAUGCGUUCAGACCGGGCUUUAUAGAUUGUAAGGAGGGCAUUCUGAGGAAGUGAAGGGAAUCGCUUGUGAAGCUUUGCUAGAAUCUCGUUUCUAUCCAUACCUUCGCCUCAGAAUAUCAGUUAUUAUGGGAAACUGAAGUUAACCGACUUGAUUGUCACGGAAGUACCGUUAUCCGCCACUUCACCGGGGGUAACAAACUAAAGCACACAAACAGAAAAACAAAUCAAAACACACAAAGAAAAUUAAAAUCGUCCUCUUAUUGAAUUUACCUCAAGCUCCAACUGGAUGUCGUAAACACUUCUCUCAAUGUCUCUGAGUUGGCGUUCUAAACCCUCAACAUAGGCUACUAACUCUGGUGGUUGUUUAGAGCCCAAAUGCGUUGUGUUUUACAAAAUAGAAUCUGCCUUUUGAGAUGAGUUUUGACACGUUGAAGUGGUUUAAGAAUGUUCAGGAGGAACGGUCUAAGUAUGAGACUCAUGAUUAAAAAUGAUAAGAGAAAACUUAAUGGUAAAAUAAACACACUUAUGCAAAAACAAUUUCAAUUAGCCAAAAGAAUAAUAAUAAAAAGAAAUAAAGAAAAAUCAAAUCAACGAAAAGAAAAAAAAAAAUCAAUUCAAAUUUGGUGGGUCACUCAAAUUUAUUUCGAUGUUUUCUCCAUGUGGUUGGUACUCUAGAUAUGGCUUUAAUCUUUGACCAUUAACUUUAAACGUGACACCGUUCUUUGGGUCCUUAAUUUCAAUUGCCCCAUGUUGAAAAACAGUAUGUACAAUAAAUGGGCCAGACCAACGAGAGCGUAACUUACCUGGGAAUAGGUGCAAGCGAGAAUUGAAUAAAAGCACUUUCUGACCUGGAGUGAAUGAUUUUCUCAUAAUGUGCUUGUCAUGAAAGACUUUCAUUCGUUGCUUGUAAAUCUUGGCAUUUUCGUAUGCAAUCAUUGCGAAUUUCUUCAAGUUCUGUCAGUUGUAAUCUUCUUUCUGAGCUGGCUUGCUACAUGUCAAAGUUGAAUUUCUUGAUGGCCCAAUAUGCACGAUGCUCGAGUUCCACAGGUAGUGGCAAGCUUUUCCAUACACUAGCCUGUAGGGUGACAUCCCAAUGGGGGUCUUGAAAGCGUUCUAUAUGCCCAUAAUGCAUCAUCAAGUCUUAAUGACCAAUCUUUUCUGUCUGCCUCACCGUUUUUUCUAAUAUGUGCUUUAUUUCUCGAUUGGAGAUCUCAACUUGGCCACUGUUUGCGGAUGAUACGGGGUCGCCACUUUGUGUGUGAUUGAAUACUUUGUCAAAAGAGCCUUGAAUGCUUUGUUACAAAAGUGGGCACCACCAUCACUGAUUAUCGCUCGAGGAAUCCAAAGCGUGAAACAAUGUUGCUUUUCAAAAAUCCUAUCACCACUUUGUGAUCAUUGGUCCUACAUGGAAUGCUUCUACCCAUUUCGAGACGUAGUCAACACCAACCAAUAUGUAUUGAUGGCCAAAAGAAGGGGGAAAGGGUCCCAUGAAGUCGAUACCCCAUACGUCAAAAAUCUCAACCACUAAAAUUGGAUUUAGUGGCAUCAUGUUUCUUCGUGUAAUGCUCCCCAUUCGUUGACACCUAUCACAUGAAGAACAGAAAGUGUAAGCAUCUCGAAAUAAGUUGGCCAAUAGAAACCACAUUGUAAAACUUUUGUAGCUGUUUUCUUAGCACUGAAAUGGCCUCCACACGCUUGUUCAUGGCAGAAUGAAAGAAUAUGCUGAAUUUCAUUUUCAGGGACACAUCGUCUAACAAUUUGGUCUGCACAAUACUUGAACAAUAUGGGUCAUCCCAAAAGAAAUUCUUUAUUUCCGCAAAGAAUUUAGCCUUGUCUUGCUUGGUCCAAUGCUCUGGAAGUUUACCUGUAACAAGAUAAUUAACUAUAUCAGCAUACCAAGGUAAUACUUCCACAUGCAUCAAUUGUUCAUCUGGGAAUGACUCAUUUAAUGGUAAUGGCUCUGUAAUUGUGUCAAAAUGGAGACGAGAGAGGUGGUCCGCCACAACAUUUUCUGUGCCUUUCUUAUCCUUGAAUUCCAAGUCGAAUUCCUGCAAAAGUAACACCCAACGAAUUAGUCUAGCUUUUGCAUCUUUCUUUGUGAGAAGAUAUUUAAGAGCAGCAUGAUCUGUGAAUAUAAUUAUUUUACAACCAAUGAGAUAAGAUCGAAAUUUCUCUAAUGCAAACACUACUGCUAGCAUUUCUUUUUCAGUAGUUGAAUAAUUCAACUGUGCAUCAUUCAAUGUCAUACUAGCAUAGUAAAUAACGUGAGGAAUUCGAUCAACUCUUUGUCCUAAUACUGCUCCUACUGCAUAAUCAGAUGCAUCACACAUGAGCUCAAAUGGUAAGCUCCAGUUUGGGGCCUGAAUGAUGGGUGAUGAUGUCAACAAUUGCUUUAAUUUUUCAAAAGCCAUAAGACAUGAAUCAUUAAAGAUAAAAGGUACAUCCUUAGCAAGUAAAUUACAUAAGGGUCUAGAAACUUUGCUAAAAUCUUUAAUGAAACGUCUAUAAAAACCAGCAUGCCCAAGGAAAGAUCUUACUUCUCUGACUGUUUUAGGUGGAGGAAGAUUAGAAAUGAGAUCCACCUUGGCUUUGUCAACCUCAAUACCUUUGCUCGAAAUGAUGUGACCGAGAACAAUACCUUGUUUUACCAUAAAAUGGCACUUCUCCCAAUUCAAGACUAAGUUCUUCUCGUACAUCUCUGCAGAACUAGCGUUAGAUGAUGUAAACAUUGAUCAAACGAGUCACCAAAGACAGAAAAGUCAUCCAUAAAGACUUCAAGGAAUCGUUCAACCAUAUCAGAAAAAAUGCUUAACAUGCAUCGUUGAAAUGUAGCAGGUGCAUUACAUAAUCCAAAUGGCAUUCUCCUAUAUGCAAAUGUGCCAAAAGGGCAAGUGAAAGUGGUCUUCUCUUGAUCUUUUGGUGCUAUGGGAAUCUGAUUAUAUCCUGAGUAGCCAUCUAGAAAGCAAUAAAAUUCAUGGCCUGCUAAUCUAUCAAGCAUUUGAUCAAUAAAUGGUAAAGGAAAAUGGUCUUUACGUGUGACAGAAUUCAACUUUCUAUAAUCAAUGCAUACACGCCAUCCUGUAGUUACUCUAGUUGGUAUCAAUUCAUUAUCAGCAUUGGUAACUACUGUGACUCCUGACUUUUUGGGGACGACUUGUACAGGACUGACCCAUGAACUAUCAGAAAUUGGGUAAAUGAUACCUGCAUCUAAUAGCUUAAGGACUUCAGUUCUAACAACUUCUUUCAUGUUAGGAUUUAACCGACGUUGCAUCUCCCAAGUAGUUUUAGCAUUUUCAUCAAGGUGAAUGUAAUGCAUGCAGUCUACUGGGUUUAUACCUUUUAUAUCUGCUAUGGUCCAUCCUAAUGCCCCUUUGUGCUCUUUUAAAACAUCCAACAACUUACCCUUUUGUUUGUCAUUUAGAGAUGAUGAGAUGAUUACCGGUAGAGUACUUUCUUCUCCCAAAAAUGCAUAUUCCAGAGUGUUGGGUAAUGGUUUGAGCUCGAGUUUCGGUGGUGAUUCUGAUGAUGGGAUGAGUUUCUUCUCUGAUGGUGCUAGUUGUUCAACUCUUGACUUCCAUUUAUUAGUGUCCAUGGAUGGUGCUGAGUCAAGUAGAGCAUUGACCUCAUCGACCGAUCUGUCAAUAUCAAAAUCCAAACCAAAGUGAGUUAAACAUGUUUGUAAAGGAUCAUCACUAAAGUUUGAAAUAAAUGUGUCAUCAACUAAUGCUUCAAUUAAAUCCACAUCAACAAUUCCAUCAUCUGCACUGUGAGGUUGUUUGGCAAUGUUGAAAAUGUUUAGCUCCAUAGUCAUGUUACCGAAGGACAACUGCAUAUUUCCAGUCCUGCAUUGAAUGUGAGCAUCCGCAGUUGCCAAGAAAGGUCGGCCUAGAAUAAUGGGGAUGUGCUUCCUUGAGUCCUGUAUUGGUUGAGUGUCAAUUACAAUGAAAUCAACAGGAAAAUAAAACUUGUCUACUUGGAUAAGCACGUCCUCCACAAUACCACGAGGUAUUUUCGUGGACCGAUCUGCAAGCUGUAACACCACUGGAGUUGGGUGUAAUUCUCCCAGUCCAAGUUUCACGAAUACUGAAUAAGGCAACAAAUUUACACUAGCUCCUAAAUCCAACAAAGCAUUCUCAAUUGUGUGGUUCCCUAUACUACAUGAGAUAGUGGGGGAGCCUGGGUCUUUGCAUUUUAAAGGAAUUUUAUGUUGGAGUAUAGAACUAACGUUUUCUGUUAAAAAUGCCUUCUUUUGAACAUGCAUAUUUCUCUUUUUAGUACAAAGGUCUUUAAGAAACUUGGCAUAAGAUGGAACUUGUUUAAUAGCAUCAAGUAAAGGGAUGUUGACACUUACCUGUUUGAAGAUUUCAAGAAUCUCACCUGUGGAUUUUCCCUUUUUUCCUUUAGCUAACCUCUGAGGAAAUGGAGCCUUGGGAAUGUACUCUCGUGGGUUGGUUUCUUCUUUCUCCUCCGGUGGUGAGUCCUCAGCAUUUACAGGUACAAUUUGAUUUUCUUUUGUCACCGGCAUCUCCACUUUGUUGUCGACUUCUUUUCCUUUUCUCAAGGUCAUAACUGCUUUGACCUCUCCAUGCUGCUGUGGUGAACUGGUACUUGCUUCAUGUACUCCUUUAGGAUUAGGCACUGGUUGACUUGGAAACUUGCCUUUCUCAACAGUCAUUGCCAAGGUCUGAACUGAAGAAGCAAGUUGUCCCACCAUCUUCUCAAGGCUUGAAACUGAUUGGGCUUGUGAGUUGAAGCCCGCUUUCAACUCAUUUCGUAAUCCAUCAAUGGUGCGGUUCUGUUGCUCAAUCGUGGAGUGAGUAACAUUCUUGAAAUUCUGGAAUGCAUCCUCCCAUGGUCUGGGUUGAGAGUAGUUCUGGUUCUGAUUGUAUGGUCUGAAUGGUGGCUGAGAGGCUUGAGGAAUUUGAGGAAUUGGUUGCAUUGGUGGAGCUGGAGCUGCUGGUCCAUUCUGUUGGAAUCCUUGAGACCAUGAAAAAUUGGGGUGGUCUCUCCAUCCAGGGUUAUAUGUGCUGGAGUAUGGGUUGUAAUUAGAUGGCUUUCUCAUUACACCUAUGGCAUUGGCUUGAUCUGAGUAUGAGUCAUGGUCAUGUGGCUCUGUUGAUUUAGCAGUCGAUAACGAUGCUAUUUGUCGAGAGAGGCCUUCAAUUAUCGCUUUGACUUCUUUAAUUUCUGAACUUGACUCGCCAAUUUGAACCUCAUUUACUCCCUUAAUUCUUCUAGUAUUCCUGAGUGAUCGACUCCGUUGUUGGGAAUUAUCCGCUUGUCGCUGGAAGAAUUCCCAAAUCUCUGAUGCACUUUUUGACAUUAGCUCUCCUCCACUUGUUGCCAUUAGCCAUUCUUGCACAUUCGGCAAUAAUCCCUCCAAAAAGUAUUGGCAUUGGUGCCAUUUUUCGUACCCAUGAUGUGGACACUUCAAGAGUAGCCCAUUGAAUCGCUCCCACGUUUCGAAAAAUUGCUCGUCCUCUCUUUGUGUAAACUCUGAAAUUUCCCUGCGAAUAGAAUUGGUUUUAUGCACUGGGAAAUAUUUAUUUAGAAAUUUUGUAACCAUUUGUUCCCAUGAUGCAAUGCUAUUAGCAGGCAAAGUAUUUAACCAUGAACGAGCUCUAUCCUUUAAAGAAAAUGGGAAUAAUCUAAGUUUAACAUCAUCGUCUGAAAAAUUUUCAUAUUUAAAAGUUUGACAAAUGGCAUGAAAAUCAUUCAGAUGAUUAUAUGGGUCCUCAUUUUCUAGGCCAUAGAAUGUGGGGAGACAAUUUAGCACACUAGGUUUUAGUUCAAAGCUCCUAGCAGCUACAUUUGGGUAUCUAAUACAUGAUGUGCUCAAAUUAGCUAAGGGACUAAAAUAGUCCUUAAAUGGCCUCUCCUGUGGUUGCAAAUCCAUUCUAUUUUUAAAUUGUUUGUGUGUGCGAAGUGUUUUUUCUAAUUCAAGGUCUAUAGGUUCAAGAUUUGGUAAUAAUGACCUACGACCAUGCAUGCAAAAUAAAUAAAAUAAAAAUAAAGAUGGGAACAAAAAAAAUAAAAAUAAAGAAGAGGGAGAAAUUACGGUACUAACCUUAUUGCGCUAUUACAACCUUUCUAUAAAAAUACACAAAAACAAAUACGUGAAAUAAAUUAACUAAAAAUUAAAUUAAUAAAAUAAAUAAAAAUUACAAAGAAAAAAUAAAUUGAAAAUUAAAUUACACAAUUUUAAAUAAGAGAAAAAGAAAAGAAAUACUAACCUUUAAAUGUAGAUUUACUUUUUUUUUUUUAAUAAUAAUAAUAAAAAAAAUACAAGAAAACAAAUAAAAGAAAUUAUUCACAAAAAUUAAUUCUAUGAAUUAAAAUUACUUACCUCCCCGGCAACGGCGCCAAAAACUUGUUGUGCAAAUUUUAAUGAACUCGCAAGCGCACGAAUCUAUUGUAGUGUAGAUCAAUGGUGACGAGUGUCGAUCCCACGAGGAGGUGGAUUUUAAUUGUGUAUAGAAUUAAUUUUGCAAAAUGGGUGGUUGGAAUUGUGGUGGAAAUGAUUUGGAAUAUGCUAAAACUUAAAUUAAAAUGGCGAGAAUAAAUUCUGAAAUUGGAAUUGAAAUGGCGAGAAUAAAUUGAAGAGAAUUCUAUUGAAAUGACGUACUUGGGUAUCUGGAUCCGUAUCAACAUGCAUCAUGGGCUAAAUAAUCCAUAUUAAUGCCAAUUAAAUCAUGAGGGGGGAAUCCACACCUCAUGAACCACGCUCUAAUCAAUAUGGUGCUAAGGGCUUAUCGUGCCAAAUAAUAAUAACCUUAUACUAGAGAGCCGGUGUAACCAAGGCGGUAUCUAGACAAGAUCAGUAUUAUUUGUCGACGAUAAGUCAAAUCAUCCACAAAAACUAGAGGGGAAAAGAAAAUAAAUUUACCAAAUAAAGCCCAUGACACAUGUUGAGACUUCACCUUCAACCCAAGCUUGAAAAGAAAUUAGCUACUCAUAAUUGAACUAGGGGCAAAAAGGGAAUUUAUUAAAAUACAAAGAAAAUACAAGAUGGAGAAGGAAUUACAGAAAAUGGAUCCCAAAAAUGGAUUCAGAGAUAUCAAAUUAGGGGGGGGAGGCCCCCUUUUUAUAGAUACAUGGAGUAAAUCAUGGCCAUCGGAUUAAAAACAGUUUGGACGCUCAGGAUUGCGCCACGUCAUCAGUCAACAGUCCACGGUUUGACCACGCGGAUGAACAGUAACACGGUUUGACCCGGAUGAACAGUAACGCGGUUUGGUUGAAAAUAAUCCUGUGUGAUGCAUGCACCGUACGCGAGAUUUUUCGUCCACUGAUAUGCUGCCACGUCACCAUCAACAGUACAUAAGAAUUUUAGUCCAACAGGAUCGUGACACCUCAUCAGUCAAUGCCACAUCAUCGGUCAAUGCCACGUCAUCGAUCCGUCUGUGUGAACAGUGUCGUGAACAGUAACGUAGACAGUACCGUACACGUGAAUAGUACUGUACAUGUGAAUAGUGCCAUUUUUCCUUUUAUGCUUCUCCUAAGGUUUUCGACCGUCCUGAGUUCAAAAGUGAUGUCCGUUUUGCCGUCUGAUCUCUCCUUUAUUGUGAAAUGACUAUAAUGCCCCUAAAAUACAUAAAAUACUUAAUUAAAAUAAAACACAUGGAAUUAAAUCAAAAGAAGGUUAAAUUCAUAAAAGUAAAGGUGUUAGUAAAACUUGUAGUGUAAAAUGACGAUUUUCUCCUUUAUAAAUAUGCAUUUUCUAACACUCAACAGCAGCGUAUGUGUGUGUGGCUUAGUGGCUGUGUGCUGUGCAGCUUGUGACUUCUGUUCUGUGUGUGUGUUGUGCAGCAGCAUGACAAAUUUGUUUCCCGUGAAAAAUUUCUUUCUUUGUUUCUUUCUCAUCCUCUCUCCCCUUUUUGUUUUUUUUUUCCUUUCCUCCAAAAAGAAAUUGUUCUGUUCUUAAACGAUUUGUCAAAUACUCGAAUUAUCAAUUAUUCAAUUGCUUGGCGUUGGGUAGAAGAUAAGAACUCUUUUGAAUGAUUAAAUUGGACAAAAAUAGAAAAGGGUGAGGAUUGCUUCAGUCCACAUCAUUGCACUUGCAAAAUGCCAUCUAAGGCAACUUUAUUUUCUUUAUUAAAAUUUAAAACGUCUCUGAGAAGAAUUUUGACAGAAUGGCUGCCAACUUUUUGGAUUGGUUAUUGGUGUGAUUCGAUUGAUGUUGGAGAAUGGAGAGGGAAAUAUGCUCAAUAAGGAGUACAGACACAUGCCAGAAAUCAUUUUUUUUUUUUUUUUGGGAACCCGAUGGGGUAUUCGGAUCGGGUCGGGUUUGACCCGAACCGAUCACAACCUGAUCGGGUUUGUAAAUUUCAAUCCGAUCAGGUUUCAAUCCCGACCCGAUCCGACCCGAACCCGAAAUUUAUCGGGUCGGGUUGGGUCGGAUCCGGUAAAAUGCCCACCCCUAAUUCUAAUUGUGUGUAGAAUAAAUUUUGUAAAUGGGUGGUUGGAUUUCUAGUGAAAUUGAUUUGGAAUAUUCUAAAACUUAAAUUAAAAUGGCGAGAAUAAAUUGAAGAUAAAUCUAUUGAAAUGAAGCACUUAGAUAUCUGGAUCCGUAUCAACAUGCACUAUGGGCUAAAUAUUCCUUAUUAAUGCCAAUUAAAUCAUGAGGGGGGAAUCAACACCUCAUGAACCACACUCUAAUCAAUAUGAUGCUAAGGGCUUAUCAUGCCAAAUAAUAAUAACCUUGUACUAGGGAGCCGAUGAAACCAGGGCGGUAUCUAGACAAGAUUAUUAUUAUUUGUCGACUAGAAGUCAAAACAUCCACAAAAACUAGAGGGGAAGAGAAAAUAAAUUUACCAAAUAAAGCCCAUGACACAUGUUGAGACUUCACCUUCAACCCAAGCUUGAAAGAAAAUUAGCUACUCAUAAUUGAACUAGAGACAAAAUGGGAAUUUAUUAAAAUACAUAGAAAAUAUAAGAUAGAGAAGGAAUUACAGAAAAUAGAGUCCAAAAAUGGAUUCAGAGAUAUCAAAUCAGGGGGGGGAGGUUCCCUUUUUAUAGAUACAUUGAGUAAAUCAUGGCCAUCAGAUUAAAAACAAUUUGGAGGCUCAGGAUUGCGCCACGUCAUCAGUCAACAGUACACGGUUUGACCACGCGGUUUGAACAGUGACACGGUUUUACCCGGUUUGAAUAGUAACGAGGUUUGGUUAAAAAUAAUCUUGUGUAUAUGCAUGUACCGUACGUUCAAUUUUUGGUCCACUAACAUGCUGCCACGUCACCAAUCAACAGUGCAUAAGAAUUUUAGUCCAACAGGAUCGUGACACCUCAUCAGUCAAUGCCACAUCAUCGGUCAAUGCCACGUCAUCGAUCCGUCUGUGUGAACAGUGUCGUGAACAGUAACAUAGACAGUACCGUACAUGUGAAUAGUACCGUACAUGUGAACAAUGCUAUUUUUCCUUUUAUGCUCCUCCUAAGGUUUUCGACCGUCCUGAGUUCAAAAGUGAUGUCCGUUUUGCUGUCUGAUCUCUCGUUUAUUGUGAAAUGACUAUGAUGCCCCUAAAAUACAUAAAAUACUUAAUUAUAAUACAACACACAUAAUUAAAUGACAAGAAGCUUAAAUACAUAAAAGUAAGGGUGUUAGUAAAAGUUGAAGUGUAAAAUGACGAUUUUCUCCUUUAUAAAUAUACAUUUUAUAACACUCAAAACACCCCCUAACCAGCUUAUUGUUAGUCCCUAGCAAAUAAAGCGAAAAUAAAAUUCAAAUCCAAAAUGAUUUUUUAUUUUAUUUUUUAACAAUCAUGUUUAUUCAAUCAGACUAAUGAUAGUAAUCAAAUAAAAGUAUAAGCAUUAUCUCCAGUCUAAAGAAACAUCACACCCACAUCAACCAUCCACAUGAAUCAGUGCAGUAGACUUUGUCAUAGUUACUUUCAAGAAUGACAUGUCAAACCCCAAAAUCUCACUGGAAGUAGUGACACUCUCACAAAGAAAUUAAACCCAAUAAAAAUAGUCUCUCCAAUGAAUGGUAAUUGAGAGAAAAUAAUAAAGAACUGAUAUCACAUGCUCUCACCAAGAUGAAAGAAUAUGCCCUCAGCUUAGAAAUAAUACGAUCUCAAGUCAAAUAAAAAUGCUAAUCAACCCAAUUUAUUUAUUUAGUUUUUGAUUUUUUUAUGCACCACUACAUCUUUUUAGCCCAUAUAACUAGCGUCUACUUCAUACUAUAGUUCCCUAAAAUCAAGAAAGACUUUUAUGAGGACGUAACGUAGGCUAGGGACAUGGCUAACAAAGGAGGGGAAAUAAGGAAAACAAAGUGUAUGUUUGAGAAAAAUGUAAAGAUUUUUUUUUUGGAAGUUGCUAGGUGGAUUUCACCUAUUAUUGUUAUUUUUAUUUUUGAAACAACAAAUUUUUUUUUUUUUUUUGCGGCUUUUGUUUGGCAUAACUUCACUGAACAAAAUAAUUAUUUACAUUUUUCUCAAACAUAAAUAGGUGAUGGAACGUGUAAGAUAUCGGGUAAUACUCCAAAUCAGAGUGGGUCAAGAUGAUAAGUUUGACAAAGAAAAUGUUUCUUUUUUUUUUAAAGGCUCAAAAGGGUUAACUAUGGAUAUUUCAUAAAAGGGAUGGCUAGAAAGGCUCAAACAGAUCAAAGAUGGUCUUUCCAUCGUCUUUUAGGGCUCUAAAUAAUCUUCUAUAUCUACUAGUUAGAUGGGCCUCCAAAUGUAGCAACACAAAUUUUUUUUUUUUGUAAAAUUUUUUUUUAAGGGUUAACUCAAAAGAAAUCUAGAGAUCGUGUAUAAAAUAAUAAACUGCUAAGCUGUAUAAAGAAUGGGCAAAAGGGUUACUCUUCAAGAAAAAUGAUAGGCUCAAAAACUCACUUGGUACUUAUUAUGACAUGUUCAUUCCUUCAAGCAACUCAUAUUUGUCUCCGACAUCAACAUGUAGAGUAGCAAACAUAGCGUAACAUCACUUAAGACCAAAGAUAAUACAAACACUAAAAUUUGAAAUUAAUCAUGUCAUCCAAUGUUAAAACAAAUCACACAAUUUUUUUUUUCAAACAACAUCCUACCCCCCAACCUAUUCUAAACAUGAAAGGAAAAUAUGCAUGUAGAAAUGUGAAAAUGAUGCAGAAAAACUAAUUAGAAAAGUUACACUUAAAAUGAUAGAAAAAGAAAACGUUUUUUUUUUUUUUAACUAAGAAGAUGUGUUUCUAGAGGCACUACUCUCCAUAUUCAACCAUCUUCGACUCAAAAAUUUAAAAAUGUAUAUUUAUAAAGGAGAAAUUAAAAAGAGGAAGAAAAAUGAAUAUCAAAGUUUAAUAAAGAAAAAGAAAAUGUCUGGAAUUUUCUUUCAAAUGAUGAAGAUGCGUUUCUAGAGUCACUACACUCCAUAUUCAGUCAUCUUCAACACAAAAAGUUAGCAACAGUUAGUUUCUGCAACAAAAAUCAGUAAAAACUUAACCAAGAUUCCACAACUGUCGACUAUUCCCUCCCCCCAACCAGAACAAAACAUUGUCCUCAAUGUUUUAAAGGAAAGAAGUAGAGUUUAAAAGACAUCACCUGGGUGGUGCAACACAGAAGAAAAUAUUUACAAGCGGAGAGUUAAAUCUAAUUUGUACUUCUUACUGCGGCUACUGUUACCAUCAUUAUUUGGACGCUCCAACACAAAGGUCCAAAGGUCUGGCUCCGAUUUAUAAGCUUGUAACAGAUCAAGUAGCUCAUUAGCAGUGUGUGCACAAAUAAAAAGCUUUUUCGCUGUGGAAGGAAUGAAAUAGUUUUUUAUUGCAUGGUUAAGAAAUGCGAUGAAGCCAUCAUAAAAGUUAUUGACAUUUAACAAACCGAUGGGUUUCUGGUGAAUGUGCAGAUGGGCCCAAGAUGCUAGUGUGAUAAGUGCCUCUAGUGUUGCAAGAUCUCCUGGAAGGAAAAUAAAAGCAUCAGCAUGAUUAAGCAUUUCAGUUAUUCUUUCUUGCAUACCUGAGACGACUAACUCUUCUCCAGUCGGUAAGUCAGACAAACUGCCUAAAGGUUUUAGGACACUUGAGAUGAUGCCUAACACUUGGCUUCUUCUGACAAAAGCAGCUUCUAAGACCAAUUUUGAUAACCCUCGAUUACCUCCUCCAUACACCAAGUGUAAUUUUCUCUCUGCUAUGCUUCGACCAAGAUCUAUGGCUGCCUCAACGAACUCUUUAUGUUUGCCAUAGUUAAAUCCAGAAAGCACACAAAUGUUCUUGAAUUGUCUAUUUGGAGUAGCUGCCAUUGGGAUACUUCUCAAAAAUAAUUUGUGAGUGCUUGACAAAAAAUCAUAUUUAAGAAUCUUGGUGACAGUGGGUCACAGCUGUGUAUGAGGUAGCAUGUCAGUGUCAAAUAACGAGUAAAGCACAUGGCUCGCGAGUCAAAAAGAAAACAGUAAAAAGAAAAAGAAACAAUGAUAAAAUAAAAUUAUUAAAGACAAUAAUACAAAUGAUAAAACAACAGUGAAAUAAAAUAACAGUGAAGUAAAAGGAUAUUUACAGGUAGUUGCGACUGGGGCUCACAUCUUCCUCUAGUUUUACGUCCAGAAACGGCUUGAACGCCCUCUAUGGGUCGAGGAUGGGCUUCCCAUCCAGUUUUCUUAUAAACUGGCAAACAUGGUCGUUUAUAGUCAGAUUCCCGAGACUAUAUCGUGCAUGCUCUUUCUGGAAUAAUGGCCAUAACUGGAGAAUCACUCCUUGCACAUAUCCACUGGGAUGCGUUUCAAGAGACAAAAGGAUAUCAUCCAAUGACUCCUUAUUCAAGUCAUCCCUAAUGAAUUGAAUCUUAUCUUCCCUGUUAUCAGACACCAUUCCUAAAGAACAUGGGUUUUUAUUGCAUCUCAUUCUAGCACAUUUAUGACAAGCAAUAGAAAUUCUUACCACAACCAGGCAUGUAUGCAAUAAAUUUUGGAGGUAACUCACCUACCAACUUUAGCCUCGAUUAACCAACGGAUGUCAGCAGGUAUGUUAUUCCUCAUGAGCAAUCGCAUGCGUUCGGACCGAGCUUUAUAGAUUGUAAGGAGGGCAUUCUGAUGAAGUGAAGGGAAUCGCUUGUGAUGCUUCACUAGAAUCUCAUUUCUGUCCAUACCUUCGCCUCAGAAUAUCAGUUAUUAUGGGAAACUGAAGUAACCGACUUGAUUGUCACGGAGUACCGUUAUCCGCCACUUCACCGGGGUAACAAACUAAAGCACACAAACAAAGAAAAAUAAACUAAAACACAUAAAGAAAAUUACAAUCGUCCUCUUAUUGAAUUUACCUCAAGCUCCAACUGGAUGUUGUAGACACUUCUCUCAAUGUCUCUGAGUUGGCUUUCUAAAUCCUCAACAUAGGAUACUAACUCUGGUGGUUGCAGAGCCCAAAUACAAUGUGUCUUACAAAAUCAAAUCUGCCUUUUGAGAUGAGAUUUUAUACGUUGAAGCGGUUUAAGAAUGUUCAGGAGGAACUGUUUAGCUAUGGCACUCAUGAUUAACAAUGAUAAGAGAAAACUUAAUGGUUAAACAAACACACUUAUGCAAAAAUAAUUUCAAUUAGAAAAAGAAUAAUAAAAAGAAAGAAAGUAAAAAAAUCAAAUCACCUAAAAGAAAGAAGAAAAAAAAACAAAAAAAAAACUCAAUUCAAAUCUGGUGGGUCACUCAAAUUUAUUUCGGUGUCCUCUCCAUGUGGUUGGUACUCUAGAUAUGGCUUUAGUCUUUGACCAUUAACUUUAAAUGUGACACCGUUCUUAGGGUCCUUAAUUUCAAUUGCCCUAUGUGGAAAAACCGUAUGAACAAUAAAGGGGCCAGACCAUCGAGAGCGUAACUUACCUGGGAAUACGUGCAAGCGAGAAUUGAAUAAAAGUACUUUCUGACCUGGAGUGAAAGAUUUUCUCAUAAUUUGCUUGUCAUGAAAGACUUUCAUUCGCUGCUUGUAAAUUUUGGCAUUUUCGUAUGCGUCAUUGCAAAUUUCUUCAAGUUCUACCAGUUGUAAUCUUCUUUCUGAGCUAGCUUGCUGCAUGUUAAAUUUUAAUUUCUUGAUGGCCCAAUAUGCACGAUGCUCGAGUUCCACAGGUAGGUGGCAAGCUUUUCCAUACACUAGCCUGUAGGGUGACAUCCCAAUCGGGGUCUUGAAAGCCGUUCUAUAUGCCCAUAAUGCAUCAUCGAGUCUUAAUGACCAAUCUUUUCUGUCUGGCCUCACCGUCUUUUCUAAUAUGUGUUUUAUUUCUCGAUUGGAGAUCUCAACUUGACCACUGGUUUACGGAUGAUAUGGGGUUACCACUUUGUGAGUGAUUGAAUACUUUGUCAAAAGAGCUUUUAAUGCUUUGUUACAAAAGUGGGCACCACCAUCACUGAUUAUUGCUCGAGGGAAUCCAAAGCGUGAAACAAUGUUGCUUUUCAAAAAUCCUAUCACCACCUUGUGAUCAUUGGUUCUGUAUGGAAUUACUUCUACCCAUUUCGAUAAGUAGUCAACAGCAACCAAUAUGUAUUGAUGGCCAAAAGAAGGGGGAAAAGGACCCAUGAAGUCGAUACCCCAUACAUAAAAAAUCUCAACCACUAAAAUUGGAUUUAGUGGCAUCAUAUUCCUUCGUGUAAUGCUCCCCAUUCAUUGACACCUAUCACAUGAAGAGCAAAAAGUGUAAGCAUCUCGAAAUAUAGUUGGCCAAUAUAAACCACAUUGUAAAACUUUAGUAGCUGUUUUCUUAGCACUGAAAUGGCCUCCACAAGCUUGUUCAUGGCAGAAUAAAAGAAUAUUUUGAAUUUUAUUUUCUGGGACACAUCGUCUAACAAUUUGAUAUGCACAAUACUUGAACAAAUAAGGGUCAUCCCAAAAGAAAUUCUUUAUUUCUGCAAAAAAAUUGGCUUUGUCUUGCUUGGUCCAAUGCUCUGGAAGUUGACCUGUAACAAGAUAAUUAACGAUAUCAGCAUACCACGGUAAUACUUCCACAUUAAUCAAUUGUUCAUCUGGAAAUGACUCAUUCAAUGUUAAUGGUUCUGUAAUUGUGUCAAAAUGAAGACGAGAGAGAUGGUCAGCCAUAACAUUCUCUGUGCCUUUCUUAUCUUUAAAUUCCAAGUCGAAUUCUUGAAAAAGUAACACCCAACAAAUUAUUCUAGCUUUUGCAUCUUUCUUUGUGAGAAGAUAUUUAAGAGCAGCAUGAUCUGUGAACACAAUUAGUUUACAACCAAUGAGAUAAGAUCGAAAUUUCUCUAAUGCAAACACUACUGCUAGCAUUUCUUUUUCAGUAGUUGAAUAGUUCAACUGUGCAUCAUUCAAUGUCAUACUAGUAUAGUAAAUAACAUAGAGAAUUCGAUCAACUCUUUGUCCUAAUACCGCUCCUACUGCAUAAUCAGAUGCAUCACACAUGAGUUCAAAUGGUAAGCUCCAGUUUUGGGGCUGAAUGAUGGGUGAUGAUGUCAACAACUGCUUUAAUUUUUCAAAUGCCACAAGACAUGAAUCAUCAAAGACAAAAGGUACAUCCUUAGCAAGUAGAUUGCAUAAGGGUCUAGAAACUUUGCUAAAAUCUUUAAUGAAACGACUAUAGAAACCAGCAUGCCCAAGGAAAGAUCUUACUUCUCUAACUGUUUUGGGUAGAGGAAGAUUAGAAAUGAGAUCCACCUUGGCUUUGUCAACCUCAAUACCUUUGCUUGAAAUGAUGUGACCGAGAACAAUACAUUGUUUUACCAUAAAAUGACACUUCUCCCAAUUUAAGACUAAGUUCUUCUCGAUACAUCUCUGCAGAACUAGUGUUAGAUGAUGUAAACAUUGAUAAAAUGAAUCAGCAAAGACAGAAAAGUCAUCCAUAAAGACUUCAAGGAAUCGUUCAACCAUAUUAGAAAAAAUGCUUAACAUGCAUCGUUGAAAUGUAGCAGGUGCAUUACAUAAUCCAAAUGGCAUCCUUAUAUAUACAAAAGUGCCAAAAGGGCAAGUAAAAAUGGUCUUCUCUUGAUCUUUUGUUGCUAUGGGGAUCUGAUUGUAUCCUGAGUAGCCAUCUAGAAAGAAAUAAAAUUCAUGGCCUGCUAAUCUAUCAAGCAUUUGAUCGAUAAAUGGUAAAGGAAAAUGGUCUUUACGUGUGAAAGAAUUCAACUUUCUAUAAUCAAUGCAUACACACCAUCCUGAAGUUACUCUAGUGGGUAUCAAUUCAUUAUCAGCAUUAGUAACUACUGUGACUCCUGACGUUUUGGGGACAACUUGUACAGGACUGACCCAUGAACUAUCAGAAAUUGGGUAAAUGAUACAUUCGUCUAAUAGCUUAAGAACUUCAGUUCUAACAACUUCUUUCAUGUUAGGAUUUAACCGACAUUGCAUUUCCCUAGUAGGUUUAGCAUUUUCAUCAAGGUGAAUGUAAUGCAUGCAGUCUACUGGGUUUAUAUCUUUUAUGUCCGCUAUGGUCCAUCCUAAUGCUCCUUUGUGCUCUUUUAAAACAUCCAACAACUUACCUUUUUGUUCGUCAUUUAGGGAUGAUGAGAUGAUUACCGGCAGAGUACUUUCUUCUCCCAAAAACGUAUAUUCCAAUGUAUUGGGUAAUGGUUUGAGCUCAAGUUUCGGUGGUGAUUCUGAUGAUGGGAUGAGUUUCUUCUCUGAUGGUGCUAGAUGUUCAACUCUUGACUUCUAUUUAUUAGUGUCUAUGGAUGGUGCUGAGUCAAGUAGGGUGUUGACCUCAUCGACUGAUCUGUCAAUAUCAAAAUCCAAACCAAAGUGAGUUAAACAUAUUUGUAAAGGGUCAUCAAUAAGGUUUGAAAGAAAAGUGUCAUCAACUAAUGCUUCAAUUAAAUCAACAUCAACAAUUCCAUCAUCUGCAUUGUGAGGUUGUUUGACAAUGUUGAAGAUGUUCAGCUCCAUAGUCAUGUUGCCGAAGGACAACUGCAUAUUUCCAGUUCUGCAUUGAAUGUGAGCAUCCGCAGUUGCCAAGAAAGGUCGGCCUAGAAUAAUGGGGAUGUGCUUCCUUGAAUCCUGUAUUGGUUGAGUGUCAAUUACAAUGAAAUCAACAGGAAAAUAAAACUUGUCUACCUGGAUAAGCACAUCCUCCACAAUACCACGAGGUAUUUUUGUGGACCGAUCUGCAAGUUGCAACACCACUGGAGUUGGGUGUAAUUCUCCUAGUCCAGGUUUCACAAAUACUAAAUAAGGCAACAAAUUUACACUAGCUCCUAAAUCCAACAAAGCAUUCUCAAUUGUGUGGUUCCCUAUGCUACAUGAGAUAGUGGGGGAGCCUGAGUCUUUGCAUUUUAGAGGAAUUUUAUAUUGGAGUAUAGAAUUAACGUUUUCUGUUAAAAAUGCCUUCUUUUGAACAUGAAUGUUUCUCUUUUUAGUACAAAGGUCUUUAAGGAACUUGGCAUAAGAUGGAACUUGCUUUAUAGCAUCAAGUAAAGGGAUGUUAACACUUACCUAUUUGAAGAUUUCAAGAAUCUCACCUGUGGAUUUUCCCUUCUUUCCUUUAGCUAACCUCUGAGGAAAUAGAGCUUUGGGAACAUAUUCUCGUGGGUUGGUUUCUUCUUUCUCUUCCGGUGAUGAGUCCUCAGCAUUCAUAGGUACAAUUUGAUUUUCUUUUGUCAUCGGCAUCUCCACUUUGUUGUCGACUUCUUUUUCCUUUCGCAAGGUCAUGACUGUUUUGACCUCUCCAUGCUGCUGUGGUGAACUGGUACUUACUUUAUGCACUCCUUUAGGAUUAGGCACUGGUUGACUUGGAAAUUUACCUUUUUUAACAGUCAUUGCCAAGGUCUGAACUGAAGAAGCAAGUUGUCCCACCAUCUUUUCGAGGCUUGAAACUGAUUGGGCUUGUGAGUUGAAGCCUGCUCUCAACUCAUUUCGUAGUCCAUCAAUGGUGUGAUUCUGUUGCUCAAUCAUGGAGUGAGUAAGAUUCUUGAGAUUCUGGAAUGAAUCCUCCCAUGGUUUGGGUUGAGAGUAACUCGGGUGUUGAUUGUAUGGUCUAAAUGGUGGCUGAGAGGCUUGAGGAAUUUGAGGAAUUGGUUAUAUUGGUGGAGUUGGAGCUGCUGGUCCAUUCUGUUGGAAUCCUUGAGACCAUGAAAAAUUGGGGUUGUCUCUCCAUCCAGGGUUAUAUGUGUUGGAGUAUGGGUUGUAAUUUGAUAGUUUUCUCAUUACACCUAUGACAUUGGCUUGAUCUGAGUAUGAGUCAUGGUCAUGUGCCUCUGUUGAUUUAGCAGUUGAUAACGAUGCUAUUUGUCGAGAGAGGCCUUCAAUUAUCGCUUUGACUUCUUUAAUUUAUGAACUUGACUCGCCAAUGUGAACCUUAUUUACUCCAUUAAUUCUUUUAGUGUUCCUGAGUGAUCGACUCCGUUAUUGGGAAUUAUCCGCUUGUCGCUGGAAGAAUUCCCAAAUCUCUGAUGCACUUUUUGACAUUAGCUCUCCUCCACUUGUUGCCAUUAGCCAUUCUUGCACAUUCGCCAAUAAUCCCUCCAAAAAGUAUUGGCAUUUGUGCAAUUUCUCGUACCCAUGAUGUGGACACUUCAAGAGUAGCCCAUUGAAUCGCUCCCAUGUUUCGAAAAACUGCUCGUCUUCUCUCUGGGUAAACUCUGAAAUUUUCCUUCGAAUAACAUUAGUUUUAUGAACUGGGAAAUAUUUAUUCAAAAAUUUUAUUACCAUUUGUUCCCAUGAUGUAAUGCUAUUAGCAGGCAAUGUAUUGAGCCAUGAACGAGCUCUAUCCUUUAAAGAAAAUGGGAAUAGUCUAAGUUUAACAUCAUCAUCUGAAAAAUUCUCAUAUCUAAAUAUUUGACAAACAACAUGAAAAUCAUUCAAAUGAUUAUAUGGGUCCUCAUUUUCUAGGCCAUAGAAUGUUGGGAGACAAUUUAGCACACUAGGUUUUAGUUCAAAACUACUAGCAGCUACAUUUAGGUAUCUUAUGCAUGAUGUGCUCAAAUUAGUUAAGGGACUAAAGUAGUCCUUAAAUGGCCUCUCAUGUGAUGGUGCUUGUUGUUGCAAAUCCAUUUUACUUUUAGCGUGUUUGUGUGUGCGUAGUGUUUUUUCUAAUUCAAGGUCUAUAGGCUCAAGAUUAGGUAAUAAUGACAUUCGACCAUGCAUGCAAAGAACAUAAAUAAAUGAGAACAAAACAAAUAAAAAUAAAGAAGAAUGAGAAAUUACGGUACUAACAUUGCUGUUAAAGCCUUUCUAUAAAAACACACUAAAAAACAAUUCGUGAAAUAAAUUAACUAAAAAUUAAAUUAAUAAGAUAAGCAAAAAUUACAAAGAAAAAUAAAUUAAAAAAUAAAUUGCAGAAUUGUAAAGAAUAGAGAAAGAAAAGAAAUUAUUACCUCUAAAUGCAGAUUCACUUUUUUUUCUUUUUUUUUUAAUAAAAAAAUACAAGAAAACAAAUAAAAGAAAUUAUUCACAAAAAUUAAUUCUACGAAUUAAAAUAACUUACCUCCCCGGCAACGGCGAUAAAAACUUGUUGUGAAAAUUUUAUUAAACUCGCAAGUGCACGAAUCUAUUGUAGAAUAGAUUAAUGGUGACGAGUGUCGAUCCCACGAGGAGGUUGAUUCUAAUUGUGUGUAGAAUAAAUUUUGUAAAUGGGUGGUUGGAUUUCUGGUGAAAUUGAUUUGGAAUAUUCUAAAACUUAAAUUAAAAUGGCGAGAAUAAAUUAAAGAUAAAUAUAUUGAAAUGAAGCACUUGGGUAUCUAGAUCCGUAUCAAUAUGCACAAUGGGCUAAAUAUUCCUUAUUAAUGCCAAUUAAAUCAUGAGGGGGGAAUCCACACCUCAUGAACCACACUCUAAUCAAUAUGGUGCUAAGGGCUUAUCGUGACAAAUAAUAAUAACCUUGUACUAGGGAGCCGGUGAAACUAGGGCGGUAUCUAGAUAAGAUUAUUAUUAUUUGUCGACGAGAAGUCAAAACAUCCACAAAAACUAGAGGGGAAGAGAAAAUAAAUUUACCAAAUAAAGCCCAUGACACAUGUUGAGACUUCACCUUCAACCCAAGCUUGAAAGAAAAUUAGCUACUCAUAAUUGAACUAGGGGCAAAAUGGAAAUUUAUUAAAAUACGUAGAAAAUACAAGAUAGAGAAGGAAUUAUAGAAAAUGGAGUCCAAAAAUGGAUUCAGAGAUAUCAAAUCAGGGGGGGGAGGUCCCCCUUUUAUAGAUACAUUGAGUAAAUCAUGGCCAUCGGAUUAAAAACAGUUUGGACGCUCAGGAUUGCGCCACAUCAUCAGUCAAUAGUACGCGGUUUGACCACGCGGUUUGCACAGUGACACGGUUUGACCCGGCUUGAACAGUAACGCGGUUUGGUUGAAAAUAAUCCUGUGUAUAUGCAUGUACCGUACGCGUAAUUUUUGGUCCACUAACAUGUUGCCACGUCACCAAUCAACAGUGCAUAAGAAUUUUAGUCCAACAGGAUCGUGACACCUCAUCAGUCAAUGCCACAUUAUCGGUCAAUGCCACAUCAUCGAUCCGUUUAUGUGAAUAGUGUCGUGAACAGUAACAUAGACAGUACCGUACAUGUGAAUAGUACCGUACAUGUGAACAGUGUCAUUUUUCCUUUUAUGCUCCUCCUAAGGUUUUCGACCGUCCUGAGUUCAAAAGUGAUGUCCGUUUUGCAGUCUGAUCUCUCGUUCAUUGUGAAAUGACUAUGAUGCCCCUAAAAUACUUAAUUAUAAUACAACACACAUAAUUAAAUGACAAGAAGCUUAAAUACAUAAAAGUAAGGGUGUUAGUAAAACUUGAAGUGUAAAAUGACGAUUUUCUCCUUUAUAAAUAUACAUUUUCUAACACUCAACAUAUAACAUAUGAUGUACUUUUUCUCAUUGAACCCAAACUCUUGGUGUUUCAAGUGUUGUGUUGAGUUUUUAUCAUUGGUAAUAAGAUGACGGUAGCUUUAGUCUUAUCCCCUUAGAAGUUUUUAAUAUAAUGUCCCUUGCAAGGUCUUUAGUUAAGGGGUUCACCAAAUUUUGGCAUAAUCUCACAAAGUGAAUUGUGAUUACUUCAUCUAUUAGCAAUUAUAUCACAUAACUACGUUUUAGACCAAUAUGCCUAGACUUUUCAUUAUAUAUUUGGCUGUAUGCCCUUGACAAAGAUGCCUUACUAUCACAGUGAAUGGUUACAUGAGGUAUUGGUUUAGAUUAGAUAAGAAUUUCAAUAAGUAAAUUCCUUAACCAUUCAGCUUCCUUGCUACAUGAAGGCAAAACUACAAAUACUAUAACCAUGGUGGAGUUUGCUAUGCAUGUUUACUUCUUUGAGCCCCACAGAAUAGCUCCUCUACCAAGAUUAAAUAUAUAAGCACUUAUUUGGAUUCUAUUAUAGUAUUGAUCUCAACAAAGCUAUUAUGUUCUUUUACAAGAAACUUAUAAGCUUUACUAUGUUCAUCAUAUCCCAAAAAUAUGCAUUCAAUGUCCCUUUCCCCUAGUUUCUUGAUCUUAGGUUCAGAUAAUCUUAUAAUGGCUUGACAACCUUAGACUCUUAGAUAAGAAGAGUAGGUUUUCUCUUUCCCCAUGAUUCAUAAAGGGUCAACUUUUGUUUUUUUUUAUGAGGCACUCUAAUCAAGACAUGACAAGCAGUUGAAAAUGCUUCCCCAAAAAAUCUUUACUGAGCCCAGAAUUAAAAAGCAUAGUGUUCACAAUUUGAUAACUUGAAAAUUAGCAUAGAUCUAGGUUAAACAAAAGCUAUAAAUUAAUUGGAAGACAUAUGUUAAAAUCAAUCAAAUGAAGUCAAAUUGAAGAUUUUUUUUUUCCCUGAAACUUACUGGGUUCGAUUGAUAAGAUUUAAAGUAUUUGAGCUUGAACACUAAUAUUAUCGAAGUCGAAAAAUAAAUUUUUUUUUUUUUUUUUUUUUUGAGUACAUUGACAAGGCCUAGCAGAGACUAGAGCCUAAACAAAACGAGGCGCAACCAAAAAUGGAGAACGCUAGGUGCAGAAUUGAACAAAUGGACUCCAAUAGGAAAAGCAAGAGCGUAAUUGGUAAGGAAAGUUGAAAAAGAAUUUUACGUCAAUAGGUUAAGGUUAGUUCACGAUAGUAGUAAUUUAUAUAUUAAACACUUUUUUUUUUCAUCAAAACAUAACAGGAUGGUUUAUUAAUUAAAUUUUUUUCUCUAUUCAUGCCAACGGAAUUGAAAAUCCCAAAAUUGUAUUUUUCGUGAAAGAGAAUUUGCUAACUAAACUAAUUGAAAUUUAUUAAAUAAUAAAGUACUUUUAUUAACGAUAUUUUUUGUUUAUUUUUUUUAAAGGAUUGUCUUUUUGUUCAAUUAUGCUACACAUAAAUUUAAUUGAGAAUUGAGAUAUAUAAACUGUGUCUCUCAACUAAUGUGAUAUUUAUUACCAUAUAACUCAUCCAUAUAUUCAAAAAUAUUAGUGCAAUUAAUUCAUAAGAGAAUAUAUAACUAAUAAAGUAAAAAGCUUUAUAAGAAUAUAAUACUAACGGUGGUGGAACAUGAUUUAGUUCAACAAGGGAAAUAUAACAAAAUAAUUAAGUGAUAACACAAAAAUAAAAUACAGACUUAAGAGGCCUUUAAUCGAAGACCCUUAUACUUUCUUAAUACCUUUUCAACUUGAAGGGCUCCAGGCAACAUUACAAUUCUUCCUCUUAAUUCUGCGCUUUCUAAAUUCAAAAUGUAGCACUAGUAGAAAAAAAUAUAUUUUGGGGGACGAAGCUACGGUGCCCGGGUGCAUGGUACCCCCUUGCUUUUAAUAAAUUACUUUACAGUCCCUCUUAUUUGCUGAAAAAUGAAAAAUAGAAGUUUUGAAAUUUUAAUAUAUAAGUCCAAAUUUUCUACUAUUUACACUUAAGAGUAUAUUUUUAUUAUUUAUAUUUGAAUACUAAACCAUAGUUGAUUAUUAUGAAAUUUUUUAACAUUGUCAUUUGGUCAUAUUAUUAUUGAUAAAUUAAAAUUUAAUUGUAUAUUUAAAUUAUUUAUUAUUGAUUAAAUAGAUUUUAUAUUGUUUCUAAAAAUUGUUUAAUAUUAUUGAUAAAGUAACAUAUUUUAUUAUAUAUUUAAAUUCUUUAUUACAGAUUAAAUUAAUAUUAUGUUAUUUUUAAAAAAUAAAAAAGAUUUUAUGUAUUAAUUUUUUUUUCAAGUUAUUGGCCUUAUACUAUCAUUAAGUUUAAUAGUAAAUUAGAUCAAUUGAUCAAAAUAUAAAAUUUAAAAAUUAUCCAAAAUUAUUUGUCAAACUUUUCACUAUUUUACUUUUUUGAAAAAUAAUAAGGAUGUCAAUGUUAAAAACCAAAGAGAAUACAUUCAUGCCGUUGAAACAAGUUUUGCGUUAAAUCUAAUGGCCAACUCAUAUAUAGACAAAAUGUGGGGUACCAUGCACCAGGUGCAAGGUAGCUGGACCCAUAUUUUGGGUCCGUCAUUAUUUCAAUAAUUUGUUUCUAAUAUUUUGUGUUAUUGCUCCACAUGAAAAAAAAAUUAUUGUUUUCGAAUUUGAUUUUUAGAAACUUACAAGUUAAUUAGAAACAAUUUUCAAUAGUUCUCAAGGUCGUCGUUGAGUAGUUUUCAAGCAAUUUUAUUUGGUUAGUCACUUGGAUUCAAAUUUUUGGGGAGGUAAGGGAUUAAAAAAAUGAAUUUAAACUUUUCCUAUCCCUUAUCUUUUUUAGAAAAAGUAAUUGCUAAAUCUUAAUUUUGAAUUUGAAAAAUUUCAUCUUUUGAGAAAAUAUGAGCUCAAAAAAGCCCAAGCCCAUAAGGCCGAGCCGAACUAAACUUGAUCCAUUGGCAACCCUAAUAUUUAUAGCUUUUAACUUAUAUCUGUCAAUUAAUUUUAUAUGAUAAUUAAUUAUAAUUAGUAGUUAUUUUAUAUAUUAAUUUUUUUUUCAAAACCUACUCCUAUUUGUUUUACACUUUUCUUUUUAAAAUGUAAUUCAAAAAAUGAAUUAAAACUUACUGUGAUUACAUUAGUAAAUUUUUUUAAGAGAAGAUUUGGAAAUUAAGUGUCUGGUAUGGUUUUUUCCGUGGUCAUAAAUAUUUAUUUAAUCUCAUAAUCUUUUAUCAAAAUUUUUUUUUGUUACGUUGAUUUUUUAGUAGAAUUUUUGAAGUUUUUUUGAAGUUUAAAUAAGCUAUUUUACUUCUAUUAGCAAAAUCUUAAUUUUUUGGCUUUUAGGAGUAGAGGUUGAAAAGAUUUUUUCAAAUGUUAAAAUAUCUAAAAUAUCCUCUACUCAUUUGAGAAUCUUAUUUUAUUCUUUUCAUAAUAUAGCUUUAAAAACUUGCCUAUUAAAGUAACUAUAUAAUUUUUAAUAAAAGCUAUCAUUGACAAUCAAAUAAUUAAAACUUUUUGGGUAAAAGUUCUACUUGUAAAAACUCUAUUAAUAAAAGUUAUAUUUAAAUAAGCUUUACUCGAAAAGCUGUAUUAAAUGGAGUAUAAAAUAUGUAUAUGGUUUGUUUGAGUUUGACUAUUAUUUAAUAUCCUAAUUUUUCUAUGAUUAAUAGCAAACAUGGCAGCUUGAGGCCACGUAACAACAUGCAUCUUAGUGAAAAUAUAAACGCUGCUUUCCCUUAUUGAAGUAAAUUAAAAACAAAAUUAACAAAAAUAUCAUUUUUUAAAAAUUUUAAAAAUUAAAUUUUGUUAAAUACUAAGCUAUCAAUUGAAAUUUCAUUUUCUAAAUUUCUGAUAGCUUUUGUUUUUUUUAAAUAGACAAUAUAGAUGAUUUACCUGUUUUAUUAGUAAUUGAUUUUCAUAUCUUUUUUUAAAUUUAAACUAGAAUCUUUAGUCCUGCUUUUCUAGAGAGCACUUAAAAACAAAAAAAAUAUAUGUUUUGAUGUGAACAAAAAAAUUAAUAAUAAAAUGUUUUUCUUGUACUUUUUUAUUUUUUAAAAAAUUUCUUCUAAGAAAUAUUUUAUAUAUUUUAAAAUUAAAUGUAGAAAGUUCAAGAAAAAUAUUUUAUUAUUUAUUUCAUAAUAAUUUUUAUCUAUCAUUCAAGUUUUCUUAUAAUAAUUUUUUAUCAUUUUAAAAUAAUUUUCUUAUAUAUUUAUUAUAUGAAAAUGUUUAUAAAAUAAAAAAAAAAGUAUAAGAAGAGUAUUUUAUUAUUUAUUUUUUUCACAUCAGAACAUAUAUUUCUUCUAAUACUUAAUUUUUUUUUAUUUAAUUUCCAUUCAUGUGACUUAUUUUAUCUAUAAUAAAUAUGAAUAAAAGUGUAUUUGAAAAUGUCGCCAUGAGCUGUUGGCAUGUGCUGUCAAUUAUUGAAUUGAUUUUAUAAUUACGUUUGAGAAUCUGUUAGUUGACCAAUCUUGUAUUUCAAUAUAGAAACAAUUUAUUUCUUCCCUUUUUUAGGAUGUAAUUAUCUUCAUAUAUUGCCUCUGAUUCGGAGAAGAAUAUACACAUAGAAUUAUUUUCUGCAUUGAAACCUUUGUUUGACAUGGUAUCAGAGCAGGUUCCUCACCAAGAGAAUCUGUGUUGACAAUCGAAUAUUUUCUUUUCUCCUUUUUUUUCUCUCGAAAUUCGUAUUCGUAUUCUGAAUAUUCAUCGCUGUUGUGAACUCUAUGGCUGAUAUCACAGGCGUAUCAAUGGAUAUUAUCCCACCACCAGCACCACAAGUUGUUGUUCAUCAAGACAACUCGGCUUUUCCAACUAGAAUCACUUUGGAUGAGACCAACUACUCAUUAUGGUCUCAACUCAUGGAGAUGCAGAUUAGUGCUCGCAACAAAGCUGGUUAUCUUACUAGAGAAACGAAGAAACCAGCACUUGGAGAUCCUAAUCUUGGAUCAUGGAUUACUGAAAAUCAGAGAGUCAAGAGCUGGCUGAUUGAUUCAAUGAGUUCAUCAUUGAUGCAACGAUUUAUUCGUCUCCCUACAGCCAAAGGUAUAUGGGAGGUUGUAUCAAAAACCUUCUAUGACUGAAACCGAAUGCGAUCCCUCUAAUUUUCUGGACAUGUCUGAAGCACUAUCAAGGCCACUAGAGUUACCCAUGUCUACACCAUUAACUGAAGAAUUAACCGAAAGUGUUCUUCCUCAGGUAAUUUCAAAUCCAUUGUCUAAUGAGUCUAAUGAACUAUCUGUUUCUGUAGAAGACAUGAAUCCUAGAUAUCCACAAAGGUCAAAUAGAGGAAUUCCAAAGCGACAAUAUGAACCUAAUCCCAAAUCCAAAAUAAAAUACCCAAUUAGUAACUACAUGUCAUCUCAUAGGUUGUGUGAAUCAUAUGCACUUACUAUUAAUCAAUUAUCCACUUUAUCUAUUCCUAGUAGUGUACAGGAUGCUUUGGAGGAUCCAAAAUGGACUAAGGCGAUGAAUGAAGAGAUGGAAGCUCUACAAAAAAAUGCCACUUGGGAACUUGUUUCACUACCUAAAGGAAAGAAAACAAUUGGAUGUAGAUGGAUAUUUGUUGGUAGAUUUUAUAAUCAAAUGCUAUUGGUGUCAAUGUGCAAGUGUACACAACAAGUAAUAAAGUGAUGAGUAUUCAAGAUCGUCUCCACAGGGAUUAAUGUUACUUGAAAUGUUGUAGCAAUCACAAUAGUGCAAACUAAUUUAAAUCCGAAAUUAACAAACGUAAAAUUUGCUCUAUCGUAAUUAAUGAUUGUGAGAGAGUAAAGUAAGCAAAACCGCAAUGAAAUAAACUAAACUAAAUGUGUUUAAGAUUCAAGUGAGACUAUGGUAGUUGAAUGAUCAAACUCUCCUUGUGGACUGACUGUUUUUCAUCAAGUUGAGUCCAAUUGUUACGGCAAGUGCUGCAGCACUGGGCAGAAUUAAUCUGUAUCUUCAGCUGUCGCAUAUUGGAACUCUCAUACCCUUAAAUACACUAGCAAUGACCAGUUGCUAAUCAACUCAUGAUAUGGCUUUAUGAUCCAUUUUAUCUCUCCACCCUACAAGGUAAACACCUAUGUCUAGUGUGUCACAAAUCUUAACUUCAAGUAUUGCCCUUAUGGGAUUCAAGAUAACUUAAUCCAGAAAACUUAACUUAAGAUUAAGUAAUACUCUAAUAAUAUCUGCUAAGACAUGCCCUUUUGCUGCUCUAUCUUAACUGGAACUAUUAAAUGGGUGGUCAACCGAAAUAACAGUUAUAUUAAUAAUAGCUAUUAGAGUAAAAUGCUACAGCAAUGACAUAACAACACAUAAGAACAGUCAAGAACCCAUUGGAUUGUUUGUCACUCAACUACAAGCAAAUCUAGUUCAUAUUCUAAAUAAGAAAAACAAUCAUAAACAUGUUGUUCACUGGAUAAAUUAGAACAAUCAAAGGAAGAAGAUAAAUAUAAGUUGAGCAUGGUGAAAGACAAAUCCAAAUAAUUCUGCAAGAUUCCUCAAUGUUGCCGAACAGCACUCUUCAAUUCCGAUCUUCUUCUUUUUUCCUCUCUAAUGAUUUUGAUGAUAAUUCCCUUGCCGCCUUUCUAUGUGGUGCACGCCUCUAUUUUAUAUGGCAAACUAGGGUAAAACAAAAGUCCAUAGGCAUACAUGAAUUAAAUUAGGAAACAUGCAAAUCGCGAAUCUGCUGCUGGCAUGCGCCUAAAUUUUCUCCCGCAUUGCUCCCAGAUUGCUAUAGCACUAGUUGCUCUAACAUCCGCUACAACACUGCACUAUUCCCGAUUGUGCUUUACUUCUUUUACGGCUAUCUUCUUUCCUCCUCUUGCUCAUCCAUUGUCUCACCAUCCCCUCAUGAAUUAAGACUUUCUAAAAACCUACAAUAAUGCACCUGUUUUUAGCACCAAUUACUUUGAUUCAAACAAAACUUAUUAAAACUUAACUAAAAUGAAUGUUUAUGCAAAAUAUAACCAAAAUGUAAUAAAAACACCUUACUUGUCCUCUAAUUAAUCUUGAUUUAAGUCUAGAAUUGAUGUAAUAACUCUCAUUUCCUAGAGUUAUCAGUAUUCAUGGUGAAACUCAGAACAUAUGGAAGCAUUGAUAGGUAUAAAGCGAGACUAGUGGCAAAGGGAUAUACACAAAGGUAUGGAAUAGAUUACCAAGACACUUUCGCACCAGUAGCCAAGAUAAAUACCAUUCGCAUUAUUAUUUCGAUAACAUCAAAUCAAGAUUGGCCCUUGAAAUAGUUCGAUGUCAAAAAUACUUUUCUCAAUGGAGAUUUAUAAGAAGAAGUUUACAUGGAGCUACCUCAUAGUGUCAAACGUAGUUCUAUGCGUAGAAAUGAAGUAUAUAAGCUGAAGAAGUCCUUGUAUGGACUAAAACAGUUGCCUAGGGCAUGGUUUGGGAGGUUUUCAGCGACAAUGAAAGCUGCUAGUUAUAAACAAAGUAAUUCAGACCAUACUUUGUUUAUAAAACACAAAGAAAGAAAAGUAACGGUGUUAAUAGUGUAUAUUGAUGAUAUGGUAUUAACAGGGGACGAUUUGUCUGAAAUGAAAGCACUACAAGAACAUUUGGCUGCUGAAUUCGAAAUAAAAGAUCUUGGGCAGCUUAAAUACUUCUUGGGGAUUGAGGUAGCAAGAUCGAAAAAUGGAAUUUUUCUUUCGCAACGAAAAUACGUGUUAGAUCUUCUCACUGAAACUAGUAUGCUUGAUUGUAAACCAGCUGAAAUGCCUAUAGAGAUGAAUCACAAGCUCGGGAUUCUACCAAAUCAAACUCCAACUGAUAAGGGUCGUUACCAAUGGCUAGUUGGGAGGUUAAUCUAUUUAUCCCACACAAGGCCAAACAUAGCAUAUGCCGUAAGUGUAGUAAGCCAAUUCAUGCAUUCACCAAGUGAAGAACGUAUGGAUGCAGUCCAUCGAAUUCUGAGAUAUUUGAAGUGUGCUCCUGGAAAAGGUUUAUUGUUCUCAAAAAAUAAUGUCUCAAACAUUGAAAAAUACACGGACUAUGAUUGAGCAGGUGACCAGACAACAAGAAGAUCUACGUCAGGUUAUUUUGCAUUUGUUGAAGGCAAUCUCGUCACUUGGAGAAGCAAGAACCAGAAGGUUGUGGCAAGAUCAAGCGCUGAAGCGGAAUUUCGCGGAAUGGCGCAAGGUGUGUGUGAGAUGUUAUGGAUCAAGAACAUACUGAAAGAUUUGGGGAUUGAUUAUGCAAAACCCAUGAAUCUUAACUGUGAUAAUAAAGCAGCCAUAGAGAUUGCCCAGAAUCCUGUACAACAUGAUCGCACAAAACAUGUUGAAGUAGAUCGUCAUUUCAUCAAGGAGAAGCUUGACGAGAAAACUAUACAGUUCCCAUUUGUUCAAUCUGGAGAUCAGUGGGCUGACAUACUCACAAAAGCAGUAGCAGGAAGGGUGUUUCAUGAUAUAAUUGACAAGUUGGGCAUGAUAGAUAUCUAUGCUCCAACUUGAGGGGGAGUGUCGGCAUGAGCUGUUGGCAUGUGCUGUCAAUUAUUGCAUUGAUUUUGUAAUUACGUCCGGGGAUCUGUUAGUUGACCAAUCUUGUAUUUAAAUAUAGAAACAAUUUAUUUCUUCCUUUUUAGGAUGUAAUUAUCUUCAUAUAUUGCCUCUAAUUCGGAGAAGAAUAUACACAGAAUUAUUUUCUGCAUUGAAACCUUUGUUUGACAGAAAAUAAGGGUAAUAUUAUAAACUUAUAUUGUCAAGGAAGUUAUUAACUACUACAAAAAUAACAGAGGAGUAGAUGAUAUAUAUUGAUUAUAGUAUAGUGCAAAUUGACAAUCUCCCCCCACCCCCCCCACACACACACGUGUACAGUGGUUGUAGGCUAGCUAGGACAUAUAUCAACAACCUGGGAUGCCCUAAUCCAAAGUUGUAGAAUUAUAAAAGGCGGUCAGAGGACAACUAAGGUUGCAUUUGUUUUUUUAUCUGAAAUCUAAAUAGGUUUGAAUUUAACUGAAGUCUGAAUAGAUAUGAAUAAAAAUGUCUAAAUGACAUGUUUGUUUUUUCUUUCUCAACAUCUGCAGAGAAAAACUUAAAAACUAGUAGUUUGACAUAAAUAUCAUUUUAAGUGGUGCAUAUAUUUGUUCCUCACAAUUUAUAAUUUUCACAAGUUAAUUAGUUUGGUAACAUUAAAAAAAAUACUAUCAUUGUUUAUCUUAAUUUAAUUUUUUAACGAAAGAUGUAACUAUAAUAUCAAAUUUUAUUAUAAAGUCAACACUGUUAUUUUAUUUUUGAUUCAUCACAAUUGACAUAAUUUGAUUUGUUCAAUAUUUCAAUUUAGUUAAUGUUAUCACAUGAAUAAAAAUUUAAAGCAAUUAAAAAUAAUAACUUUAAGAAUAAGACAUUAAAAUUUUCCAUUUACACUUCAGACUUCAGAUAAAAGUGGACUUUUUCUACUUUUUCAAUUCUAAUAAAAUUUUCUGACAAUAAGUGACAAGUUAAAAAAAGAAACAACUUAAAAUUAAAAAAAUAUUUGAAAAAAAGUUAAAUUCAGACUUUAAAUUAAAAAAAAAAUAGCACCUAAAUUUAAUAACUACAAAAUUAGCAUAUUUGGGUUAGACAAAUGCUAUUAAUUAAUUUGGCCAAGUCAAAGAGAAUGUUAUUUACUUAUUUAUUUAUUUUUUGAAACUAUUGGAUUGGACCGAUAAGAUUUUAAAGUAUUAGAAGGGGUUUGUCCAUAUUUUUUUCAAAGGACUUUCUUUUUGAUUAAUUAUGCUACAAAUAAAUUUAAUUGAGAAUUGAGAUAUAUAAACUGUGUCUCUAUUAAUAUGAUAUUUAUUACCAUGUCAUUCAUUCGUAUAUUAAAAAAUAUUAGUACAAUUAAUCCGUAAGACAAUAUAUAAUUAAUAAAGUAAAAAGACAACAUAAGAAUACAAUAAUACUAGUGGUGGAAAAUAUUGAGGUGAUGACACAACAAGUACAGACUCAAGGGGCUUUUGAUUGAAGGGCUCCAUGCAGCAUCACAAUUCUUCCCCUUAAUACCACACUUCGUAAAUACAAAAUGUAACGCUAAUAGGAAAAAUUAUAAUUUGUUUCCAUCAACAUUUUAAUAAUUUUUUUUUCCCAAAAUAUUGUGUUAUUGUUCCACAUGGAAAAGUUAUAGUUGGAAAGAUCUCGACAAAUCAUCAGUGCCGCCACAUAAGCGUCAUGUCAUCAACAGGUCAGUAGAAGUCCGCCAAGAAAACAGCUAAUGACAGCCCAAUACCACACAGCAAAUUCUAGCCCGAGUCUUGAAAAUUUAACAGGAGACCAAUUUCAUUUUCAGCCCACCAAUUGAGGAUACAGCUCCAAAUUCUGAUCAAAUUUGUUGUGCUUCAAGUGGCUGAUGAGUAAAUCACACGUUGAAAAGUUUUUCCAACUAGACUGUUAAGAAUGUGAGUGUUUUUUUUUUUUUUUUGAAAGGAAGAAUGGAAGUUACUGUGACUAAUAAAUUACUGAAAAAAUCUUCAUGACGUAGGACUGUGUAACAUUUAUUUUCCCUUAUAAAAAAAAUGUGUGUAUAUAUAUAUAUAUACACAUAUAGGGUCCGCCUACCUUGCAACAGUUGCACGGUACCCCAAAUUUUGUCUUUUUUUUAUUCAGCCCAUUGAUCUAAUGGUUAAAGUGUUCAACGGAUGAGAUGCGUUCAUUUGGUUAUUAACACUUAACUCCCUACUGUUUAUUACAAUAUCAUAAAAACUAAAAGUUUUUAAAUAUUUUUUUAUAUAACUCCUAUUGUUUUAAAUCUUUUAAAGUUUUAUCUAUUCACCUAACUUGAUAUUAAAAAGAUGGUGUAAAGAUAAUAAUGUAAUAUCACAGAAAAUUUUUUUAAACACAUUAAAAAUUUAUAAAUGUAAAUAAUAUUUUUUUGUUAUAUAAUAUAUAUUUAAUAUAGAAUAAAUAAACUGAAUAUAUAUUAAGAAUAUAGGUUAUUAACCAUACAAUACUUCAAAAAAUUAUAAAAUAAAAAAGGUGAAAUUUCAAAAUAAGAAACAUGUAAAAAGUGGUAGGUUGUAAAAUUUUAUUAUUUUAAUAUUACAAAACUUUACUUUCUUAUUACAUUUUUAUUUUUAACAUUAGUUGACAUGUUAGUUUAUUUGUACAUAUAAUAUGUUAAUUUAACUAUAAAAUACCAAUAUUACUCUUGAAAUUUAAGAGAGCCAUUUUAAUUUUUUAAAAUUUUAAAUGUAGCCCAACAAAGUUCUAGAAAGAUAAACAAAAAAUAAUAUAAAAGGAAGUUAGUUUAUUUUUUCUUUAAGAAUAUUUCAGAAGCAUUUGAUUUUUAUGUUUCUUGAGAAUUACCCAUUUUUAAAGAUAUUUGAGCUUGUGAAUCUUGUUGUAAUGAUAAUUUAUUAUUUAUUCUUGAUAAAAAAAAUAUUUGAAUAGUAAAUUUAUUGAUUUCUAAAUGCUCUUUUAGAUGUAGGGUGGUUGCUUAAUUUUUAUUAUAUCAGUCUAAAAUUUUUUAUGAUGGCUAAUCAACAUCGCAAAAGACUCUGCCACGAUUAUUUUUACUUUCUUUACAUCAUUUUAGACCAUCAUCACACAAAGAAUUAAGGGUUUAUUUGGCAUCUUGUAUUAUAUUAUACUCUAUUGCAUUAUUUAAUAUAGGUAUAUUGUAUUAUGUUAUAUUACAUUAGCAGUAAAUUAUAAUAAUAUUGUACAAUGUUUAGUAAUUGGUAUUACACUAUACUGCAUUAAUUUUAUAUUAAUAUUAAACUAACAUUAUUUAAAUUUAUUAUUAAUUAUACUAAAUUAUUAUUUUUAUAUUAAUAUAAUAUGAUAUAAUAAAAUAAGAUUAUAGUAUAACUUAUUUUAUAUUUUUAUUUAUUAUAAUGAAAAUAAAAAUAUAUUUAAUGCUCAAUUAAGGCAAAAAAAUCUAUAAAGUUUAUUAAUGAUGAUGAUGAUGAUAAUGAUGAUGUUCGCGACAUUAAUAAUAACAUAAUAAUUAAAAUAAUAAAAUUAUUAAAAUUUUAAUAAUAUUAAUAAAAUAAUAAUAAUUAAAAUAAUAAAGUUAAUGUAUUUUAAUAAUAGUAAUAAAAAUAAUAUUAAUGACAAUAAUAAAAUUAAUAAAUAAUAAUAAUGACUUAAUUAAAGUAAUCAUAACAAUUAAAAUAAUAAAAUUAAUAAAUUUUCAUAAUAAUAAUAAUUAAUGAGAGUAAUAAUAAUAAUAAUAAUUAAUAAAUAAAAUAAUAAAUUAACAAAUUUUAAUGAUAAUAAUAUUAUUAAUAAUAUUAAUAAUGAUGACAUUUAUGAUAGUAUUAAUACAUAACAAUAAUUUUAAUUUUAAUAAUAAUAAUUAUAAUAAUAAUGACAUUAAUAAAUAAUACUAAUAAUAACAGUUAAAAAUUGUUUUAAAGCCAUUUUAUCCCAAAAAAAGGGCUUAUAUAUAAAACUUUGUAACUUUUAGUGUCUAUUCAUUUUUUUCAGAGAAUAUAGGAUAGUGCAAUGUAAUUAAUUGAAAAGACAAAAGUAAGUGGUACAGUGCAACCGUUGCAACAUAGUUUCAUCCAUAUAUAUAUAUAUAUAACAAUUAUUUUCAAAAGAUAAAGUAAUUAUUUGAAUCAAAAGAUAAAUUCUAUUAACGAUCCAAUGUUGAAUUAGGACCUGAUGUGUUAAGAUUUAGUUAGCUUAUUUGAGUAAUUAAGGGAGAUUCUUUCCUUAUAUAUGGCUGAUUUGUUAUCCAUUGAAAUAUGGGGUCGUUAUUUACUUUCCUUUCAUUUGGGAUCGCAAUUUGUGAAUAUUAUAGCUCUUGUAAACUUGUAAAUAAAGUCUCUUAUUCAACUGUCAGAAAAUGAAUAUAUACCGUUCUUUUCAAAACUUAAUUUUUAGGAUGCUAAACUGAGUUGUACACUCAUAUUUUCAUAAUUUUCUGCCAUUCGUAUAAAAUUAAAGUUUAAUCACCAAUUGCAUCUACAUAAAAAGUUGGCAAAAACCCCGAUGGUAGUACUAUUUUUCCGGCACUAUCCAACUCCAAAUUUGUCACAUGACUUUGCUCCUAUAGAAUGACAUUGAAGUAUCAAGAAUGCAUAUCAAUCUUUAAUGAAAAAUGAUUUUUCAAGCAGGAACAGCUUCCAUUUAUUUCAAGCCUCAAGGAGCGUUGAGAAAUAAAGUGAAAUUAACAGUCAACAAUUGUACUGACAAAAACAGUACUUUUCAGGCGGUGUUGCCUUGUGAAAAUCACACCAUCCUGUUCCCUUGUAAUUUUUUUGACAAUCCGCUUUGCACUGAUCAUCGCCAUUGCAGGCCCAAAAUUUCUCGCAAGUAUUUGCUUGUGCCCCAAGAAACAUGUUUCCAUCUGCAUGUUAUGAACAAUAUAUAUAUUUGUUGUUAGCCAUCAUUAAAAAAAAUUUCAUUAUAUUUAUCUAUAUAUAAUCGAAAUAAACUAUAUAUAUUGAAUCAACGAUCAAUUUUUUUUGAGUGUGUGUGUGUGUAUAGACAUAUAUACAUACCAGAAACAAGAAGGAAAGCAAGUAGGAAGCAAACAAUAGUGAACUUUGCCAUCUUUUGAAGAAUAUACGAAGUUGCUUAUAUGAUUUUAAAAAGGUUUAUGAGAAACUUAUAAUUUUUAUUGAUCUUUUUAUAGCACUGGAAUAUGUAUUGAUACACUGAUAUGAUUUUAACAUCAAAUCAUUACUUUCUAAAAUUGCAAUACAGAAUCUGGGAAUUAAUGGGAAUAUUUUGAAUAAAAUACUUAAAUUUGCAUUUUCUUAUUAGUUUUUGACAGCAACUUAGAAUUUGGGAAUGGCAACAAUAUUAAAUGAAAUAUUUAGGUCCUAUUUGGUAUUAUGGUUGGACAGAAGCUGUACGAAUAAGAAGUGUUUGGUAAACACUAAUUGCUAUAGUUUUAAAGUUGAGUUGAUUUAUCACACUUGUAUGAUAAAAAUUUUUUAAUAUCAAUAUUAUCUCUGUUAAAUCAUUAUUUUAAAUUUAUUUUUUAAUGACUAUCAACUUUUAUUUAAUGCCUAUAACUUUUUUUUUCUCGUAUAAUAGCUGUAGUUUAAAAGUCUCAAUAUCUCAAUGCCAAAUAUAUCUCAAUUUGAAGAUUUUUAGUUUUGGAUAACAACUCAGGAUUGUAAAUAUCUUGUAAUGAAAUACUUAAAUUAGUAGUUUUUCAGUUUUGGAUGACAACUAAGAAAUUAUAGGAAUGAGAAUAUUUGUUUUAAUGAAAUACUCAAUUUGCAUUUUCUUAUUAGCUUUCAAUAGCAAAUGAGAAAGUUCGGGGAUGGAAAUAUUUUUGAAUGAAAUACUUAAUUUAAUUGGCAAUUUCUUAGUUAUGGAUAGCAACUCAGGAUUCUUGAUUUAAACUGUGAUCAAACCUGUCACCGGCAUUUGUGGCAAUUUUCAUAAUAAAAAUUCUGCGAGAUGUCACUUGUUAUAUUACAUGUUUGCAGAAGCUCAGUUGAAUAGUAACAAAAUUACGUUCUUGAGUGCACAUAAAUAACAACAGGAAAACAAGCAUAAGAUGAAUAGCAUAAUAAUUUUAUGUGGUUCAGCUUGCAGUCUACUUCGAUGGUCAAAGAUAUAAAAAAUUUUUACAAAGAAAUAAGGGUGUACAAAUAUUAAAGUAUAUCAUUCACUCACGACCAAAAUUCCUGAUAUAUGCUUAAUUUCUCUCUCACUUGAGCAUUAAAUUUCCCCGAAUUCACUCAACCGAAACUUUCACAAGAAAGUCUUAUUAAAGCUUCAUCUUCACUUGAUAUGCUCUAUAAUUCAAAUUAAAGGGUGAUAUAUUUCUCAAAAUGGAGAGCUCUAUUUAGAGGUAAAAUCUCAAACUCAUCAAAUUGGCAAGUGAAACAAUCAUCAUCCUUGCCAUACCAGCUGUAACGCAAAAUCUACAUUAUGACAUUUGCCUUAUUAAUUACCUGAUUACACAGAAAACCGAAAAAACCGUACCAAAGUUUACUUCAGCCAAAAUAGCGAAGAAGAUGAUACAGAGUAGAUAAUAAAAACCUGAAGUAAUCAUGGGGCCGGUAACAAUCACAUCAUCUCAUCAUGUGGGAAAAGUCUUUGCCAAGAGAAGCUGCUCGCUUCAAACAACAUCUUAUCACCUGAAAUUUAUGAAAAUAAUUAAUAGCUUUUCAAUUUCAUUACAUUAUCUAUGCCAAUCUAACAAUAAUUCAUGAAAAUUCAAAUUCAAAUCAUAUUAGCAUCAUACUAUGAGUGACGAAGCGGCUUGACCACAACAUAUGUAUUGACCACCUUUUGAUCAUUAUUGUGUGGAGUAUAUAUUUGCUAGGAAGGAACCCAUACAAGCAGCUGCAAAUUGACCAGAAAUAAAUUUUAUUCCCUCUUUGUGUGAUUAAAAUGAGAUGUGUACCAUAAAUAAAUAGGUAGAAAAAUAAACCAAUAAAAUCCGAGUAAUAAACCCACAAGAGACAUUUUUACAAGAAAAAUUCAAAAUGGGAAAAAUCACGGGACCAUAGUCCGAUAUAAUCUUUCACUAUAUUAAUGAGAUUACAACAUAAAUUCUUCUCUAUAUAACACUAGAGGUUAACAACAUUAAGAAUCUCAAUAAUCUUGGCUUACAGUAAUAGCCUAAUAUCUAUCUCUUUAAUAAGUGGGUAUCUCAAAAUAACGGCCAAUGAGUGGAUAAAACAAAAUAAAAACUGGUAGGAUAUUGUAGAGGGCGAUGCCAAGAACUUAGGAGAAAAUAGAGUUAAAUUUUCCUUCUGAUCGUCCAAUAAAAUAUUGAAACCCUUGUCCCCAAAAACAAUCUCACGCCACUAUCUUUCUCUCCCUUUCUCGUCAUUUCUUCUUUUUCUCAAUCAAUGUCAACUGCCGCUUGCACUUUUUCAUCUUUGUAUAAUGUUUUCAAAACCAAUUUAAUGGGAAAUUUCAUUUAACCUCACUUGUUUCCUUUAGUUGGUUAAAUACCCAAAUUAAUGAAAGAUGGGCUUGGGCCACCCAAAUGAGAUGGAUCUAACAAAUUUUCCUCUCCAGAUCAUAUGGGGGGCACUACCAAGCCCGUUCUCUCCUUACAUCUUUUCAGCUUCUUCUUGGGCAAUGACUUUGACAUCAUAUCUGACCCAUUUUCAAUUGUAUGAAUCUUUUCAAGUUACAAUUAUUUCUUCUCAAGCACGUCUCGUAUCCAAUGAUACCUCAUAUCAAUAUACUUGGAUUUUAGUUGAUAUGUCGAAUUCUUUGCUAAGUGAACAACACUCUGAUUAUCGCAGUACACUAUAUAGCUAUCUUGUUUCACACCUAGCUCUUGUAGGCAAUUCUUCAUCUACAAGGCUUUUUUCCAACUUCCAGUGGUUGCAAUAUACUUUGCUUCGGUGAUCGAUAAAGUGACACAUUGUUGAAGUUUGGAUUGCCACGAGACUGCUUCCCUUGCAAAAGUGAGCAAAUAUCCUGAUAACGAUUUUCUAGAAUCAACAUCUCUUGCCAUAUAUACAUCAAGGAACGUUUGUAAUACAAGUUUUUCACCAUCAAAACAUAAAAAUGCCUUGGAAGUGCCUAUGAGAUAUCUGAGAAUCUACUUCACUGCUGUCUAGUGCUCUUUACCCGGAUUGGAGAGAAACCGAUUGACUACACAAUUUGGAUGAGCAAUAUCUAGUCUUGUACAAACCAUGGCGUACAUCAAAUUGCCAACUGCUGAAACAUAAGGAACUUCUUUCAUCUCUUACUUCUCUUUCUCACUUAUAGGAUAAUGCUAGAAACUAAGCUUGAAAUGACCUACAAGUAGAGAAUAAAUAGAUUUUGCCCUACUCAUGUUAAAUAUUUCAAGAACCCUUUUCAACACAUGCUUCUUGAGAUAACCAUAACUUUUCUUAUUUUCGAUCACGGGAAAUCUUUAUUCCAAGAAUAUGUUUUAUCGAUCCAAAUCCUUUAUUGCAAAGACUUAUUAAGCUAUUUCUUCAUAUUAUUAAUUUUACUAACAUCUUAGCCAACAAUUAACAUGUCAUCCACAUAAAGUAAAAGAAUGAUAAAAUCAUUAUCACCAAACUUCUUUACAAAAACACAAUGAUCACACACUGUCUUGCUAAAACUAUGAUUCUCCAUAAAAGAAUCAAACUUCUUUUACCACUCUCUUGGUGUCUGUUUUAGCCCAUACAAUUUUUCUUCAACUUGCAUACAAAUUCUUCUUUGGUUUUGACACUAAACCCUUUAGGUUGUUCCAUAUUUAUUUCCUCCUUUAAGUCACUAUACAAGAAAGUUGUCUUUAUAUCAAGCUGUUUAAUCUUUAAAUUCAAGCUAGCUGCUGAUCCUAAAACAACUCGAAUAGAAGAUAUCUUUACUAUAGGAAAAAAUAUUUCUUCAAAAUCAACAAUUUUCUUUUAGUUGAAACCUUUCAUAACCAAUCUAGCCUUAUACAGCUGUUGCAAAUUAUUCUCAAUCUUUAACCUGUAAUUUCAUUUGUUCUUCGAUGCCCUCUUUCUUUUAGAAAGGUUUACUAAGUCAAAAAUGUGAUUCUCAAUCAAACAUUUCAUCUCCUCUUGCAUGGCUUUAAACCACUAACUUUUAUGCUGAUAAAGCAUAGCUUCUUCAAAACAUUAUGGUUCUCAUUCAUUUGCAAGCAUCACAUACUCAUGUGGAGGAUACUAGUAGAAGAUUGUCAUUCUCUAGUGGAUCUUCUCAAUUAUGUCUCAAUUGGUGGUGUUAGUGGUUCUGGAGGUUCUUGCUCAACUGGUUUUAUUGAGCUAUUAUUAUUAUCCUCUCUACCUCCCCUAUGAUCAUCAUGAAUUAUAAGUGGAGAAACAAAAGUUGGAAUAAUAAGAAUCUUUGAAAAUGACUUAGACUUAUCACUCUUCUCUGCAUCACCAACUAUCUGAUCUUUAAGAAACACAACAUAUUUACUUUUAAUAAAUUUCCUUGCCACUGGAUUCUAUAACUUGUACCUAAAUUCUUCACGUCCAUUGCCUACAAAAAUGCAUUCCUUGAGUUUAUCACCAAGCUUCAAUCUCUAAUCUUUAGGGAUAUGAACAUAUGCUUUGUAACCAAACACUAUUACGUAUUUAUAAAAAAAAUAUCUUUUUCACUCUAAACUCUCUUAAGUACAUCACCAUCUAAUGGAACUGAAAGAGAAAUGUUAAUCAAAUCAAUUGCAAUAUGUAUAGCCUUGGCCCAAAAAGAUUUAGGAAGCUUGGCAUCAGAAAGCAUACACUUGAUUCUUAGCAUGCACCUUAUUCUUUCUUUAAUUGUUUUAUUCAUCCUUUCUACAACAUCAUUCUACUGAGGGUUUUUUGGUACAAUCAUUUCAAAUUUUAUUCCAUGGGAUCUACAAUACUGCUCAAAUGUCCUCUAUAUUCGCCACUAUUAUCUACCUUGACAUAUUUUAAUUUUCUUCUUAUCCUUCUCUCAAUAUAAGCAUGGAAGAAUUUAAAUGUAUCGAGCACCUGGUCUUUAGAUUUUAAAGUAAAAACCCACACUUUUCUAGAAUAGUCAUCAAUAAAAGUCACAAAAUAAAGUGCACCCCAUGUUGAUCUACUUUGCAUCAUACAAACAUCAAUGUGAAUCAAAUCAAAGAUUUGUGCUUUUUUAGAUGGAGAAAAGCUUUUAGAAUUUAUCUAUAUGUCUUUCUAGCUAAGCAAUGAACACAAGUCUUGAGAGAUAUGCCUACAAAGCUGGGUAGAAAUACUUUUCUGGCAAGAGUUUCUAACCCUUUAUCACCAAUGUGUCCAAGCCUUUUAUACCAUGUCUCAAUAUCAAAAUCUUUUACAGCCAUAUUCACGUGUUCUUUGUUGAUCUUUUUUCUUGAUCUUGCAUUCUACUACAUACAGAGUGUUCGUUUUUCUUUCCUUAGCUAACGCUAGGAAGCCUUUGUGAGCUUCCAUUUUCCUUCAUCAAAUUGGUUAGUAUAACCAUCAUCAUCAAGUUUGCCUAUGGAGAUUAAAUUAAGGCGAAUAUUUAAUACAUGUCUGACAUUUUUAAGCAACAACUUAUAGCCAACAUAGUUUCUAAGCAAAUAUCUCUUAUGGCCAUAAUCACUAUUAACAUGGGAUGUGAAGUAAUCACGAUAUUUAGUAACAUGAAACGAAGCAUCCGAAUCAAUCACCCAAUCACUACUAUAGAAAGUGAGAUUUACAGAGCUCUCAUUAUAAACAAUACCUAAAUCACUAUCAACUAUCGUUGCAAUGUUCCCUUUGUCAUUUUUCUGACCAUAUGCAUUUUCCUUCACCUGUUCUCUUUUCCAUAAUCUACACUCCCUUUUUAUAUGACUCAUUUUCUAAUAGUGAAAGCACUUGGCGCUUCUCUUCUAGGACUUAGAUCUUCCCAUGUCUUUCUUACUUGUUUAAAAUAAGUGCAUCUGACUCAGAGGAAACCAUUUCAACACUCUUUCUUCUAGUUCUUCAUUUUGCAGUCUAUUUGUAGCCAGAUCCAAGGUUAAUUUCCCGUUCGAUGCUGAAUUAUUUACUGACACCUCUAAUAUCUCCCAAUUAUUAGGCAAAGAACUAAGCAAUAACUAUGCUUGUAACUUAUCAUCUAAAACAAUCUUCAUAGUAGUCAACUGAUCAACCAAGCCUUGAAACUUACUAGUGUGUUAAGUUAUAUUAUGCCCCUCCUUGUAUUUUAAUUUAACAAGCCUUUUCAUCAUAUUGGCUUUAUUUUGUGCUGUCGGCUACUAAUAAAUUAUUUUCAAUUUCCUCCAAAAAAUAUCAACCCCGAAUUCCUUCGCAACAUGGUGGUAUACACUUUGAUCAAUCCAUAACCUAAUAGUGCCCAUAGACUUUUAGUUUAAUUAAGUCCAUUUCUUAUCAUCCAAAUUAGCGAAUCUAGCUUCUUCGCCUUCAAUAGGUUCAUAUAAGUCUUUCAUGUAUAGUAAAUCUUCCAUUCGAGACUUCAAUUCCAUGAUUUUAAUUUAAUCAUGCUUGUCGAAGACUCCUCCAUCUCAACCAACCACACAAGUAAUAGAAACACACAACCUAAUGCUUUGAUACCACUCUAUUGGGAAGGAACCCACACAAACAACUGUAAAUUAAGCGGACAAAACCUUCUUUCCUUUUUUGUAUGACUAAAAUGGGAUGUGUACCACAAAUAAAUAAGAAGAAAAAUAAACCACAUAUAAGUAAGUAGGAAAAUAAACCAACAAAAUCCAAAGCAAUAAACCAAUCAUAAGAGACACAUAUUUUUACGUGAAAAAUUCAAAACGAAAAAUACUACGGGACCGUAGUCUGAUAUAGUCUUCAAUUAUAUUAAUGAGAUUACAACAUAAAUUCUUUUCUCGAACACUAGAGACUAAAAGCAUCAAGAAUCUCAAUAAUUUUGACUUACAGUAACAGCCUAAUAUUUGUCUCUCUAAUAAGUGGGUAUCUGAAAAUCAUAGCCAAAGAGAGGAUAAAACAAAAAUGAAGAUCACUAGGAUUGUAGAGGGCAAUGCUAGAAACUUACCUUUUAAAUUUGGGAGAAAACAAAGUUAAAUUUAUCUUCCGACCAUCCAAUCAAAAAUUAAAUCUUUGCCUCAAAAAAACAAUCUCACGCCACUAUCUUUCUCUCCCUCUCUCGACUUUUCUUCUUUUCUCACUCAAUGUCAGCUGACGCUUGCACUUAUUCAUCUUUAUAUAAUGUUUUCAAGACCUAUUUAAUGGAAAAUUUAAUUUAAUCCCACUUAUUUUUCAAUUAUUUAAAUACCCAAAUUAAUGAAACUUGGGCUUGAGCCACCCAAAUGAGAUAGACCCAACAAUAUCUUUGACUGCGUAAAAUUUUAGCUGCAAGGCACCUGCAAAUUGUUUUCAAUCCUGAACGAGAGCCUAAUUUUGAAUAAAAAUUAAUCUAUAUGAUGACACAAGAGACAAUGGUAAAAUAGCCAUAAGAAAUAUAAAUAUACUUUUGUCAGAGCAUCUUCUAGGAGUAUUGAUUUGGUCUAAGAUCUUAAAUUUUAUUAAAGUUUGAGAAAGCUAUUAACUUAUAUGGUUUAAUAGUUUUUCUAUGCAUUAUACUAUUAAAUCAUAUGUUCUUCUAGUAAAAUGCAAUGCCUCCAUUAUCAACUAUGAUUACCUACAUGGUAUCCUUCUGUUAUAAUACCAUUUGUAGUGAAUUGAAUCUUGACGUGUGCCUUAGUAUGCUGCUUAGUAUCCAUAACCUGUUAACAAAAACAACUUUACUAAAGUUUAGUCCUUAGUGGUAAAAUAGUGAAGAAGAUAAUCUAUUAAUAAUAAAUAUUUACCUAGUUAACCUUAUGUCGAUAAUCACAGCAUCUCAAGGGGCAAAAUCUUCCACAUAUAAUAAGCUUGCUUCAAGCAAGGUAGUCGCCGGCAGUGAGAGGGAGUUCCUACAGUGGUAAAGCACCACCACCUGCGGCCGAUGCAUCCAUGAAGGGCUUGACCGAUAAUAAAGUUAUUCAACAUGCAUGCCGAGCCAAUAAGUGUUUUAUUAUUAAAAUUUUUCUUUUCUUGCGAGCAAUAACAAUCGGGCAAUUAAUGUGUAGAGUUUGUUUCACAAAAAUAUUCAAGAAGAAAGAGAGAAUAUAAUAGAAGAGGAGUUCAUGGGAAAGGACAAGGACAUUGAUAUUGAUAUUAUGGAUGUGGUAAUUGAAAGGAAGGGGUUUUUUACCGGCUAUAUCAUUUUCUCAAAAAGUUCAUUCGCAACUAGUGAAGCCAUUGGAAUCAACAGUUGUCGUGAAAUUGCUGGGAAGAUCUAUUGGAUACAAAGUGCUAUGUAAUCGUUUGGAGGCUUUAUGGAAUAUGUCCUACGAUUUCUCUGUGAUUGAUCUAGAAAAUAACUACUUCCUUGUUCGGUUCAAAAGGGAAUCUGAUGCUCAGCAUGUGCUUACUCAAGGACCAUGGAUCGUGUUUGGCCAUUAUUUAAUGGUACAUUCAUAGUCUCCGCAUUUUGACAGUGCUAAUGAAAAAAUAUCAUCAGUAGUGGCAUGGAUUCGCCUUCCGGGUAUGCCUGUUCACUACUAUCACAAGAAGGUGCUGAGGUUGUUAGGCCAGGUAAUUAGGAAUGUCAUUCGUAUUGAUUAUAAUAUAGAAUCAGCUAGGAGGGAAAAUUUGCUAGGAUCGGUAUUGAAGUUGCAUUGGAUAAGCCGUUAUGCUCACAGUUCCUGCUAGAUGGACAGAUUCAAAAAGUGGAAUAUGAAAGUUUACCUACCAUAUGUUUGAAUGUGGUUUCUACGGUUACCUCGUUUCAUCUUGCUAAUAACUCUAUGAAAUGAGAGUUAUCAUGAGACUUUUAGGCUUAAAUCAAGACUACUUCCAGAGUAAUUGAUGUGCUUUCAGUGCAUUUUGAUGUUGGUUUGGAUUAACAUCUAUCUUAGUUUACAUUUGAUGAAGUUUAUGUGAUUUUGGAAAUAAUUGUUUGCCUAAAGCAUGUGCUUAAUUAUAGGUAACUGGAAACCUGAAUUUUAUUGAAAGGAUGUUGUAGCAAUGGACUUACAAAAAGGACAAACGAACAUGGCUACAGAAGAUUUGAUGUAAGGCUGGAACAGUUCAGAUGCUGUAGCUAUUGUUGUAGCAAUUCCUGAGCAUUGACAGAAAAAUUUGGGCAAAAUAUUCAGAAUAUUGCGAUCUGCAAUUUCCAAAUCUGAAGAUGCGCCCGAAAGUUUCCAGUUAACUUAAUUUAUGAAUAUAAAAGAAUGUGUACAUGAAAAGAAAAGGGAGAGAGCCAUCAAUCAAGAUCAAAACAGAGAAGAAAUAACAAAGUAACAGAAUUCCCCAAUUAGAAUUCAAGGCUGCACUAGUAGAAGAAAUUUACAGAAUUAAUUGGAAUUUGCCUUGUCUCAAUCUUUUCUUUUUUACUUUUCAUUCAUUGAUCAUGAAUAUGUAUUUGAUGGCUAGAAACUUGGUUGUUUAAUUACCUUCACAAAUUAUGAAUUAAACUUAUUUAUGGUUGAGUGUUAAACUAGCUCGAUGAUUAAUUGACUGACUAUAUAUAUUACUACAUGUUUGCUAUAGCAUUUUGCUUUAAUAGUAUUUAUUUAAAGUCAUUAUUUCGGCUUACCACCCAUUUAAUGAUACAAGCUAGGAAAGAGCCACAAAAGGGUCUGUCUUAGUGGAACAUAUUAGAGCAAACUUGGUCUUGGAUUGAGUUUAACUUGAGUCGAAAAAAGGGCCAUGCUUAAUCUUAGAUUAGUGAUGAACUAGAUAUGAGGAUUCACCUUAUAGGGUAAAGAGAACUUAAAUGUGUAAUGUUAUAUCCUAUAUUGAUAUAGCAACUGGUCAUUGUUAGGGUUGCAUAAAGAUAUAAGACAUCCAACGUGGUACUAUUGAGGAUAAAGAUGGUUUUUGCCCAGUGCUGUAGUAGAUGCUGCAGCAACUGAACUUAACAUGAAUAAAUAGUCAACACCAUCAAGAGAGUUUAAUCACUCAACUACUCCAUUCUUAUUGAUUUAACCCUUGUGUUUAAUGUGGAAAUUUUAUUCAUUGUAUCUUUAAUGAUUGCAAUUUCAUUUUCCUUCAGUAUUUAGUUAGGUUGGUUGCAUUGAUUUAAUUUAGGACAUAGAUUGCAUUGUUGAAUUGCUGUAAGAAUUCUGAUAGCAUCAAUCCUUGUGGAGACGAUCUUGAAAAUUCAUAAUUUUUUUACUUCCUGUGUACACUUGCACAUUGACACUAAUAGCAUUUGAAUUUAUAGCAACAAGUUUUUGGCGCCGUUGCCGGGGAUUGAUUGUUUAUUUUUUAAUUGUGAAAAUCAAAUUUUGACGGUGCUAAUCUUGGUUUUAUUUUGAACUGUUUCUUUCGUUAACAUAUCACUCUUGCAUGGGAAAAUACAAACUUGUUGAAUUCAGUUUGACUGAGAGAUUGAAAAAACUGCAAGGAGAUUGAGAAGAGAGCAAAGAAAUUCAAAAACUGCUAUAGUAAUGACUGACUUGCAAAACUUAGGAAACUUAGACCCUCACGGACCAAUACAACCUGUCAAUGUUUAAGAAAGUUAGAAUGGGCAAAUUAAUCAGAGACCAUCAGGGAAAACAAUAUUAUCUACAUGGCAGAUGAUAGAGACAGGCCAUUAGAGAUUAUGCUGUGUUGGCCCCUCAAGUUAUACAUCCUGGCAUAGUCAGACCUGAGGUGGAAUUUGCCAAUUUUGAACUCAAACCAGUGAUGUUUCAAAUGCUAAACAGUGGGGCAAUUUAAUGGAUUGCCAUAAGAAUAUCCUCAUCUCCACCUUAAGUUGUUUUUGAAGGUGAGUGAUGCUUUCAAAAUUGCUAGAGCAUCACAUGAUACAUUGAGACUAAGACUUUUUCCUUACUCUUAAAAGAUGGUAAGUGCAUGGUUGAACUUCUACCACCAGACUCAUCACAACAUGGAAUAACUUGGCUGAUAACUUUAUGAUGAGUAACUUCCCACCAACCAAAAAUGCAAAGUUGCGGAAUGAAAUUGCUUUUUUUCAUCAACUAGAAGAUGAGAGCUUGUAUGAGGCUUGAGAAAGAUUUAAGGAGUUGCUCAAGAGGUGCCCUCGUCAUGGCAUUCCUUGCUGCAAACAUGUUAGAAACCUUCAUAAUGGGUUAAACCCAAGCACUAGAUUGAUGGUCGAUACUUCAGCAAAUGGGGCUUUAUUAUCUAAAUCUUACAAUAAAGCCUAUGAAAAUUUGGAGAUAAUUGCUAAUAACAACUAUCAGUAACCAUCAACUAGACAAACUGCAACAAGAGAGCAACAGGGAUACACAAUGUGGAUGCAUUUACAACAUUAUCAGCCCAAGUAACAUCGUUAACCAAUAUGGUGAAAGCUAUGACCACUGCUCCAGCAAUUGUCAAUCAAGUUGUUGAGAUUUCCUAUGUGUACCGUGGAGGGGCAUUGUUGCAUAAAUUUUAUUGAACUCACAAGUGCACGAAUCUAUUGUAGAAUAGAUUAGUGGUGAUGAGUAUCGAUCCCAAGAGGAGGUGGAUUUUAAUUAUAUGUAGAAUUAAUUUUCUAUGAGGGUGGUUGGAUUUGUGGUGGAAGUGAUUUAAAUUAUCCUAAAAUUCAAUUAAAAUGACGGAAAUAAAUUGAAGUGAAAUCUAUUAAAAUGGAGUGUUUGGGUAUCUGGAUAUGCAUCAACAUGCACCAUGGGCUUAAUAUCCUUAUUAGUGCCAAUUAAAUCAUGAGGGGGGUUUCCACUCCUCAUGAACCACACUCUAAUCAAUAUGGUGCUAAGGGCUUAUUGUGCCAAAUAAUAAUAACCUUGUACUAGGGAGCCGAUUAAACCAGUGCGGUAUCUAGACAAGAUUAUUAUUAUUUGUCGACGAAAAGUCAAAACAUCCACAAUAAUUAAGGGAAGAGAAAGUAAAUUUACCAAAUAAAGCCCAUGGCACAUGUUAAGACUUCACCUUCAACCCAAGUUUGAAAGAAAAUUAGCUACUCAUAAUUGAACUAGGGGUUAAAUGAGAAUUUAUUAAAAUAUGUAGAAAAUACAAGAUAGAGAAAAAUUGUAGAAAAUGAAACUCAAAAAUGAAUUCAAGGAUGCCAAAUUAGGGGGAGGAGCCCCCUUUUUAUAGAUACACUGAGUAAAUCAUGGCCAUCAGAUUAAAAAUAUUUGGAUGCUCAGGAUUGCGCUGGAGGUGGAUUUUAAUUAUAUGUAGAAUUAAUUUUCUAUGAGGGUGGUUGGAUUUGUGGUGGAAGUGAUUUAAAUUAUCCUAAAAUUCAAAUUAAAAUGACGGGAAUAAAUUGAAGUGAAAUCUAUUAAAAUGGAGUGUUUGGGUAUCUGGAUAUGCAUCAACAUGCACCAUGGGCUUAAUACUCCUUAUUAGUGCCAAUUAAAUCAUGAGGGGGGUUUCCACUCCUCAUGAACCACACUCUAAUCAAUAUGGUGCUAAGGGCUUAUUGUGCCAAAUAAUAAUAACCUUGUACUAGGGAGCCGAUUAAACUAGUGCGGUAUCUAGACAAGAUUAUUAUUAUUUGUCGACGAAAAGUCAAAACAUCCACAAUAAUUAAAGGGGAAGAGAAAGUAAAUUUACCAAAUAAAGCCCAUGGCACAUGUUAAGACUUCACCUUCAACCCAAGUUUGAAAGAAAAUUAGCUACUCAUAAUUGAACUAGGGGUAAAAUGAGAAUUUAUUAAAAUAUGUAGAAAAUACAAGAUAGAGAAAAAAAUUGUAGAAAAUGAAACUCAAAAAUGAAUUCAAGGAUGCCAAAUUAGGGGGAGGAGCCCCUUUUUAUAGAUACACUGAGUAAAUCAUGGCCAUCAGAUUAAAAAUAUUUUAUGCUCAGGAUUGCGCCACGUCAUCGGUCAACAGUACGCGGUUUGACCACGCGAUUUGAAUGAUGACACAGUUUGACACGCGGUUUGAAUAGUGACACGGUUUUGUUGUAAAUAAUUCGUGUAUAUGAAUGCACCGUAUGCACGAUUUUGUCCACUAACAAGUUGCCACGUCACCGAUCAACAGUAAAUAAGAAUUUUAGUCCAAUAGGAUCGUGGCACUUCAUUGGUCAAUGCCACAUCAUUAGUCAAUGCCACGUCAUCGUUCCGUAUAUGUGAACAGUAAGUAACAUCGCAUCAGUUUGACCACGCGGUCAGCACAUGCAUCGUUGCCACGUGAUCAACAGUAAAUAAGAAUUUUAGUCCAAUAAGAUCGUGACACUUCAUUGGUCAAUGCCACAUCAUCAGUCAAUGCCACGUCAUCGUUCUGUAUAUGUGAACAGUGUCGCUAACAGUAACAUUGACAGUAUCGUAGAUGUGAAUAGAACCGUACAUAUGAAUAGUGCCAUUUUUUCUUUAUGUUCCUCCUAAGAUUUUCAACUAUCCUGAGUUUAAAAGUAAUGUCGUUUUGCUGUCUAAUCUCUUGUUCAUUGUGAAAUGACCAUGAUGCCCUAAAAUACAUAAAAUACUUAAUUAAAAUAAAACACACAUAAUUAAAUUACAAGAGAGUUAAAUACAUAAAAAUAGGAAUGUUAGUGAAACUUAAAGUGUAAAAUGACGAUUUUCUCCUUUAUAAAUAUAUACUUUCUAACACUCAACACCCCCAACCAGCUUAUUGCUAGUUCCUAGCAAAUAAAGUGAAAACAAAAUUCAAACCCAAAAUGAUUUUUUUUUUAAAAAAACAAUCGUGUUUAUUCAAUCAGACUAAUGAUAGCAAUCAAAUAAACGUAUAAGCAUUAUCUCCAGUCUAAAUAAACAUCACACCCGCAUAAACCAUCCACAUGAAUAAACUCAGUAGAUUUGUCAUAGCUAUUUUCAAGAAUGACAUGUCAAACCCCAAAAUCCACAGGUAGUAGUGGCACUCUCAUAAAAAAAUUGAACCCAAUAAAAAUAGUUACUCAAUGAAUGGUAAAUUGAGAGAAAUAAAUAAAGAAGUGAUAUCACACACUCUCACAAGAUGAAAGGAAUAUGGCCCACAUUUUAGAAAUCACACAAUCUUUAAAUGAAACAAAAUGUUAGUCAACCCAAUUAUUUAUUUAUUUUAUAUAUGUAUGCAUCAUUACAUCUUUUUAUCCCAUAUAACUAGCUUCUACUUCAGACUAUAAAUCCCUAAAAUCAAGAAAGACUUUUAUUAAACGUAACGAAGGCUAAGGAUAUGGCUAACAAAGAGAAAAUAAGGAAAAAAAUAUAUGUUUAAGAAAAGUAGAUAUCUUUUGGAAAUUACAAAGUGCAUUUUGCUUAUUUAUUAUUAUUGUUAUUUUUUUUUUUGAAACAACAAUUUUUUUUUUUUUUUUUUUUAUUUGGCACAACUUCACUGAACAAAUAAUUAUUUACAUUUUUCUCAAACAUAAAUAGGUGAUGAAACUUGUAAUAUAUCAGGUAAUACUCCAAAUCGGAGUGGGUCAAGAUGAUAAGUUUGACAAAGAAAACUUUUUUUAAUAAAUAAAAAGCUCAAAAGGGUUAAGUAUGGAUAUUUCAAAAGAGAUGGUUACAAACGCUCAAAUGGGUCAAAGAUGGCCUUCCUAUCGUCUUUUAGGACUUUAAAUAAUCUUCCAUAUCUACUAGUUAGAUGGACCUCCAGAUGUACCAACACCCAUUUUUUUUUAUCUUACAAUUUUUUUAGAGGGUUGACUCAAAGGAAUCUAGAGAUCAUGUAUAAAAUAAUAAACUGCUAAGAUGUAUGAAGAAUGGGCAAAAAUGGUUACUUUCCAAAAAAAAAUGACAUGCUAAAAAAAUCACUUGGAAUUUAUUAUGACAUGUGCAUUCUUCAAGCAACUCAUAUUUAUCUCUGACAUCAACAUGUAGAGUAACAAACAUAGCGUAACAUCACUUAAGACCAAAGAUAAUACAAAUACUAAAAUUUUAAAGUUAUCAUGUCAUCUAAUGUUAAAAAAAAUUCACACAAUUUUUUUUUUUCAAAUGCAGUCUACCUCCCAAUCUAUUCUAAACAUGAAAAGAAAAUAUGUAUGUAGAAAGGUGAAUGAUGUAGAAAAACUAAUUAGAAAAGUUCACUUAAAAUGAUAGAAAAGAAAAUGUUUUUUUUUUUUAAAACUAAGAAGAUGCGUUUCUAGAGUCACUACACUCCAUAUUCAGCCAUCUUCGACUCAAAAAUUUGAAAGUGUAUACUUAUAAAGGAGAAAUUAGAAAGAAUAAGUUAGAAAAAAUAAUGAUUGUCAAAGCUUAAUAAAGAAAAAGAAAAUGUUUGGAAUUUUUUUUUUUUUAACUUCCAAACCAAGAGAUGCGUUUAUAGAUUCACUACAUUCCAUAUUCAGCCAUCUUCAACACAAAAUGUUAGCCACUGUUAGUCUCUACAACAAAAAAAUCAGUAAAAACUUAACCAAGAUUCCACAAUUGUCAACUAUUCCCUCCCCCCAACCAGAAUGAAACAUUGUCCUUAAUUUUUAAAGGAAAGAAGUAGAGUUUAGAAGACAUCACCUGGGUGGUGCAACAUGGAAGAAAAUAUUUACAAGCGGAUAGUUAAAUUUAAUUUGCACUUCUUACUACGGCUACUGUUACCAUCAUUAUUUGGACACUCCAACACAAAGGUCCUGGGGUCUGGCUCUUGUCUAUAAGCUUGUAACAGAUCAAGUAGCUCAUUAGUAGUGUGUGCACAAAUAAAAAGUUUUUUCACUGUGGAAGGAAUGAAAUAAUUUUUUAUUGCAUGGUUAAGAAAUGCAAUGAAGUCAUCAUAAAAGUUAUUGACAUUUAACAAACCGUUGGGUUUCUGGUGAAUAUAUAGAUGGGCCCAAGAUGCUAAUGUGAUAAGUGCCUCUAAAGUUGCAAGAUCUCCUGGUAGGAAAAUAAAAGCAUCAGCAUGAUUAAGUAUUUCAGUUAUUCUUUCUUGCAUAUCUGAGACGACUAACUCUUCUCCAGUCAGUGAGUCAGACAAACUGCCCAAAGGUUUUAGGGCUCUUAGGAUGAUGCCUAACACUUGGCUUCCCCUGACCAAUGCAGCUUCGGAGACCAAUUUUGAUAACCCUCAAUUAUCUGCUCCAUACACCAAGUGUAAUUUUCUCUCUAUUAUGCUUCGACCAAGAUCUAUGACUGUCUCAACGAACUCUUUAUGUUUUCCAUAGUUAAAUCCAGAAAGCACACAAAUGUUCUUGAAUUGUUUAUUGGGAGUAGCUGUCAUUGAGAUACUUCUCAAAAAUAAUUUGUGAGUGCAUAACAAAAAGUCAUAUUUAAGAAUCUUAGUAAUAGUGGGUCACAACUGUUUAUGAGGUAGCAUGUCAGUGUCAAUUAACGUGUAAAGCACAUGGCUCGAGAGUAAAAAAGGAAACAGUAAAAAAGAAAAAACAAUGACAAAAUGAAAUUAUUAAAGACAAUAAUGCAAAUGAUAAAAUAACAGUGAAAUAAAACAACAGUGAAGUAAAAAGAUAUUUACAGGUAGUUGCGAUUGUGGCUCACAUCUUCCUCUGGUUUUACGUCAAGAAACGGCUUGAACGCCCUCUAUGGGUUGAGGAUAGACUUCCCAUCCUGUUUUCUUAUAAAUUGGCAAACAGGGUCGUUUAUAGUUAGAUUCCUGAGACUAUAUCGUGCAUGCUCUUUCUAGAAUAAUGGCCAUAAUUGGAGAAUCACUCCUGUACAUAUCCACUGGGAUGCGUUUCAAGAGACAAAAGGAUAUCAUCUAAUGACUCUUUAUUCAAGCCAUCCUUAAUGAAUUAAAUCUUUUCUUCCCUGUUAUCAGACAUCAUUCCUAAAGAGCAUGGUUUUUUAUCGCAUCUCAUUCUGGCACACUUAUGACAAGCAACUGAAAUUCUUCGAGCUCUUCGUUUUCUUGCAUACUUUCCUUUACCAUAACCAGACAUAUAUGCAAUAAAUUUUAGAGGCAACUAAGCUGCCAUCGUACUUUGGCCUCAAUUAACCAGCGGAUGUCAGCAAGUAUGUUAUUCCUCAUAAGCAAUCUCAUGCAUUUGGACCGAACUUUAUAGAUUGUAAGGAGGGCAUUAUGAGGAAGUGAAGGGAAUUGAUUGUGAAACUUUACUAAAAUCUCAUUUCUGUCCAUACCUUCGCCUCAGAAGAUCAGUUAUUAUGGAAAACUGAAGUAACCGACUUGAUUGUCACAGAGUACCGUUAUCCGUCACUUAACCAAGGUAACAAACUAAAGCACACAAACAAAGUAACAAACUAAAACACACAAAGAAAAUUACAAUCGUCUUCUUAUUGAAUUUACCUCAAGCUCCAGCUGAAUGUCGAAGAUACCUCCUUCAAUGUCUCUGAGUUGGCUUUCUAAAUCCUCAACAUGGGAUACUAACUCUGGUGGUUGUAGAUCCCAAAUAUGAUGUGUUUUACAAAAUUAAAUCUGCCUUCUGAGAUGAGAUUUUACACGUUGAACUCGUCUAAGAAGGUCCAAGAGGAUCUGUAUAGCUGAGGCACUCAUGAUUAAUAAUGAUAAAAGAAAACUUAAUGGUUAAACAAACACACUUAUGUAAAAAUAAUUUCAAUAAGCAAAGAAUAGUACAAAGAAAAAAAAUCAAAUCACUGAAAAGAAAGAAAAAUCUUAAUUCAAAUUUGGUGGGUCACUUUUUGGUGUCCUCUCUAUGAGGUUGGUACUCUAGAUAUGGCUUUAAUCUUUGACCAUUAACUUACAAGUGACACCAUUCUUUGAGUCUUUAAUUUCAAUUGUCCCAUGUGGAAAAACAGUGUGAACAAUAAAAGGGUUAGACCAUCGAUAACGUAACUUACCUGGGAAUAGGUGCAAGUUAGAAUUGAAUAAAAACACUUUCUAACCUGGAGUGAAAGAUUUUCUCAAAAUUUGCUUGUCAUGAAAGACUUUCAUUAGCUGCUUGUAAAUAUUGCAUUUUCGUAUGCAUCAUUACGAAUUUCUUUAAGUUCUGCCAACUGUAAUAUUCUUUCUGAGCUAGCUUGCUGCAUGUCAAAGUUGAAUUUCUUGAUGGCCCAGUAUGCACGAUGCUCGAGUUCCACAGGUAGGUGGCAAACUUUUCUAUACACUAGCAUGUAGGGUUUAAAUAAACAAAUUAAAUCUUUUUUUUGUGGAUCGAUCUCGGACUCACCGAGUUAUAAUUUAAUAAGACACUCUUAUACUUGGGAGUUAGAAAUCACUUUUAAGUCGUGUCAAUCAUCAAAUAUAUAUUUCUAUCUUCUGUCUAAAGUACUUAAUUAAUUUCAAAACUUUUGGUGUUGUUUGUAUUUUGAGUAAAGCUUUUAAAAAUUAAAUAAAUGAUAAAGGUUGUAAAUUGUUUUUUAGUUAAAUUAUCUAAAAUACUAUUUGUUAAUUUUUCAGUCUCAUGAGGAAGCAAUUUCAUAACAUAAUUUGAAAAAACUUGUAUAGAUAUCUAUUAAAUUAAUCUUACGAUUUUUAAUAAAAGUUAUCAUUGACAACCAAAUAUUUAAUUUUUUUAAAUAAAAACUCUACUAGCACUACUAAAAAAUACAUUUUUAUCAUAAAAAAGUUAAUGAUACAUAUUGAUUUGUCAUAAAAAUAUCAUCAAAGAAUGAUACUUUCAUGACUAAUAUCAUUUCGUUAAAAGGACAUACUUGCGACUGAUAUAUUCAUUUCAUUUAUUAAUGAAUAGAAACAUGUCAUGGUCAGUUUUUUUUUUUUUUUUUCAAUCGUUUAUGAAACAUGACGGCCAUCAAUAAUCUACUUAAACAAUGUCGGUUUAAAAUUGAUUAUUUAUCUUUUUGAUAUCCCUAAAAUAUUUUUAUUUACAAACAUGUCCUUAAAAAAUAUUUUUAUUUUGAGAGAAUGAGGUCUUUGACUUCUUUAACGCUGAUUUGAGGAUUAAGGCGGUGAGUGCUCUGUGAGUGACAGAGGGUUUACUAUUAAUUUGCUAUGUAAAAGAAAACAUACAAAAUGUUGAAAGUUUGGGUCUUUUAAAGCAUAACGCCUGAACACCACCACUCCAUUCAUAUCCAGCUCUUACUGAAAAUCAGUCGUCACUGUUCGACUGAACAAGAGGGCGAAGUCAGUAGUGAGCUAUUGAAAACCAAGGUAUUCACUAAAUCUUAAUUUGCUAUUAAUAUGUUGUAAUCAUUGAAAUCCUAGGUGCUGCAUCUCAAAUUAAAGCUUGACUUAGACCAUUUAGACUACGAUUAAUUUUUUUUAUUGAGGUGAUUGUUAUUUUUUACUGCAUGUCGAAUUCAGUAGUUGAUUACACUAUUAAACUUUGGUACGUUCUACAUGUCUAUGUUGAUUCUUUUGGAUAUAUUCUGAGUGAAAUUUGUCAUUAUGUGCAUAUUGUUCUACUUAUUUGUAAGUGGACCAUGGUCAGAAAACAUUCCUUUUAAAACUGUUUUUUCAAAAAGGUUGUUUUGUUUAUGGUACUCGCAAACAUUUAAAGCACAAUUUUAAAUUAUUCUUUUGUUUUUUUAAAGAUGGUGGACCAUUUAUGCCUGUGAAUCUGAACAAGUCAUUCUCGUUGGUAAUAAUGGUAUCAAUUUGAUGCUUGGAGUAGGAGACGAUAUUAAGAUCGAUAUCUGCAGUCCAAAAGAAAACCAAACCACCCCCCAAUCCAUUUCGAGGCACCGAAAAAAGAUGGGAGAGUUGAAGCUUAUAUUUCAAAAAUUCAAAUUGACUCGCUGUUAAUUUGGUUUCACUCAAGAAUACAAUGUUAGGCUUAUGGUUUCGGGCAACUUCCUUGAGUGCUUGGAACGUUAGGGGGUUCCCCAGUCCCCGAACGUUCCAGUAGAUGAUCUUUAUUGCGCUCGGCGGGGCUGGAGACUAGCACCCGCCGUUUCAUGUGCUCUGAAAUAUGAAGGUAAAUGUGAAGGAGAGGGAUGUAGAAUACUGGCAUUACUAGCCUCCCUCCCUGAAUCCUCCGAAGCUUGGCCUGGAUGUGAUCGUUUCAUCAUAGGCUCGAGUUCUGGUUUAUCUUCGUUGGCCCGUGUUCUUUUAGAAUUUGGUUCUGAAACAACUGGAGAUUUCAUCUUGGAUUCAGAGGCUCUAGCCAUUCGUUUCCACUUUUGGAUUGGGCUUGUCGCCAUAGAAAGCUGGCAGCGGGACUCUUUGUUUAAGUGAGAUGGGCUCAACUGAGAAGCCUGUGGAUCAUCAUCAUUAUUCCCCACAAGCGGAUUAUCCUUGUUUGGAGCACCGUCAGGAAUGAGUGGCUCUGUAAUUAAUGUAGCAGGAGUCGUGGCUUGAUGUUUCAGCUGAGUUGCAGUACUUCCAGAUCUUUCUUCAUGCAAUUUAUUGACUGGUCCAUGUUCAAUAUUGCUUGCUGCUAAUGUCAUCCCUUCUACAUUAUUCGAUGAGGCGGUUGCAGUUAGACAUGUGCUUGGCACUGUUGAAGUCGUCGUCUCCUUAGUCUUGGCAUCUCGAGAUUUUGCUGAUGGCGUCAGUAACUUAAGUAAAUGACUAUACUUGAAAUAUUUUGCACAUUGGGGGUUGCCAAUUGAGGGAGUUGGACAUUCUCGAUGAAGAUGCCCAAUGAAACCGCACCGGAAACAAAAAUCAGGCAAACGUUCGUAGAAGAUUGCAAACGUCAUCACCUCCUGACAACCUCACAAUUGAGCU